GUGGGGUGGAGAGGGUGUUUUGGCAUCCACGAAGUACGAAUGGGAAAUGGAGGGAGAGAGGUAGGGGGAAUCAUGUCUUUAGGGCGCGCUUGUCUCAAAUGCGAGGAAAUUUACAAACUUAGCCCUCAUUUAAAAUUUCCUACAUCACAACAAUAUUAGUCGGUUGGGGAUAGGACGGUAAUCUCGCAUACACCGAAUAUUUGCCGACGAAAAUUUCGGCCGAGGAGAGUUUCUUUUGGCGCCUACCGUGUAUGAAUCGGGGAGGUGAGAGGCGAUUUCGGCUGAGGAGAAACUAUGUUUUGGCGCUCACCAUGUAUGAAUCCGGGGAGGUGAGAGGAAGAGGCGGUUAUGUUACAUUUGAGUGAAACUAUGCCGAUAGGCUUUGCGUGUCAUGGAUAGGCAGUAAUUUCCAUCUCGCAGAUUUUGGUUUCGGGCGGUUACUGCGAGUUUCCUCGCUUCGUUCAAACUUUUGCAGAAAAAGAGUGCACGCUUACCGUGCCAACUCAAUUCAAAUCCAUUUUGUAUUUUUUUGGGCAGGAUCCAUUUUGUAUUCGAAUACAAAUCUAUGUACAUCAUCUUUUUAUAUAUACUUUCAAAAGCACAACACCCUUUAUACAUAAAUAUGGUUUACAAAUGGCAUGAUCUCAGAUUCAUAAGACUGGAUCCAUCUUAAUUUGAAUUUUCAAAUAUUUGAAACCACUUUAUUUUGAAAUCCAAUGUAUGCAUUCCUCGCUAACUGUCUCCAAUUAAUGUGUGUUUCAUGCGGGUUUUUACUUCUCAAACACGUAUAAUGUGUUUGACACACGCAACAUAUAGUGUAAUCCCAUUUCGACAUUAAUUGCAUAUAAACCAUGCAUUAUCUCCAAUUAAAAAAAUCUAUGGAUCACUAAUAUUGAUAAACUAAAUAACAUUACAUGUGUCCCCAAAUUCAAAUGAAUGUGCAUGUUUGAUAGACCAAUUUUCGUUAUGAUAUUAUCGAUGUCGUGAUCUCUAGUUUAAAUAUUUGAGUCCCCUUUAAUCCACAUAUUCGUCUGAUAUAAUAUCUCUAGACCUAUAUGCCUUCACCGUCUCUCGGGUAUCUCUCGUGCUACUCAUACGUCGACAACAGUCUUUUAUCUUCGUAACACACUGACGGUACUCUCUUCCUCGACCUUCGCUCUAUCUCUCUCUAGGUAUAUCUCGCUCCCUGCAAUGUGUCUCUAACUAUGAUUCUCCCUAUGAAAUCUCCUUCUCUCACACAAACACAAACUUCGUCUCCUGGGGUCUCAUUUCUCUCUACUAUUCCCCUGUAUGCCGCUCGCACACCCCCUCUCACACAGAGAUGUCUCGCGCUCCUUAGGUCUGAGAAGCUACGACUAUCCCUUUUAAAUAUCUCUUUCUCACACACAAACACAAACUCUGUCUCCCAGGGUCUCAUAUCUCUCCACCAUUCCCUUGUAUGUUGCUCGCACACACACUCUCUCCCUAGGGAUAUCUCGCGUUCCCUGAUAUGUCUCUCUAGCUAUGACUCUCCUUGUAAAAUAUCUUUCUGUCUCGCAAACACAAAAUGCCAUAUCUUGGGAUCUCAUUUCUCUCUAAUAUUCGUUUGAAUGUGACUCACAUGCACCCUCUAUCUCUCUCUCUCAUCCACACACAUAACUUAGCCUUCUGAUCCACUCGAAUCUUAUCUCUAACAAACACACUAGCCGAUCUCCCUCUAGCUAGCAUCUCUACCUUUUUAUUUCUCUGUUUAUCCAUCAACAUUCUUUCUCGCCCUCACUCUUGUUUCCUAUCACACACACUAUAUAUGUUUGUCUCUACAUGCAGUCAUGCACCCUCUUUUUAUCUUUCUCUCACACACACAUAACUCACCCCUCUGAACCACUCAGUGGUUAUCUCUAACACACAAACUAGCCGAUGUCCCUCUAGCUAGCAUCUCUAUCUAUCUAUCUAUCUGCAGUUUCUCCAUCAACCUUUCUUUCUUGCACGCAGUCUUGCUUCCUAUCACGCACACUAUACCUUUCUCUCUAUACUUGCAUAUAUAGGUCGAUCUCUUUUGCACAAUUGUUGUGCAUCGCUCUCUCUACUCACCAUAGAUGCAUGCUCCUACCCACGCCACUAUCUCUUAAAGACAAAAACACAUCCUCAAUCACUGAGCGUUCUUCCCUCCACUCUCACAUGCAUGCAUACUGUCAUAUCGAUCCAUAUCUCCCAUAUCGUUGAUCUUAUGACUUAUGUCUUCUUUCUUUUAUCUCGAUCAUGCGCAUGCACGCACACACACAUCCCACGUAUACAUGUAUACCUCUCGCACAUGCACGUUCAAGGUCGCCUAUGUCUCCAUACGUAGUUAAUUACCCUCAGAUCUCACCCCACAUCGAAUCUUUCUCUUCUUGUGUGCACAUGACUUUCGCCUGGAUGGGUCUCUUCUCUAAAACACACAAUCUCACUUAACAAUCUCCUUCUAGGUACCCCCCUCUAUCACUCCUUCCCUAUAUCCCUGAAACCAAUAAGACUAUCCCUUCGUUUAAUUCCCGCCUACAUGCACCAUCGAUAUAUAGUAGUCUUCCUCGGUGUCUCUCGAACAAACUCGUUAUCUCGACGUCCAUUCCUCUCAUGCGCACACGCCUUCUCUUCCCUAUUUAUGGGCCUCUUCUCUCUCGCACCCCCCUCGUUGGAGGCCUCUGCCAUACACAUCACCUCUCUACAAUGAAGCCACACACACAUAAAUUACUUUCCCUAUCGAAGACUUCGCCACACACACACACACACACACUAAGACUCCAUUUCACACACACAUGCUCUAGGUGGAGCAUUUGUUCCUACCACCCUUCGUCCAACCUUACGUGUAUGAUAAUCAAUCACCUUAAUUUACUUAUAUAACACGGACAAAUUCCACUUUAUUUUAGUAGUUAGCAAACUUCUCAUAAUUAUAUAACUCAAAUCACGAGCAGGAAGUUACUAAUCGUAUUUCACGUUACUACGUGUGCUCAGUGGACAAUAUAUAUAACAUGUAGAGUAAAAGAGUGAUGCAACAAGUGUACAACCUCUUUGUCGAAACAAUGUCGAUCUCAGCAUGAUUGGGUUGGUCGGUGAGGAUGCUCCGGCUGAUGUGGCUGUCGGAGGAGGGGAAGAAGAUCUUAGGCGUCUGGAGAUGGAGCCGACAGUACUGCUCCACUGUGAUGGAGGGUUUCGUCGUUGGAGCAGCUCCGGUGAGUUGUACGAAGGCGAGGCUGAAGUAGGACAAGAGAGACAACGUUAACCUAAGUGCCAUUCUAAUAGCAUCUCCAAUAGAUGAUGUAAAAUACAUAACCACAAAGUGCUAGAUGUAAAAUACAUCAGCCGCUCAUCUCUGAACUUAACUGUCGAAACUGAAUUUAACUGUCGAAACUGAAUUUUAUUAUCGAAACUGGAUUUUGCUGUCGAAACUGAAUUUUACUUUUGAAACUGGACUCACUAGUGGCAGAAAAGCAGUAGCAGCAACAUCAGUACCCGGAGCAGCAGCAUGUGCGAGAGCCGGGGCAGCUGGUCGUGUAGCAGCAUCUCGGGUAGCUCAUGCAGGGGCUCGAGCAGGAGCAGGAUCUGCUGCUCGUGCAGCAGAAGCGCGAGCAAGAGUAGAGCAGCAGCGCAAGCAAGAGCAGCAGCAAGAGCAAGAGCAGACUAGGCAUGGGACCGAGAGCAAGAGCAGAGCAGCAGGGUGAGCGAGAGCCAAAGCAGUAGCAGCUCCUACUAAUGUGGAUGUCGCCGUCGAGGGAGCGACGCCAUGGAGAAAGUGGCCGGCAACGCCGCCGUAGAUGGAGCCGCGCCAUGUCGGUUUGGGACUGAGCGCUGGCAGCAGCGUGAGAUCGAAUCAAGAAGAAAAUGCAGUGAUUAGUGUAGAACCUCUUUGGUGGCGCCGAUUAGGACUCGGCUUCAUCCGAGGAAUCAGUGAUGGUCCUGCUCUUCCGGUGGUGCAAGGGAAGACGGCGCUAUGGGAAUGGAGGUGGAGUGAAAGACGAGGCAAACAUCAGUGCAGCUCCUUGGAGGUGGAGGACGGGGUUGCUAAACGGGAGGGAUGACGAGAUCGACGACGGAUCCUCAUCCGGUGUGGUGGAUGAGGGACGUCGAGGUGUUGCUGUGGAGGACGUCGUCAGGGAAGAGGCUCCGGCUGGGUGGCGGACGGAGGAGGGUGUGGGGCUUCGUGGGUUUUCGUGGCCUCGGUGUACGAAUGGGGGCGGAGGGGAUGGGAGGAGGAACCAUGGCUUAGGGACGCGCUUGUUCGAAAUGUGUGGUGUAAGUUACGAAAGUACCCUACCAAUUUGAGCUAGGUGGUUCUUUCGGUACAGGGGUAUCACGGGAAUUUCACGUGUCGGGAUUUCGCAGGAGGUGGGAGUUUUCGCGCGCGUUGUAAUUUUGGGAUAGCAAGGCGCAGGUUGAGAUGGAGGGAGUUUUCGGAGCACAACGAGACAAAGAGAUAUCUUAAAGUUUCUGGGUAACAAGGUGCGGGUUGAAGAGGCGGGAGUUUCGCAGCACGAUAGACAGAGAUGCUAGCUUGAAAUUUCGGCAUAACAAGGCGUGGCUUCAAAUUUCCGGAGAACAAGCUUAACGUGUACAAAAAAAGACAAUUCGCACCCCACUAGAGACAGCCAUGUCCCAUUUUACUAUAUUACUAGAAAUGCAUUCAAAUACAACAACAAAAAACUAAAAAAAACGGGACAACAAGCUUAACGUGUGUAGUAGCAAAUCAAUUUGCACUUCCCUCAACUAUAAAAAAAUAUUUCAUGUUGUCUAGCAUAAGGACUAAAUUUGAGUACAUUUUCCCUGUUUGAAUGGGAUUGUACUCGCAUUAGUUAAACAACCAUCUAAAUAUUAUCUUCACAACACAUGACAUGAAUAUAGGAGUAGUAAAUUCCCAUAUAGAUAAGAACUACAUGUACAUACAAUCUCGAAUUAAAAUAUAUGUAUCCAUUUUAUGUUGAAUUCAAAUCAUAGCACAUGUAUGCUCUAGCUAGAUGUUCGGAAUCUAAACCAUGUAGGAUACUAUGUACAAUGUGUUUAACACGCACAACACACACACACCAUUUAGACUAUAAGGUACACGUGCAUUGCAUGCAUGGGAUUUGGCAACCAAAUUAUGAAUAAAUAACACACUAUAGUUUGUAAGCUUUGAGUCAUAUAUGCAUGAUGUAGAUGUUCGCUUAAUUAAUAUUGUUCAUCUCAUUCAAAAUCAAUUAGUUUUUAUAAAAAAGCUAAUCUAUGUUAAGAUUCAUGGAAUUGUGCGUUGUAAAGCAUAAAUUAGAAAACAAAUAAUGGCAAUUCAUCUAAAAAAUUGGGCAAUUAUGAUACGGAAGAUUCUUGAACAAAGGAGAAGUGCUUGUGUUUUGAGGUUUGUGCAUUAUGCUUAAGUUCAACCAUGGAGUCUUCUAGAUUUUACAUGUGGCAGGAUCUGGUGGAAUGUAGAUGAUAUCCAACGGCCAGUAGUCCUCGGAUUUGCCAACUCUGCACCGUCAGAUUGGCUUCAUCCAACGACCAUCUUUCAAAGUUAUUUGCACACUAUGUAGGGGUAUAGAUAUGUGAUGCGGAAGCCAUCCAUCAUCUCCAAUUUGAAUAGUGUGUCCAUGCAUGGAUGCAAUGUGGCCAAACGAUGCGUGCCAUCGGUAUCUCAAAUUCAAAUCAGUCUGACAUUGUUCAAUGUGUAUAUAGUAUAGCAUGCUCGUUUCCAAACCACACCACGCAUAUCUUAGUUAUAUUCAUGCAUGCAUGGGUUUCAAACAUCAUGAUCUCGUAUUCAAAUAUUUGAAUUCAACUUUACAUUGAUUAUGACCUCACCUGGUCUUUUACACCCACGUAGUCGUCUUCUCUUUAUAGUUGUGCCACUAACUUUCUCUCGUGCAUGCUGCACACACACUACCACUGGUCAUUAUCCAUCGCACACAUGCAAUCUUUUUCUUCACGUCGGUCUCCCAUGCAUGCACACACACACCUCCCCCUCUUCAUCACUUCGGGCAUUCUUUAGCUCUCACAUGCAUGCGCAACGAUCUAUGUUCCUCUAUGUGUGUAUAUUUAUAGGUAGGUCUUUCCUAGUUUUCCAUACAAACCGAUCGAUCUAUAUAUCUAGUCAGGUCUCACCCUCUUUCCCAUGUACACAUCGAAUCAAUCUACCUCUCUAUAUAGGACUACAUAGCUAAUACACCCACAUAAUCUAUCCAUCGUCUACCUCUCGUCAUCCAUGCCUUCCGCUUCAUCUCCCAGUGUAACGCGCCUGGAUGGAGGAAGUAGUUUCAUGCAUGCGAAGUAGCCAAAAAAUGCUCAUUUAUAGUAGUCUGAAAUCUCCAAGGGCGCGACCACGCGAGCGAUGUGACGGUCGUGGUAGGCGCGACCAUGAUACGGGCUGGUGACAGCCCUUGGGUCUGAGAUCGAACGGUCGCACGCUAAGUUUUUGAAAAUUUGCAGAAUAGCCCUCUAGGACAGGAUAUUCACCCAUAGGUCUAGAAUCACGCCAUGAAACCGUUCGAUCGGAUCCAAGGGCUCUCGAAAGCCCGUAUCAUGGGAGCAUCGAAAGCUUCGUAUGACCUAUAAUUUUCCCGACGCUUAACGUGCGAACAUGCAGAUGCUAUACUGUCAGGCCUACGAAGUGGGUCUAGUAGACAUGAUAUCUAAUUGGCCCCCCAUGGUACUCUGCAUGUAACCAUUUAUCCACCGGGCAAGCCACUACCCUGCCGUUCGCACACCCCACUCAGCAUUUUUACAAUAAAAAACCGCUAGCAGUUUACUCCUAGUCGUCCCGUCCUUUCACAUUACAACAGUUUCACUAAUCCUAACCCUCCUCCAAAAUCCAUGGCGUACCAAAUCUCCCUGAUCGACGGUGAGUACAAGGUUAGAACUAUCAUCGGCGAUGAACCUGACAUCAUCUACACCCGUUCUUCCAUGACGUUGAAAGGAUGCCUUGCUCGCUUCAAACGCAUGUUUGAAAAGUCAGAUGGUGAUGAGUGGGCCGCUGGGCUAGAUAUUGAGUACACCACAGUCCUAGGAAAAGAAAAGAAUCUAAAGGAGGAAGAGAAGAAGUAGCCCAUCGUGAUCUAGGUUUGCGUGCAUAACUUGUGCUUGGUCUACCACAUAUGCCAUGCCAACGUUAAGUGCGACGAUUUUCAGAACUUCGUCGCGGAUGACAACGUCAAGUUCGUUACUGUCGACUUUUGUAAGGACGAGGAAGUCCUAGGUGGGAUAGGCCUCGUUGUAGUCCAACCCUUCGACCUCGAGAAGAAUAUGCUGGUGUCCUCUCGUUAGCCUUCAAUGCUGACCCUGGCAGGAGCCAUGAUUGAUCCUUCGUACGGCAAACUGACAAAACCUUGCCACAAGUUUCAUCUUGCAUGGGAGUGGAAUUUACUAGAUAAAGACCACAUCCAUUAUGCUGCAAUGGAUGCCUACCAUUGUUUCAAUAUCUACAAGGGUUGGAUGAAGAGCGAGAGCCUAGUGUGCGGUUCAAGCAAAGAAGUAUCAGCCAAGAGGAAGAGGGACAAGGACGAAGUCGAGGACGUGGACGAGGAGUCCGAGUAAGGUGGUAGUGUCAUUGCUCAUGGUGGUUCUAAUGCAGUGUCUGCCGAAUUAAUUGCUUAGUUUAAUUUCAGGGUGCUUAGUUUUAUUUCAGGAGUGUGUUGUGCUGAGCCCCCAGCAGAACUAUGUUAUGUUCUUUCUCGUUACUUUAACUCUUCGGUACGUACAUACUUGUAUUUCUUAUAGUUCAUCUUGUAGUUGGUAGUACUACCACUCUUUUUUCACAUUAUAUACGUACAAUAUAUAUGGCCAGCAUCAUAUAGCCAGCAGUUGGCUUUACAAUUAACCACGCUCUAAGCAUGCCACAUACGCAAAACACUUAAAUGGAUAUGUAAUUCUAGAAAAAAUAAAUGAGAGAAGUUUACCCAAAGCAUGAAGGGGUUUAGUUGUCAAAGAAUUAAAUAGGUAUGCUAAUUUCUUUAAUACACUUUACCACCCCAUCUAAGCACGUACUAGCUUUUUUAAUAGUACUAUAUGCAUAAUUUGGUGAUGAGCGCUCUCUAUAUGUACCACCUUUUUCUUUAAUUUCAUCUUGUUAGUUUUGCUCCAUGGCGCAAUCCAUCGAUACUACUACUGUACAAAAGUACAUUUAAAAGGCUAGAGGGAGGGGCAGCCUCGCUUGGUCGGCUCAUUACUACUGGAAGGUGGGGCCUUGUGAUUUGACUGCUCGUAUAAAUGUUGUCGACGACCUGAGGAGGAGCAAAGAACCAUGCGGCAUACUCAAGUUUCUACUGGAGUAGGCAUAGUACGACGGAGGAGCGUGAAACACGGCAGCCUAGUGCGAUAUAGUGAUAAAAAUGAUCUAAUUUUCUAGUCAUCGAUCCCACGACGCCGCUCAUCGUUAGCAUUGUUCUAUUCAUGCCUUGUAGAGAACAUGACACAUGCAGCGAAACACCAAAAGCAAAAGAAGAAACACAGGAGCAAAAGAAGAAGGAAGAUUACCCCCAAAAAAAGAAGGAAGACGCAGACACAAGUUUGGGGUGCGGCUCUCUACUUCAUGAAGAGUUAACCGCAGAGUCCUAACUGCUUCUUCAUCGCCUCCACGACCUUCAUCUCCUCGCUCGUCUCCUCUGCCAUCUUCUUCAUUCUGUCCAUGAGGCGGGAUUUCUCGAGGUGAGCGUUCAUCAUCUAUUCCACGGCCGCAUUAUGUACCUUGACAGCACCCGGGUGCUCGAUGCGGAGCUUCGCCAACUCCUCCUUCUGUUCCAUGACGAGGGCGUGCAGCAUCUUCACCGAGGAACUACUCUUCUCAUGCAACUUCUUCCAGCUGGUGUUCUCCUCCUUCAGCAGGUCGAGCUCGUGGCGGACAUCUUUUGUGAUUGUGAGCACUCAUUAAAAUAUGACAUGCUAAAAAGUUGAUGUUGGACAAGGAAGACAACGUAAUGGGUUAUGUUUUAUUAUAUCUUAAUAGAAGUUAUAUUGUCAUGGAUCCUCCAACAUGUUGGCCUUGUUUCCCCUCCUAUGCUAGCCAAAUCUUUUGCACCAAGUAGAGAUACUACUUGUGCAUGCAAACAUCCCUUAAACCAGUUUUGCCAUGAGAGUCCACUAUAUCUACCAACGGAUUGAGUAAGAUCCUGUAGCGACCAGACCUCAAAUGGUCUGUGCUGCUGUGCACCAGUGUCAUCCCUGGAUCAGUAAUGCUGACACGCACAGUACAAAUGGAGGAUUUAUAACAGAGUAGCAAUCACACACUUAUUACAUCGAAUAUCUCCAAAGAGAUUAAGUAUGAUAAACAUGGCUUAAGGCCAUCUAAAACGAUAACAGCGGAAGACUUGGAAGAUAAGUGAGUCCAUCAACUCCAGCGGCAUCACUGAGUAUAAGACCACGACCUAAGGCACCUUACUCGUCGUCUGUAAAGUCUGCAACAUGAAACGUUGCGGCCCGAAAACGGGUCAGCACAUAGAAUAUGCUGGCAAAGUAACACAUAGAGGAUAAUGAACAAUAACAAGGCUAUACUACAUGCAUAUAAGGCUGGUGGAAAGCUCUAUGGUUAAGUUUUAUGCAAAAAGCCAAUUUUUCCCUACUUCAAAGGAAUAAAUUUUAUUUAACUAUCAUGGUGGUUGUUAAACAUUGAGAAGGUACCUCCAACUCAAUCCCAAUUAAGUGUCAUCAUUAACCCACAAAAUUAAUUAAAAGUAACAUGGUGAUGAGAUUCAAAUGAUAAUCCAGGUACUAGAUACUCAAGUUGUCCAUAACCGGGGACACGGCUAACCAUGAUUAGUUUGUACACUCUGCAGAGGUUUGCGCACUUUUCCCCACAAGACUCGAUCGCCUCCGUUUUAUUUCUCGCACUGCAUGGUGUUUGAGAAACGGAUGACCGAGACACAGUCUUUCAAAAACAAUCACUCUUUACUCUGGAUGGACCGGUACACCUACUUUCCCCUACAUCUGCUAGCCCACCUCUUCAAGAGAUCAUGUAACCUACUCAACUAUGCUAGAGCCCAUAAUAGCUUGUGGCUGCACACGGAAGUUUCUAGCAUGAAUAAUCUUAUGAUCCCUUUGAGUCUGGGUGGCGGUCCUUAUACAAACAGACAACACUGGGUUCUCCAGGUGCCUCAAUCCACCCAGAUGUGAGUUUUAGUUGCCACCUUAGGUAAACCAUUAUUAACAAUCUCACAUCUGUCAUGAAUAUCUCUCAAACCCAAAUCCACGUCUACGAGCAUAGCAUGGCAAGAUAAUAGCAACGUAGAAGUAACUCCCAAGGGUUUGAUAAUUAAACAAGUAAUAGGUACUACCUCAACUACUUCCCAGAACCCACAGUUUAAUUAGAUCCUAAUCAUGCAAUGUUUGAGGAAUUGAUCUAAUGCAAUAAAAACUGGGUAUGGAAGGUAUGAUCAAAGUGUUACUUGCCUUGCUGAUGAUCCGCAAAUCCUAGCGAUUCGAAGUAACAAGCGGCACACUCCGGGUACUCUAUCGCAAACAAACAAGCAAACAAUAAGUACUCAUCUAAUGCACAGGUAAAACUCAAAUGAAAGAUCCAACCAGAAAGUUCAACUUAAGAACUCCGGUUUGCAAAAAGAAUCAACUCGAAAGAAGCAACGAAAGUCAAACGGCGAAAGAAACAAGCUUCGUUUACUAAUCUGGAUCUAGGUCAAAUUUUACUGUAGUAAAAACUUGUUUGAGUAGGUUAAACGGAAAGAGAAUUUCGAGACGAAACUCUAGGCGCUUGAAUCGCCCGAUUCCGAUAGACGAGCGAGAAGUUAAACAGAAACGAAGAUUCGAUCAGAAAUCGAGUCUGAGAAAAUAGCGGAAUAAUCCAACGAAAAAGGAAAACGGACGAACGGUUAAAGAACGGACGUUCGUUAACAGAGAAAAACUGACGAACGCAUUCGUUAAAACGAACGGUUCGGUGAACGCUCGCAAAAAUAAUAAAACCGAAAAAAACCGAUCUAGGGUUUUUUUGUUUUUUUAAAACGAAUGGUUUUUUUAAGAAAAACCGGCAACGAACGGGGCAGUACCUCGUCGGGGGCGGGGCUCCGGCGGGGCUCGGNNNNNNNNNNNNNNNNNNNNNNNNNNNNNNNNNNNNNNNNNNNNNNNNNNNNNNNNNNNNNNNNNNNNNNNNNNNNNNNNNNNNNNNNNNNNNNNNNNNNNNNNNNNNNNNNNNNNNNNNNNNNNNNNNNNNNNNNNNNNNNNNNNNNNNNNNNNNNNNNNNNNNNNNNNNNNNNNNNNNNNNNNNNNNNNNNNNNNNNNNNNNNNNNNNNNNNNNNNNNNNNNNNNNNNNNNNNNNNNNNNNNNNNNNNNNNNNNNNNNNNNNNNNNNNNNNNNNNNNNNNNNNNNNNNNNNNNNNNNNNNNNNNNNNNNNNNNNNNNNNNNNNNNNNNNNNNNNNNNNNNNNNNNNNNNNNNNNNNNNNNNNNNNNNNNNNNNNNNNNNNNNNNNNNNNNNNNNNNNNNNNNNNNNNNNNNNNNNNNNNNNNNNNNNNNNNNNNNNNNNNNNNNNNNNNNNNNNNNNNNNNNNNNNNNNNNNNNNNNNNNNNNNNNNNNNNNNNNNNNNNNNNGCGGCGAGCGGCGGCGGCUCGGGCUUCGGCUCCAGCGGCGGCGAGCGAGGCGGGUGCGGGCGGCGGCGGGCGAGGUGAGGUGAGAGGAGGGGGGGCUAUAUAUAUAGGAAGGGGGGCAGCAGCUUGGGGGAGGGGCAAGGUGCGGCGGCGGCGUUCCCGUGUCCGCCAUGGACACGGCGCGGCGGCGACGUCGUGCGAGGAGUGGACGACGCGGGGCGGGCCGGCCUGCGGCUCGGCUGGGCUCGGCCCAGUCGGGCGCAAUGCAAUUUUUUUUUAAACAUUCCGCGGAAAAUAAUUCGUAGAAAAAUAAAUAAAAGUCCAAAAAAGAUAAAACAAAUUUUCCCCGUCUAGUUAGAAAAUCUAGAAUAGGGUGAACAUUUUUUAACACAAAAUAAAUUUUUUGAAAACAUGCAAUAUUUUUAAUGCAAUUAAAAUUGCAAAUAAAUUCCAAUAAAUGAUUUUAACACUUUUCCUCCAGUAUUUCAAUUGUUUUGGAGAAGUCAUAUUUUCUCCUCUCAUUUAUUUUUAAAAUGAAAUAUUUUUCCGGAGAGAAAAUAAUUAAAACCAAAAUCCUCGUUUUAUUAUUUGAUGAAAAUCAAAUAUGAAAAUUCGAGAAAAUCCCCAACUCUCUCCGAGGGUCCUUGAGUUGCUUAGGAUUUAUCGAGGAUUUGUCAAAAUGCAAUAAAAUAUGAUAUGCAAUGAUGAUCUAUGUAUAACAUACCAAAUUAAAAAUUUGGGACGUUACAAACCUACCCCCCUUAAGAUGAAUCUCGCCCUCGAGAUUCGGGUUGGCUAGAAAACAGGUGGGAGUGGUCCUUCCGUAGAUCUUCCUCUCGCUCCCAGGUGGCUACAUCUUCCGUGUGGUGACUCCACUGGACUUUGCAAAACUUGAUAACCUUGCUGCGGGUAACUCGGCUGGCAUACUCAAGAAUCUUAACUGGUUUCUCUUCAUAGGUCAAAUCACUUUCCAGCUGAAUCGCUUCCAGUGGCACAGUAUCUCUCAGUGGUAUCUCAGCCAUCUCUGCGUGGCACUUCUUCAACUGAGAAACGUGAAAUACAUCAUGAACUCCAGACAAUCCUUCGGGCAAUUCCAGCUUGUAGGCAACCUCUCCCAUACGUUCCACAACUCUGUAUGGUCCGAUAAAACGGGGCGCUAACUUUCCCUUAACUCCAAAGCGCUUCACUCCUCGAAGUGGUGAUACUCGAAGAUACACUCUGUCUCCGACUUCGUGGACUGUCUCCUUUCGUUUAGAAUCAGCAUAACUCUUCUGCCUGGAUUGGGCUACCUUGAGCCUAUCGCGAAUCAACCUCACUUUCUGUUCAGACUCCUUAAUCAAAUCUGGUCCAAACAACUGACGGUCUCCAACUUCGUCCCAUAACAACGGUGUUCUACACCUCCUUCCGUACAAGGCUUCGAAAGGGGCCAUCUUCAAACUGGUCUGAUAACUGUUGUUAUACGAAAACUCCGCAUAUGGCAAAUUGUCGUCCCAACUAGAUCCAUAAUCUAGUGCACAAGCUCUCAACAUGUCCUCCAAAAUCUGGUUGACUCUCUCGGUCUGUCCAUCUGUCUGCGGGUGAAAAGCAGUACUAAAUUCCAGCCUGGUUCCCAAUGUUUCAUGUAACUGCUUCCAAAACUUCGAGGUAAAUUGGGUUCCUCUGUCUGAUACAAUGGUCCUCGGAACUCCAUGCAAACAUACGAUCCUGGUCAUGUAUAUCUUUGCCAACUUAGCACUGGUGUAAGUGGUCUUCACUGGAAUGAAAUGAGCCACUUUCGUCAAACGGUCGACUACAACCCAUAUUGAGUCAUAGCCUGAACGAGUCCUGGGCAAUCCUAUGAUAAAAUCCAUGCCUAUUUUAUCCCACUUCCAUUCGGGUAUCGGCAAUGGUUGUAGCAAUCCUGCUGGCUUCUGAUGCUCUGCCUUCACUCUCUGAGACACAUCUCAAACUGCUACAUACUCCGCAAUAUCCUUCUUCAUUCCGGUCCACCAGAAAGUAUUCUUCAGAUCCAAAUACAUCUUGGUAUUCCCUGGGUGAAUCGAGUACGGUGAAUCAUGGGCUUCUUGCAAAAUCAACUUCCUGAUCUCCGGAUCAUUUGGCACAUAUACGCGGUCCUCAAACCAUAGGGUAUCGUGCUCAUCCUCACGAAAUCCCUUGGCUUUUCCUUUGCUCAUCUUCUCCUUUAUCUCUUCAAUCUCCUUGUCUGUCUUCUGAGCUUCUCUGAUCCUUUCCAUCAAGGUAGACUGAAUCUCCAAUGUCGCUAAAUAGCCUCUUGGGACUAUCUCCAAACAUAGCUCGCGAAGGUCCUCGGCUAACUCCUGAGGUAACUCUCCUGUCAUGAGGGUGUUGACAUGACUCUUGCGGCUCAACGCGUCUGCUACUACGUUAGCCUUUCCUGGGUGAUAAUGCAAUCUCAUAUCAUAGUCCUUAAUGAGCUCCAACCAUCUCCUCUGUCUGAGAUUUAACUCCUUCUGCGUGAAAAUAUACUUCAAACUCUUGUGAUCCGUGUACACCUCACAAUGGUUUCCGAUGAGAAAAUGUCUCCAUGUCUUCAAUGCAUGCACCACGGCUGCUAAUUCCAAAUCAUGCUUAGCAUAAUUCUUCUCAUGGGGUUUAAGUUGUCGUGAAGCAUAUGACACAACUCUUCCUUCCUGCAUAAGCACUGCUCCAAGUCCUCGACGAGAAGCGUCACAAUAAACUUCAUAAUCCUUGCGUUGAUCUGGCAGAAUCAACACUGGUGAUGUAACCAAUCGUUCCUUCAGCUCUUGGAAACUAGCUUCACAUUCCUCAGUCCAAUUGAAUUUGGUGUCCUUCUUCAAUAGCUCAGUCAUGGGCUUAGCAAUCUUCGAGAAAUUCUCGAUGAAUCUCCGGUAGUAUCCUGCAAGUCCAAGAAAACUCUAGAUUUCUCCAACUGUCGUGGGUGAUUCCCAACUUGUCACUGUGUCAACCUUGGCAGGGUCCACUGCUAUUCCUUCUCCAGAAAUAACAUGUCCGAGGAAUCCAACUUCCUUCAGCCAAAAUUCGCAUUUGCUGAACUUGGCAUAUAACUGGUGUUCUCUGAGCUUCUCAAGUACCAAUCGUAAAUGCUCCUCAUGCUCUUCCUCAUCCUUGGAAAAGAUUAAAAUAUCAUCAAUAAACACCACGACGAACUUAUCCAAAAACUCCAUAAACACUUUGUUCAUCAGGUUCAUGAAAUAGGCAGGUGCGUUAGUCAGACCAAAUGACAUAACGGUAUACUCAUACAAUCCAUAUCUGGUGGUAAAUUCCGUCUUGGGUAUAUCCUGCUCUCGAAUCUUUAACUGAUGGUAUCCUGAUCGUAGAUCGAUCUUGGAAAAUACUUUAGUUCCUUGUAGGCGGUCAAACAAAUCAUUGAUCAUCGGCAGUGGGUACUUGUUUUUGAUGGUCACUUCAUUCAAUCCGCGGUAAUCAACAACCAUCCUCAGCGAUCCAUCUUUCUUUUCCACUAAAAGUACUGGUGAUCCCCAAGGUGACGAACUUGGGCGAAUAUAGCCUUUAUCCAGUAACUCCUUGAUCUGCUUCUUAAUUUCCUCCAAAUCUUUUGCGGGCAUCCUGUACGGUCUCUUAGAUAUUGGCCCUGUGCCUGGCAAAAGUUCAAUCAAGAACUCGAUGUCUCUAUCUGGUGGCAUGCCUGGCAACUCUUCUGGAAAUACAUCCGGGUAAUCCUUCACCACAGGUACUUCCUCCUGUACAACUCCUGAUAAGGAAUUCACUUGAGUCCUUUUCGGCAUAUGCCGGGAUACAUACUUGAUCCUUUUUCCUUCCGGGGUGGUAAGCAAAAUCGUCUUGCUGGCACAAUCGAUGUUUCCUCCAUACAACGAUAGCCAAUCCAUUCCCAAAAUCACAUCCAAACCUUGCGACUCCAAAACUAUGAGGUCUGAGGGGAAAACAUGCCUACCAAUGGCCAAUGGUAUCUGAAAACAUCCUUGGCUGGCCAUAUACUCUGCUCCUGGCGAGGUUACUAACAUAGGGGUUUUGAGAACUUGGGUGGACAUCUUAAACUUAUUCACGAAUCCCCUUGAUAUGUAUGAAUGCGAUGCACCAGAAUCGAAAAGAACGGUUGCAGUAAAUGACUUAACCAAAAACUUACCUAUUACUGCAUCCGGCUGAGCUUCAACCUCCUCCACGCUCACGUGGUUCACAUGUCCUUUGUUGAACGGGUUCGGCUUCUUCCCAGAGCUUCCAUUGCCAUUUCCAUUUUGGGCUUCAGGACAAUCAGUUGCAUAGUGUCCGGUCUUCUGGCACUUGAAACAAGUAAUGUGACUUAGAUCCCUCUUGGUUGGGGUGGAUGGGUUGGGGCGGUUCUGUCCGUUGCUUCCUCCAUUCCCAUUACCAUUCUUGGAGCCAUUAUGGUUGUGCGAACUACCUCCUCCAUGGGUAUGCUGAAACUGUCCUCCCGGCUUCGGGGUAAAUCGUGGCUUCUGUUGAGCUCCAGUAUUGUACUUCCCUUGUCCAUACUUCCUCUUACGAUUUUCAAUCUGCUGUUGCUUCCCUUCAAUCAUGAGAGCUCUGUCUACCAGCUCCUGGUAGUUGUUGAAGGUUGCUACCAUCAACUGCAUACUCAGUUCAUCAUUCAGCCCUUCCAAAAAUUUCUCCUGCUUGGCAGCAUCUGUAGCAACGUCAUCUGGUGCAUAACGUGCUAACUUACUGAAAUCCUCCACAUACUGGCCUACGGUGCGUCCUCCUUGGCGUAGGUUGCGAAACUCGCGCUUCUUCAUAGCCAUAGCUCCUGCUGAAACAUAAGCUGUAUGGAAAGCUUGCUGAAACUGGUCCCAUGUGACAGUGUCAAUAGGGUGUGUGGCUGUAUAAUUCUCCCACCAUGAUGUUGCGGGUCCAUCAAGCUGAUGUGCGGCAAAAUGCACUCUUUCCGCAUCUGUGCAUCCUGCAGUGGUCAACUCCCUUCCAACUUUGCGGAGCCAAUCAUCUGCAACAAUCGGCUCGGUGCUACUAGAAAACACCGGCGGGUUUAGCCUUAAGAAACGGGCUAAGUGAUCAACAGGUGGUGGUGGCGGUGGGUUGUUGUUGUUGUUGUUGUUGCCUUGGUUCUGCACUAACACUUGCAUCAGGGCAUUCUGUUGCUGAAUCAACUGGGUGAUCUCUGGUGGGAAAACAAAUCCGGUGUCGCGUCUCGGAGGCAUCUGAUAGGUUUAGAAAAGAUGAGAGUUAAGAAUAGAAUGGGGUCUAGAGAGAAAACACUACCCAUAUGCUCAUGAGACAAAUACAAUCAAUAUCACUCAAUCAAUUCAAACAAGGCAAAACAAUCGAUCUAACUAGCAUUACAAAGUGCUUGAACUAUACUAUUAAAUGGGGGAAAACUACUACUGAUAUGGUGGUCUACUAGAAAUUCUGAUCCGUCGAAGACUCCAUGAUGUCUGCUCCAGCUUCGUCAACAAAGUCAUCUUCACUUGGUUCCGAGUCGGUGUCGUCGAUGAUGAUGUAGUUAUCCAGACAAGUGCAUUCGUCUACUUCUGCUUUUGGCACUGGAUUUCCCAUGAAUACUCCAAUCUUCUUCUCCAGGUCAUCAUUCUUCCCUACUAAUGCGAUGAUUUACUCCAUAUAAUCCUCGCGUGUAGCCUUGAGUUCUUCUUGGAGCUCCUUGAUCUUCGUCAAUGCCUUCUUCAGUUCUUCCUUGUCCGUGCACAUCUGGUUCCCCUGGCGACGAAUAUGUUGGUUUUGCUCCUGGAUGAGAGCUGCAAUUGAUCCAUCCUUCUUGGUUCUGAUCAUCUCCCAUUGCACGUCUCGGCGUCCACAAAUUUGGUAAAUUGUAUCCUUAAGCUCCUGGUGAUAGACUUCUCCAAUGCGUCCCAUGGCGAUGUGUGCGGCCAUGCUCUUCCCUAAACUCCAGGUUGGUGCUUCGAAAACCAAUCUUAUGGGUUCAGUAACUGGCACAAACGUCCUUCCUGGAAUGUGAACUUGAAUCUUCCAGCUCUCCUCUUCGGGUAAUGUGGCGUUGUAGGUUCCCGUGAUGCUUGGUAUUCCUAUGUUCAAAUACUUGGUGACUUCCUUCAAGUGUCGACCAAAAGGCGUGUCUUCAUCUGGUUGCAUGAACUUGCUCCUUGCAUCCGCCAUUCCUAAAAGAGUAGAAAGUGGAGAGGGGUCAGAAAUGAGAAGAGAGAAGCUUUCUAGGGCUUAAGCUUAGUGAUCGUGUCCUAUAGUCAGCGUGUGCUCUGAUACCAACUUUGUAGCGACCAGACCUCAAAUGGUCUGUGCUGCUGUGCACCAGUGUCAUCCCUGGAUCAGUAAUGCUGACACGCACAGUACAAAUGGAGGAUUUAUAACAGAGUAGCAAUCACACACUUAUUACAUCGAAUAUCUCCAAAGAGAUUAAGUAUGAUAAACAUGGCUUAAGGCCAUCUAAAACGAUAACAACGGAAGACUUGGAAGAUAAGUGAGUCCAUCAACUCCAGCGGCAUCACUGAGUAUAAGACCACGACCUAAGGCACCUUACUCGUCGUCUGUAAAGUCUGCAACAUGAAACGUUGCAGCCCGAAAACGGGUCAGCACAUAGAAUAUGCUGGCAAAGAAACACAUAGAGGAUAAUGAACAAUAACAAGGCUAUACUACAUGCAUAUAAGGCUGGUGGAAAGCUCUAUGGUUAAGUUUUAUGCGAAAAGCCAAUUUUUCCCUACUUCAAAGGAAUAAAUUUUAUUUAACUAUCAUGGUGGUUGUUAAACAUUGAGAAGGUACCUCCAAGUCAAUCCCAAUUAAGUGUCAUCAUUAACCCACAAAAUUAAUUAAAAGUAACAUGGUGAUGAGAUUCAAAUGAUAAUCCAGGUACUAGAUACUCAAGUUGUCCAUAACCGGGGACACGGCUAACCAUGAUUAGUUUGUACACUCUGCAGAGGUUUGCGCACUUUUCCCCACAAGACUCGAUCGCCUCCGUUUUAUUUCUCGCACUGCAUGGUGUUUGAGAAACGGAUGACCGAGACACAGUCUUUCAGAAACAAUCACUCUUUACUCUGGAUGGACCGGUACACCUACUUUCCCCUACAUCUGCUAGCCCACCUCUUCAAGAGAUCAUGUAACCUACUCAACUAUGCUAGAGCCCAUAAUAGCUUGUGGCUGCACACGGAAGUUUCUAGCAUGAAUAAUCUUAUGAUCCCUUUGAGUCUGGGUGGCGGUCCUUAUACAAACAGACAACACUGGGUUCUCCAGGUGCCUCAAUCCACCCAGAUGUGAGUUUUAGUUGCCACCUUAGGUAAACCAUUAUUAAUAAUCUCACAUCUGUCAUGAAUAUCUCUCAAACCCAAAUCCACGUCUACGAGCAUAGCAUGGCAAGAUAAUAGCAACGUAGAAGUAACUCCCAAGGGUUUGAUAAUUAAAAAAGUAAUAGGUACUACCUCAACUACUUCCCAGAACCCACAGUUUAAUUAGAUCCUAAUCAUGCAAUGUUUGAGUAAUUGAUCUAAUGCAAUAAAAACUGGGUAUGGAAGGUAUGAUCAAAGUGUUACUUUCCUUGCUGAUGAUCCGCAAAACCUAGCGAUUCGAAGUAACAAGCGGCACACUCCGGGUACUCUAUCGCAAACAAACAAGCAAACAAUACGUACUCAUCUAAUGCAUAGGUAAAACUCGAAUGAAAGAUACAACCAGAAAGUUCAACUUAAGAACUCCGGUUUGCAAAAAGAAUCAACUCGAAAGAAGCAACGAAAGUCAAACGGCGAAAGAAACAAGCUUCGUUUACUAAUAUGGAUCUAGGUCAAAUUUUACUGUAGUCAAAACUUGUUUGAGUAGGUUAAACGGAAAGAGAAUUUCGAGACGAAACUCUAGGCGCUUGAAUUGCUUGAUUCCGAUAAACGAGCGAGAAGUUAAACAGAAACGAAGAUUCGAUCAGAAAUCGAGUCUGAGAAAAUAGCGGAAUAAUCCGACGAAAAAGAAAAACGGACGAACGGUUAAAGAACAGACGUUCGUUAACAGAGAAAAACCGACGAACGGGUUCGUUAAAACGAACGGUUCGGUGAACGCUCGCAAAAAUAAUAAAACCGAAAAAAAACGAUCUAGGGUUUUUUUGUUUUUUUUAAACGAAUGGUUUUUUUUAAAGAAAAACCGGCAACGAACGGGGCAGUACCUCGUCGGGGGCGGGGCUCCGGCGGGGCUCGGCUGCUCCGGCGAGGGCGGCGGGGUGNNNNNNNNNNNNNNNNNNNNNNNNNNNNNNNNNNNNNNNNNNNNNNNNNNNNNNNNNNNNNNNNNNNNNNNNNNNNNNNNNNNNNNNNNNNNNNNNNNNNNNNNNNNNNNNNNNNNNNNNNNNNNNNNNNNNNNNNNNNNNNNNNNNNNNNNNNNNNNNNNNNNNNNNNNNNNNNNNNNNNNNNNNNNNNNNNNNNNNNNNNNNNNNNNNNNNNNNNNNNNNNNNNNNNNNNNNNNNNNNNNNNNNNNNNNNNNNNNNNNNNNNNNNNNNNNNNNNNNNNNNNNNNNNNNNNNNNNNNNNNNNNNNNNNNNNNNNNNNNNNNNNNNNNNNNNNNNNNNNNNNNNNNNNNNNNNNNNNNNNNNNGGCGGCGAGCGAGGCGGGUGCGGGCGGCGGGGGGCGAGGUGAGGUGAGAGGAGGGGGGCUAUAUAUAUAGGAAGGGGGGCAGCAGCUUGGGGAAGGGGCAAGGUGCGGCGGCGGCGUUCCCGUGUCCGCCAUGGACACGGCGCGGCGGCGGCGUCGUGCGAGGAGAGGACAACGCGGGGCGGGCCGGCCUGCGGCUCGGCUGGGCUCGGCCCAGUCGGGCGUAGUGCAAAUUUUUUUAAACAUUCCGCGGAAAAUAAUUCGUAGAAAAAUAAAUAAAAGUCCAAAAAAGAUAAAACAAAUUUUCCCCAUCUAGUUAGAAAAUCUAGAAUAGGGUGAACAUUUUUUAACACAAAAUAAUUUUUUUGAAAACAUGCAAUAUUUUUAAUGCAAUUAAAAUUGCAAAUAAAUUCCAAUAAAUGAUUUUAACACUUUUCCUCCAGUAUUUCAAUUGUUUUGGAGAAGUCAUAUUUUCUCCUCUCGUUUAUUUUUAAAAUGAAAUAUUUUUCCGGAGAGAAAAUAAUUAAAACCAAAAUCCUCGUUUUAUUAUUUGAUGAAAAUCAAAUAUGAAAAUUCAAGAAAAUCCCCAACUCUCUCCGAGGGUCCUUGAGUUGCUUAGGAUUUAUCGAGGAUUUGUCAAAAUGCAAUAAAAUAUGAUAUGCAAUGAUGAUCUAUGUAUAACAUGCCAAAUUGAAAAUUUGGGAUGUUACAUAUCCUUCAUGUAAGUUGUCAUCGGUGCAAGCAAUAAAAAUUGCACUCUAAAUAUGUAUGAUUUUUUAGUGUGAAAAAAUAAGCUUUAUAUGAACUUGUGAUAUGGAAGAAAUAAAAGCGACGGAUCGCAUAAUAAAGUUAUUUAUCACAAGCGACAAUAUAAAGUGACAUUAUUUUGCAUUAAGAUUAUAUGCAUCCAACCAUAAAAGUGCAUGACAACCUGUGCUUCCCUCUGCGAGGGCCUAUCUUUUACUUUUACUUUCUACCCUUAUACAAGAGUCAUGGUGAACUUCACCUUUCAUUUUCACACCUUUUCUUUUUGGCAAGCACUAUAUGUUGUGGAAAGAUCCAUAUGCAUAUAUCCACUCGGAUGUAGGUUAUCAUAAAGUAUUAUUGUUGACAUUACCCUUGAGGUAAAAGGUUGGGAGGCGAAACUAUAAGCCGCUAUCUUUCUCUUUGUCCGGUUGAGGCUUUGAUCUCAUAAGUAUUGUGUGAGUGUUAGCAAUUAUGAAAGACUAAAAGAUGGUUGAGUAUGUGGACUUGCUAUACAAAGUCUCUUACAUUGACUCUUUCCGAUAUUAUGAUAAAUUGCAAUUGCUUCAAUGACUGAGAUCAAAGUUUGCUAGUUUUCAAUAAAGUUUUUGAUUCAUACUUUACAUAGUGAACGAAUUGUCACUUUAGCAUAAAAAAUUAUAUGAUGUUGUUCUUAAGAUGAUCAUGAUGCCCUCAUGUCCGUAUUUUAUUUUAUCGACACCUCUAUCUCUAAACAUAUGGACAUAUUUAUCGAUUUCGGCUUUCGCUUGAGGACAAGCGAGGUCUAAGCUUGGGGGAGUUGAUACGUCCAUUUUGCAUCAUGCUUUUAUAUUGAUAUUUAUUGCAUCAUGGGAUGUUAUUACACAUUAUGGUACAAUACAUAUGCCUUUUCUCUCUUAUUUUACAAGGUUUACAUGAAGAGGGAGAAUGCCGACAGCUGGAAUUCUGGACCAGAAAGGAGCAAAUCUAAGAGACCUAUUCCGCACAACUCCAAAAGUCCUGAAAAAUUACGGAGAAUUAGUUUGGAAUAUAAUAAAAAUAUUGGGUGCAAAAAAUACCAGAGGGGACCCACCAGGUGGCCACAAGCCUAGGGGCGUGCCCUACCACCCUAGGCGCGCUCCCAGGGCUUGUGGGCCCCCUGGCAGGUCUCCGGUGCCCAUCUUCUGCUAUAUGGAAGGUUUUGAUCUAGAAAAAAAUCAUAAGGAAGCUUUCGGGACAAAGCGCCGCCGUCUCGAGGCGGAACCUAGGCAGAAGCAAUCUAGGGCUCCGGCGGAGCUGUUCUACCAGGGAAACUUCCCUCCGGGAGGGGGAAAUCGAAGCCAUCGUCAUCACCAACGAUCCUCUCAUCGAGAGGGGGUCAAUCUCCAUCAACAUCUUCACUAGCACCAUCUCCUCUCAAACCCUAGUUCAUCUCUUUUAUCCGAUCUUUAUCUCAAAACCUUAGAUUGGUACUUGUGGGUUGCUAGUAGUAUUGAUUACUCCUUGUAGUUGAUGCUAGUUGGUUCAUUCGGUGGAAGAUCAUAUGUUCAGAUCCUUAAUGAUAUUCAAUACCCCUCUGAUUAUGAACAUGAAUAUGCUUUGUGAGUAGUUAUGUUUGUUCCUGAGGACAUGGGAGAAGUCUUGUUAUAAGUAAUCACGUGAAUUUGGUAUUCGUUCGAUAUUUUGAUGAGAUGUACGUUGUCUUUCAUCUAGUGGUGUUAUGUGAACGUCAACUACAUGUCACUUCACCAUGAUUUGGGCCUAGGGGAAGGCAUUGGGAAGUAAUAAGUAGAUGAUGGGUUGCUAGAGUGACAGAAGCUUAAACCCUAGGUUAUGCGUUGCUUCAUAAGGGGCUGAUUUGGAUCCACAUGUUUCAUGCUAUGGUUAGAUUUAUCUUAAUUCUUCUUUCGUAGUUGCGGAUGCUUGUGAGAGGGUUUAAUCAUAAGUGGGAGGCUUGUCCAAGUAAGGACAGCACCCAAGCACCGGUCCACCCACAUAUCAAAUUAUCAAAGUAAUAACGUGAAUCAUAUGAGCAUGAUGAAAACUAAAUUGACAAUAAUUCCCAUGUGCCCUCGGGAGCGCUUUGCUUUAUAUAAUAGUUCGUCUAGGCUUAUCCUUUUCUACAAAAAGUAUUGGGCCACCUUGCUGCACCUAAGUUACACUUGUUACUCAUUACACGUUACGAAUUAUCUUAUCACAAAACUAUUUGUUACCGAUAAUUUCAGUGCUUGCAGAGAAUACCUUACUGAAAACCGCUUGUCAUUUCCUUCUGCUCCUCGUUGGGUUCGACACUCUUACUUAUCGAAAGAACUACAAUAGAUCCCCUAUACUUGUGGGUCACCAAGACUCUCUUCUGGCGCUAUUGUCGGGGAGUGAAGCGCCUUUGGUGAGUGGAAUUUGGUAAGGAAAAAUUUAUAUUACGUGCUGAAAUUUACUGUCACUUGUUACUAUGGAGAAUCAUCCUUUGAGGGGCUUGUUCGGGGCAUCUUCACCUCGACCGGUAGAGCAAGAAGUUGCUCCUCAACCUACUGCACCUACUGAAAAUAUUUAUUAUGAAAUUCCUUCGGGUAUGAUACAGAAGCUGUUAGCUAAUCCUUACGCAAGAGAUGGAACACUACAUCCUAAUAUGCAUCUAAUCUAUGUGGAUGAAGUUUGUGGAUUAUUUAAGCUUGCAGGUUUGCCCGAGGAUGACGUCAACAAGAAGGUUUUCCAUUUAUCUUUGAAGGGAAAGGCAUUGACAUGGUAUAGGCUAUGUGAUCAUAUUGGAGCUUGGAACUACAACCGAUUGAAAUUGGAAUUUCAUCAGAAGUUUUAUCCUAUGCAUCUGGUUCAUCGUGAUCGGAAUUAUAUAUAUAAUUUUUGGCCUCAUGAGCAGAAAUGUCGGCUCCGCAUGAGAGGGACCAAAGACCCAGUGGUGCCGUCUUCAUCCCGGGCUGGGCCCAAGGUGAAGAGGACGACCACUAAGAACAGCAAGGAGGAUGUGGUGCACUGGCACUCAGCCCGCCUUGCUCCGGCCUCGACUCCGGCAGCGGGUGGUGAAGGGUGUCGACCCUACUCCACCAUCAAGCCCGGCACCAUCAGCAAGCAGGACUCCUCCACCACUUAAGAGGGCGAGGGAAUCACCCUCGCCUCCUAUAUAUGAGCUGGACGCCAUGUUCGACGAUUCAGAGUGAGAACAAUUAUUUGCUUCUCUUGAUUUCAGUAACUUUUUCCUUCAGUUUAUGUUGAUCUUGUGAUGUUGGCCUUGACAGGGAUGACGAGACUUUGGCCCAGUGGGCCAAGCGCGCUGAUGCGUCCAUUUUGCAUCAUGCUUUCGUAUUGAAAUUUAUUGCAUUAUGGGCUGUUAUUACACAUUAUGGUACAAUACUUAUGCCUUUUCUCUCUUAUUUUACAAGGUUUACAUGAAGAGGGAGAAUGCCGACAGCUGGAAUUCUGGACCGGAAAGGAGAAAAUCUGAGAGACCUAUUCUACACAACUCCAAAAGUCCUGUAAAUAUACAUAGAAUUAUUUUGGAAUAUAUAAAAAAUAUUGGGCAAAGAAAAUACCAUGGGGGACACACCAGGAGGCCACAAGCCUGGGGGGCGCCCUACCCCCCUAUGUGCGCCCCUAGGGCUUGUGGGCCCCCUGUCAGGCCUCCGAUGCCCAUCUUCUGCUGUAUGGAGGGUUUUGACUUGGAAAAAUCAUAAGGAAGCUUUCGGGACGAAGCGCCACCGUCUCGACGCGGAACCUGGGCAGAAGCAAUUCCGACCAUUGUGAAUGUGUCGGUUGGCCAUUGGCUGAACCCCGUGUCCAAAAUGGUCAUUUCCCAUCUGGGAAGUCUAUAAAUAGCUACCCUGCGCCGGCUUUGCCCGGUGGCUGCUCUGUUUGAUUCUGAGAAGAUUGUUGAGCAACCCACUCUCUGAGCGAUUUGAGUUUCAAAUCCACCGUUAGAAAACCCCUAGAGCCGAAGAACUAGAUAGUGGUUAGCGUCACUCAAAUCUAAGUCUUGUAUGCUCCGCUUAUUACUCUUGAGAGCUUCAAACUCUCUAGACGGUUAGGUGUCAAUUUCUUCAGAGACCAUGAGUGAUUGUGGUUCUUGAAGAAGUCUGGAAAGGUUCGGAGAUUGCCUUCAAGUAUCUACCACGAAUAAUCAGCAUCGGUUGACGAAUCGAUUGUCGAGGAGAAUAGGGUGAAGAGAGUUUAUCUUCCAUGUUAAGUCACAACCCCUCCAACUAGACGUAGUCCUUGUGCAGAAGGAAGAACUGGUGGAACAAAUACCCUGUCGCCAUCGAGCACCACUGGUUACCUCUGUUACCCUUGUUUUCUUACCAUAUGUUUUCCAUCAUGUGAUUUGUCUCGAUGCAUGUCUAGUUUCCUUUCGGUAAUUAGUUUUACCUCAGUGUAGUUCUAUUUUUUCAUUCAUUUCCGUUGUUGGGUUUUGGGAGUUUUGAGUUUUCCAAAGAAAAUUUAAAACUCCCAUUCACCCCCCUCUGGUAGACAUACUUCGUUCCUACAAUUAGUAUCAGAGCAAGGUACUCCUUGACUCUGCUCAUUUUAGUCUAACGACUUUGGAGUUUAAGUAUGUCUUCAAUGAACUACAAAUCGCAUCUCAAUAUUCCAAUAUUCGAUGGGACGGACUACCCCUUCUGGAAGGAGAAUAUGAAGAUCCGUCUCCGAGCAAUAGAUGAUAAUAUGUGGAACGUUGUGCAAGUCGGGCUCACAAUCGGUGUACCGCAAGCCCCUACUAACGAAGAAAAGAAGCUCAUUCAGCUGGAUGCUCAAGCCAAAGAUGAUAUUGGCCGCCAUCUAUCUCGAGCACAAUUCCUUCGGUAUCGCUAGUGUGAAACUGCGAAGGAAUUGUGGGAUGUCCUCGAGAAGAUCAAUGAAGGAGUUUCAACUCAGAAAAAAGCUCGAAUUGAUACUCUACAAGUGAAAUUCAAUCGCUUCAAGCGCAUUGGAAAUGAAAGCUGUCAGCAAACCUUUGACCAUCUCAGUGACAUAGCAAAUGAACUUCAAGGUCUCGGUGCCAAAUACAUCACCGACCAUGAAGUUGUGAAGAAGCUGCUCCGAUCUUUUGACAGUUCAUUUGACACCCUUGUUCUGAUGAUUCACGAACGUCCUGAUUUCAAAUCCCUCAACUCUGCUGAUGUCAUGGAAGACUGAACACUCACGAGGAACAAGAGGAAGGGAAGAGAGAUCUGUAUGGCUCAAGUCAGCGCAAGAAUCAUGCUCUCAAAGUUGUGACUGAUUCUUCCUCCGAUGGAAAUGCCGAAGAAGAUUCAGAUGAUCCAGAAAUGCUUAGCAAAGAUCUCGCACUAACCACGAGAAGAUUAUAGCAUCUUCAUAAGAAAAAACAGUUUCAGAAGAAAGGUUCAAGCAACUCUGGCGGUUCAAAAUCCUCGUCAAAAUCUACAGGAGAAUACACCUGCUUCAAGUGCAAAAAGCCUGGACACUUCAUUUCGGACUGCCCUCUCUGGGAAGCUGAAAUCUGUGCUACUGGAAGGUAUGAUUCUGUCAACUAUCGAAGCAAAAGCAAGAGCAAGAGCAAGAACUAUGACUCCAGUGAAGAAAAGAAAACAAAGAAAUUCUUCAAGAAUAAGGACAACACCACUUCAAAAUCUUCGUCAAGAUCUUCAUCAAGGAACCCUUCCAAGUCCUCCUUCAACCGCAAGAAUAACUUCGUAAGGCCAAGGCGUACAUCGGCAAGGAGAUGGAUUCAGAAGAAGAAGAAGAAGAAUCGUCUGCCUCCGAAGAAGCUGAUGAAUCCGAUGAGGAUUCCGGCUCGGGCAUGGCUGGCAUAGCACGUGCCUCUUCUCCUAGGACAAAUUUCUUCGGGUACCCGUCAAGCGAUGAUUAAUCUCCUACCUACUGCUUCAUGGCCAAGGCCUUAAAAGAAAAGGUGCCAUCCAAACAUCACAAGGUUCACUCCAGUGAUCAAUCUUCUUCUGAUGAGGAUGACCAUGCUAAGUUGAUCAAAAUUGUCAAUAUUCAACAAAACUCGCUUGAGAAAAUUGAGAAAACCCUCAGGAAAUCUGAAGGGUUGUUGGUUGAGGAGAUGGAGAAAAUCAGUCAUUGACCAAAGAGUAUUCCACUCUCAAGUCACGAAUGGAUGAACUAUCAACUCAUCAUGAUUUUCUCUCAGCUGGCCACAAAAAAUUGACCUAUGAUUAUCUUAAGAGGAAACAGGAAAUCGAGGCGCUGAGAGAGGCUCUUGAGGACUUGAGCAGAGAAAAUUCUCUUCUCACCCAACAACUCAAGGAUAAACCUGAAGUGUUUGUGUCAGCUUGCUUAUAAUGCCUUGAAUGAACCAAUGCAGAAUCAAAUGUUGAAUCAUUUGUUAGUGCUAACCCCUCGGUCGAGGGAAAUGGUUCUGUUUCUGAUGAGAACGCUAGGUUGAAGGAUCUUCUUCGGAUGGGAAUGCUCAAAUCUCUCAAAGGGAAUCAAACCCACUGUGAUGUUUUGAAGAAAUCCAUUCUUCACAAAAAUCCCAGGAAAGAAGCCAUCGGUUUCGAAAGAUAACUGAAUGAAAAUGGUUCAUACUGGGAACCUCAUCAAUAUCCUCACACUGUGUGGGUGCCUUCCAAGAGCAAACUGCUCGAUCCAGCAUUACUUUCAGGAUAUAACUCUCCUAUUCCUGAAUAUCUUGAUGAUGAUUCUCUAGACAAUUAUAAGUUGUUCAAGAAUCAACAUGGUGAGGCUGUUGCUCGCUAUGUUGGACCUAACAGCAGAAAUGGCCCCCCAAAGAAAGCUAUUUAGGUGCCUCAGAAAACUGUUGAUGCUUUGCCUAUUACUGUUCGACUAACCAUGCAGGCAGAAAGAGUUCGACAGAAUCAGUAUAUGCAUACCACAUACAAUCACUAUGCUCAUUUGUGUGGAAGGAAUUUCAAUGCUUAUUCUUUAAACUAUGCUCGCACCUCAUCGAGCAAUAACUAUUUUUACUAAAAGAAUUCAUAUCCUGCUCGCUUAUUUGUUUCGAAGCCACCUGCAAAGACAUGGGUGGUUAAGAAAGCCUAAUUCUUCUGCGGGGCUAUGUGUCCGGGUGUACAGAAUGGAUAAUGGAUAGUGGAUGCACUAGUCAUAUGACUGGAGACAAGUUGUUGUUUGACGACCCCAACUUAACUGCUUCUCCUCUCAAGUAUAUUACUUUUGGCGACAACAAUAAAGGAAAGGUAAUUGGGCUAGGUAAAAUUGCCAUAUCCAAGAACAAGUCCAUUGAUGAUGUUUUACUUGUUCAAUCUCUUGGAUUCAAUCUUAUGUCAGUUGGCAAGCUAUGUGAUUUAGGCAUUCUAGUUCUAUUUUCCAUAUCCAAAUGCAUUGUCUUCAUGGCCUCUGACAAUUCCUUCAUCUUUGAGGGACUUAGAAAGGGUGAUCUUUAUAUUGUGGAUUUCUCUAAGGGUCCCUCAGUCCAAACUUGUUUCCUUACAAAAGCAACCGAAGGUUGGCUGUGGCACCGAAGGCUUGGUCAUGCUGGUAUGAGGAAUUUGCAGACCCUGGUGAAGACAAAUCAUCUCUGUGGUACCACUGAUAUAAAAUUCGACAAGAAUCAUCUUUGUGCUGCAUGUGAGGCUAGUAAAUUGGCCAAGAAGCAUCACUCAUCCAAGGUAGUUAUGACCACAACAAGACCACUGGAAAUUCUUCAUAUGGAUUUAUUAGGUCCUCAAAAUUAUGCAAGCUUCGGUGGCAGUCAUUAUGGUCUAGUUUUUGUUGAUGAUUUCUCUCGAUACACUUGGGUAUUCUUUCUCGAAGACAAGACCUGCACCCAAGAUAUCUUCAGAAGUUUCGCUAAGAAGACCCAGAAUGAAUAUGAUGUCUGAAUUAAGCAUGUCAGAAGUGACAAUGGAACUGAGUUCAAAAAUACUCAUAUUGCUGAAUUUCUCGAUGAACAUGGUAUUACUCAUGAAUUCUUUGUUGCAUACACUCCCCAACCGAAUGGAGUUGUUGAACGAAAGAACAGAACUCUCAUUGAAAUGGCGAGAACAAUACUCAGUGAGUACAAAACUCCCAUUCACUUCUGGACUGAUGCUAUUAACACUGUGUCAUGUUAUCAAUCGUGUUUAUUUUCACAAGUUCCUUAAGAAAACUUCAUAUGAGCUUAUCGCUGGCAAGAAACCGAAUGUUUCUUAUCUACGUGUUUUUGGUGCACCUUGCUAUAUUCUUGACAUGAAUCGUUCUUCCAAGUUUGCACCUAAGGCACAUGAAGGUUUUCUUCUCGGUUAUGGCUCAAACUCGCAUACGUACCGUGUCUAUAACUCUCACCACAAGAAAGUUAUGGAAACGGUAAAUGUGUGGUUUGAUGAAUCUAACAACUCCCAAAAGGAGCACCUGCCAAAUGCGAUAGCUGAACCACUGAUUUCAGAUGCUAUUCGGCAAAUGGCUAUUGGGAGCGUCAAGCCUAUUGAAGGAAAUGCAUCUGAAUCCUCUAAUGUUGAUGCUCUGAUGAAUCGAAGCAGAACUCGACAAGCCACCGCCGAAGCUAAUGCUCCUCCGAAUGGAAAUGGCAAUCAAAAUCAAAAUGCCGAUCAAAAUGGCAAUCCUAAAGGAAAUGAUGAAGUUGAUCCUUGACUAAUUCUCAAUGAAAUUGAGAAUCUUAGUUAUCGACCCAUGAUAACCCACAAGUAUAGGGGAUGAAUUGUAGCCUCUUUCGAUAAGUAAGAGUGUCAAACCCAACGAGGAGCUAAAGGUAGAACAAAUAUUCCCUCAAGUUCUAUCGACCACCGAUACAACUCUACGCACGCUUGACGUUCGCUUUACCUAGAACAAGUAUGAAACUAGAAUUACUUUGUAGGUGAUUUUGGAUAGGUUUGCAAGAAAAUAAAGAGUGAGUAAAUAAAAGCUAGGGCCUGUUUAAAUGAAGACACAACUAAAUUAUUUUUAGUAGAGAGCUUUUUCUCACAAGAAAGUUAUUUGUCCCUAGGCAAUCGAUAACUAGACCGGUAAUCAUUAUUGCAAUUGUAUUUGAGGGAGAGGCAUAAGCUAACAUACUUUCUCUACUUGGAUCAUAUGCACUUAUGAUUGGAACUCUAGCAAGCAUCCGCAACUACUAAAGAUCAUUAAGGUAAAACCCAACCAUAGCAUUAAAGUAUCAAGUCCCCUUUAUCCCAUACGCAAACAACCUACUUACUCGGGUCUGUGCUUCUGUCACUCACGCCACCCACCAUAAGCAAAUCAUGAACAUAUUGCAAACCCUACAGCGGGGAUCCCUCACGCUUGCGCGACACGGAGAGCACCAUAGGACAGCACCAAUAAUAAAACAUGCAACUCAAACCAAUCUUGAUCAUCAAGUAACCCAUAGGACAAAACGGAUCUACUCAAACAUCAUAGGAUAACCAUACAUCAUUGGGAAAUAAUAUAUAGCAUUGAGCACCAUGUUUAAGUAGAGAUUACAGCGAGUAAGAGAGAGGUUACACCACUGCAUAGAGGGGGGGAAGAGUUGGUGAUGAUGGCGGUGAAGUUGUUGGUGAAGAUUGCGGUGAUGACGAUGGCCCCCGGCAGCGUUCCGGCGCCACCGGAAGAGAAGGGGAGAGGGAGCCCCUUCGUCUUCUUCUUCCUUGACCUCCUCCCUAGAUGGGAGAAGGGUUUCCCCUCUGGUCCUUGGCCUCCAUGGCGUGGGAGGGGCGAGAGCCCCUCCGAGAUUGGAUCUGUCUCUCUGUCUCUCUCUGUUUCUGCGUUCAGGGAUUCUGCCCUGGCACCGUUUCUUUUAUAUCUGGAGAUCCGUAACUCCGAUUGGAUUGAAACCUUCGCCCAGAUCUUUUUCCAAAAAUUAGCUUUCUUGCGGCCAAAGUAGAGCAUCAACCGCCUUACGAGGGGCCCACAAGGGUGGGGGCGCACCCACCUGGAGUGGGCGUGGGCCCCACCCUCGUGGCCACCUCGGGCACCGUCUCGCGUUGAUUUCACUUCCCAAAAAAUCAUAAAUAUUCCAAAAUAAUUCUCCGUCCGUUUUUAUCCCGUUUGGACUCUGUUUGAUAUGGAUAUUCUGCAAAACAUAAAACAUGCAAUAGACAGGAACUGGCACUAGGCACUGGAUCAAUAUGUUAGUCCCAAAAAUAGUAUAAAAAGUUGCCAAAAAGUAUAUGAAAGUUGCAUCAUAUUGGCAUGGAACAAUAAAAAAUUAUAGAUACGACGGAGACGUAUCAACCCACAACUCGUUCACGCACUCGUUUGGCUAAUUACUGUGGCAGUUUCUCCUUUGUCACAUUGGCAGAACCUACCAACUAAGAAGAAGCCAUGAAUGAUCCAGAUUGGAUGAAUGCAAUGCAAGAGGAGUUGGUGUAAUUCAGACUGACUGAUGUAUGGGAACUGGUUGACAAACCAAAUCCCAAGAAGCACAAUAUCAUCGGCACAAAAUGGAUUUUCCGCCAUAAGCAAGAUGAAAAUGGCAUUGUGGUGAGAAACAAAGCACGACUUGUUGCUCAAGGGUACACACAGGUAGAAGGUAUUGAUUUCGGUGAAACAUAUGCUCCUGUUGCACGCCUUGAGGCAAUUCGUAUUCUUCUCGCUUAUGCAAAUUACAAUGAUAUCUCGCUUUAUCAACUGCAUGUGAAAAGAGCUUUCCUCAAUAGUGAAAUUGAUGAGGAAGUUUAUGUUAGACAGUCACCUGGCUUUGAACACCCUGAGUUUCCUAACAAAGUUUGCAGGUUGAAGAAAGCUUUAUAUGGGCUGAAGCAAGCCCCUCGAGCUUGGUAUGACACCUAGAAGAAGUUUUUGCUCGACCAAGGGUUCAAGCCAGGAUCCAAUGAUCCCACACUUUUCACUCGAGUUGUUGAUAAUGAUCUAUUCGUAUGUCAAAUCUAUGUGGAUGAUAUUAUCUUCGGCUGUACUAACAAUGCUUGCAGUUUAGAAUUCGGGAAAAUGAUGUCCAAUAAAUAUCAAAUGUCUAUGAUGAGUGAACUCAAGUUCUUUCUCGGACUGCAAAUUCGUCAACACGCAAAUGGCAUUUUCAUUUUUCAGGAGAAAUAUCUGAAAGAAUGCCUGGAGAAGUUCAAAAUGCAAGAUUCCAAAAUGAAGGGCUAUAAAGCUCCUAUGCCCAUGAAUGGUAAGCUGGAUGCAGAUGUGUAAGGUAAGGAUUACCAUCAGAAAGCUUAUCGUUCGAUGAUUGGUUCUCUUCUUUACCUAUGUGCUCCAGACCUGGUAUCAUGUUGAGUGUUUGGAUGUCUGCCCGCUAUCAAGCUGCACCGAAAGAAUCGCAUCACCAAGCGGUCAAUCGCAUUCUGAGAUAUCUGGCUCACACCCCCACCUUAGGUUUAUGGUAUCCUAAGGGAGCACAGUUUGAUCCUGUUGGAUACUCAGACUCGGAUUGGGCUGGUGACUUGGUUGACAGGAAAUCUACUUCGGGGACAUGUCAUUUCCUCAGUAGAUCAUUGGUCUGUUGGUCAUCAAGGAAGCAUAAUUGUGUAUCUCUUUCCAUGGCUGAGGCUGAAUAUAUUGCUGCUGGCGCUUGUUGCACUCAGUUAUUGUGGAUGAAGCAGACUCUGAAGGAUUAUGGCAUGAAGGUCAACCAUAUCCCUCUAUAUUGCGAUAAUGGAAGUGCCAUCAAAAUUGCACAUAAUCAUGUGCAGCAUUCUCGCACGAAGCAUAUUUCCAUCACACAUCAUUUUAUUCGCGAUCAUGUUGCUCGAGAGGAUAUUGUCAUCAAUCAUGUCAAGACCGAAGACAAUCUCGCUGAUAUUUUCACCAAGCCUCUCGACGAGAAAACAUUCAGUGUGUUACGGUGUGAGCUAAAUAUCCUGGACUUCAGAAACAUGCAUUAAGCUGGACUUGGCACUCGUGCUAACACUUCCACAUCUUUAAAGGAAUGGGUGCAUAACACUCGAAGAGUUUGGAAAUUUCGACAAAGUGAAAUUUUCUUCCUGAGAGUGAAUACAUUAACGAAGAACUAGACUAACCAUGUGCCACGAUAAUUAUGCGAUGCUCGGGGUCAUACAGUUCUUAUACGAUGGGUUACGCCACCACAAUUCUCUUUCAUUGAGUUUCUUUGUGAUCGAAAGUUUUUGUGUUUGUCCGAAUGCAUUUCCCUCAUAGCUAUUUGCUCGAGUGUUUGUGUUUAUCUGCAUGAGUGAAAUGCCUAGGACCCUGUUUUCUCUCUAUUCUAUCUCUUCCAGUCUAUGCUAUUCCAUUACAAAUGCUCAAUUUUAUCUGGAACGAAACUUUAUCUGGUGUCCUUGACCACGAUUAAGAAUCAGUCCGAACAUUAAUCUGUUUUGGCGAAAGCUAUCCAAAAUUUGGGAUUUCCCGCCCAAUUCAGGACCAUGAUCUUUAUGAUGGUUGCCACGUUCAAUACAUCAUAUGCCACUCCAUCAUGUCCAUUGAAUCGCAAUAGUCUCUGAAUAGGGGUCGUUCGAUCAUAAUCCACUGCGUGCGGUUAUUUCCAUUCGCAUAUAAAAACCGCACACCCCUUUCUUCUAGUUCACUUCCUUUCUCUUUGCCUCCUCCUCGCCGAAACCCUCGCCGAGGCGCUCCACCUUGAGCUCGACGCCGAUGAACUCUUCACCGCUUCACUGCCGGAAAGUUGUCACGGGACUCCUUCCUCGCCGCCGCAGCACAUCCUCUUCCCCGGGCCGCCGUAGCUGCUACAUGUCACCAUGCUAGGGUACGUGUGGUUCAAACUCGGUCCUCCAUCCUUCUUGAUUCGAGUUCGUCUGCGGUUAUUUUCUUCUGAUUUUACCGCAUAUCUUAGAUCUAGCUCUUUAGCCUUACUAGUGUGGAUGUGGUUUGUAGUUGUCCCUCGCAUCCGAAUCCCUUCAUAUCUAGAGUUUGUGUUAUGUUUCGCUCGAAUGGAAUGCCUAGCACGCUGACUAGUAUUUUCUUUGAACCUACUGACCCGUCCUAUACAUUUGGUUCAUUCGAAACAUACCUCAAAGUAUGCAUCUAAUUCUUGCUCAAAAUGUUUUCGUUCGGAAAAAUAUUCGCUGUGAGCAUUUGUAACCAUGUCCCCAUUUUCCCUCAUAUCUAUUCUAAUUCACAGGUGUAUGCAUUCUGUUGUGGAUUCUGCUCGACCAAUGAGCAUGGUCGAUGAAGAUGAGGUAAUCAUGGGUACAACGGGCAAGUCUAAGGCACCAAAUGCAAAGGGCCCGACGGUAGGCCCAUCCACCAGCAAAAGUAAAAGGCAUGAGAAACAUCCAGAUGAGCAAGAAGAAAAUGCUCUGAAGAAAAGGAAAGGUGGUAGGCAACCUUUCACAAAUUCAUCUCAGUAUAUCUCUCAUGACAACUACAACAUUGUUCCUCGAGAAGAUUCUCCACAAAGAAGAAAGCGUCUGCAAAGGAUUCGACGCCACUGGAUGCGGAAGUGGUUCCACUAUAAAAUGGUUCAUCCUCGAUUUGCCAAGAACUUUGCUUUCCAUCCUCCGUGCAAGUGAUCCCGAGGAAAGACCGCCACCUCCACUGAUGUUGAUGGGUCAUCUCUCAAGACUCCCGAGUCUUAUCCUGAUGAAUUGGCCAAGCGCCUGAAGAACACCGAAAAGAGAGCCAAGAAGGCUAAAAAGGAAACAACUAGAGAAGAAGAAAAUCGUCGUCUCAUCAAAUCAGACGUCGAAAAGAAAAGGUUCAAGGAAAAGCAGAAUGACAUUCUAAACUCAAGCAUGAUCCCAGCUCUGCUUUAAAGAAAUAGAGCGCACCAAGUGGAUCAUGGAAUGGAUGUCUGAAUGGAAAUGCAUAAAAUGCUCUACAAUGGAUUUUGUCUCUCAUUUUCAUUUCCCUCGAUUCGAGCAUGGCAAGACGGAAAUUCAAGUUCACAACAUUGAUGCAAUUUCCAAUGAAGAUUUCCGGUGCACAAUGGAUCAAGAGAAAAUUCUUGAUUAUAGUAGUCCUCCCUUGCCUGAGCAUUUGACCUUUGACAAUCAGACCUUAUAUCAAAUUCUCAUGUAUACCAUAUGUCCUCUGGCUGGGAUGAACGCUGAAAAUGCUAUAUCUAAUGUUCUUCACACCACCAUUCAUGCCAUCUCCCAAGGAUACUUCUUGGAUGUCGAAGACAUGUUUCUGUGCAUACUGAUGGAUUCUGCUCAGCACCCAAAAACUAUCAAAAUAUUUGCACCAUGGAUUCAGAAAAGUGGUUGACUAUGCAAUGCACACUGAAUAUUUGGCCAAAGUCAGUCACAAAAGCUUCAUUCCUCCUGUGUGUGAUGCUCUGGGGGUAAUGGAAGAUUUUUCCUCGGGGAAAGCACCAGUGUCAAGUCCUCCUAAUUAUCAUAAUACAUUUGAUGGGCCACAACUACCUCAGCGUGAUCGACAACCAAAUACUCAACCUCCUUCACACCUUGAAGUGAGCUUCCAUACUCAACAGCUACCGUUGGAGCACAUGGCUGAGGAUCGCUGAGAAAAAGAACAUUUGGCUACUGAACUAAAUGCAAUCAACAACCGAACAAAAGUUGUGCACAUGAUCAUGGCUGAAAAUAAGAAGCGCCUAUGGAUAUUGCUUCGGAAGUUCUUCUCCAAGAAGAAAUUGAGCAACUCUGAUCUCAAAGAACUCUAUGAGUAUACUGAUCAAGGGUUCUCUGCCGAAGACUAUCAAGAUCGUCUCACUCCUCCACAGUCAGCUCGUGAGCCAACAACUGAUUUACUUCGGUUUCAGCUACGUAAAUUGCUCGACGAAUCAGAAGCAACCUCGCCCACUGAGAAACCUGCUGAAGGAAAUGUGUUGUCUCACAAGAAUCAAUCCGCUGAUCCCAAUGUGCCUUCAUCCUCCCAGCCCAAAGCCAGUCUUGAAGGAACUUCUGCUGCUACUAACGAUGAAGAUGUACCAGCCACUUCCGAAUCAGAAACAUCUUCGGGGGGCUCUUCGGGCGAUGCCUCAGAGUGAAUCGAAUUCACCUCAUUUGCACUCAUGAUAUUCGUCACCUUUUUGCACUAGUUGACAAAAAGGGGGAGAAUUACAUCAAGAGUUUCGAUAGAUUUGCUUUGUUGGAUUUGGUCUCUGUGUUAAUUUGCUGUGGUUUAUGACACUUUUGAGCCCUAUGCCUUAAGACUAUUUGUUCUCUGAUGUAAAAUUUCUAAUCUGCGAUGUAAUAUUAAUAACCCCGCCUGCUGCACUAUUUCUCUCAAAGCAUUUGUCUUGCAGAUGGAAUUAUUAUCAUAAGCUAUGAAUGAUUGCACUAUAUACUCGAUGGAUUACAUAUCAUCAGUGCAAGUCAUUGCCUCGAAUGAUUGAAAAAUCCUCCAAAUACUUCAAUGAAUUGCAGUGAAUUUUAUUUCAUAUCACUAACCCUGCAUACAUCAUGGGAGAGCAUAUUUCAUCAUCGAGUCAAGUUACGCAAGAUCACUCUUGUUCAAUUUACGUUUCACUUAUCUAUCUUCACUUUGCUGAUUAUCUAUUUUGUCAACAACCGUCCAAAAAGGGGUAUUGUUGAUGCAAUGAUAGGCCCCUUAUGUUUUUGCAGUUUGUUGACAUAAACAGUAUGGGACUUAUGUGUUUGCUAGUGCACAUAGAGUAGCAGGUCCCUGAGAUGUCGAGGAGUUUGAUGCAAGCGACGACGAUAUUCUCCCUGCGUUGCAGCGAAGGUUAUCACCGAAGGUGAUGCUAAAAAAGAGUGACCCCUAAAAAUUGUUGAAUCAAGCAAUUGGUUCGGUGUCUAUUUGAAGAAAAUGACUGCGUUCGAGGAAGAAUGAAGACGAAGUGAAGACGUAGCAUUUGUUUCGUUCUUCUUCUUCUUUCAUUGAGUCAUAGGACGACCAUACUAUUAAGAGGGGUGUAGCAUUUGAAACUUUGAUACUCUGAUGCUAAACCCAAGUCCUAUGAAAAUUGUGAGAGAAAUCUCUUUGUGCUCUGAGCAGAUACUUGCUAGCAAGAGAUUGUGAUCUUCUUCGCUGCGUGAGAUUUGUCUCGAACCGAGGAGUUAGCAUUACUUGUUCUUCAAGUAAUGUUACCGUUGCUCCAAAUCCGGCCGUUGUGAAUGUGUCGGUUGGCCAUUGGCUGGACCCCGUGUCCAAAAUGGUCAUUUCCCAUUUGGAAAGGUUGCGGCUAUAAAUAGCCACCCCGCGCCGGCUUUGAACGGUGGCUGCUCCAUUUGAUUCUGAGAAGAUUGUUGAGCAACCCACUCUCUAAGCGAUAUGAGUUUAAAAUCCACCGUGAGAAAACCCCUAGAGCCGGAGAACUAGAUAGUGGUUAGCAUCACUCGAGUCUAAGUCUAGUACGCUCCGCCUGUUACUCUUGAGAGCUGCAAACUCUCUAGACAGUUAGGUGUGAAUUUCUUCAGAGACCAAGAGUGAUUGUGGUUCUCGAAGAAGAAGUCUGUAAAGGUUCGGAGAUCGCCUUCAAGUAUCUACCACGAGUAAUCGGCAUUGGUUGACAUAUCGAUUGUCGAGGAGAAUAGGGUGAAGAGAGUUUAUCUUCUGUGUUAAGUCACAGCCCCUCCAACCAGAUGUAGUCCUUCUGUAGAAGGAUGAACUGGUCAAACAAAUACCCUAUCGCCAUCGAGCACCAUUGGUUACCUCUGUUACCCUUGUUUUAUUUCGAUGUGUUUUCCAUCAUGUGAUUUGUCUCGAUGCAUGUCUAGUUUCAUUUCGGUAAUUAGUUUUACCUCAGUGUUGUUCUAUUUUUUUUCAUUCGCUUCCGCUGUUGGGUUAUGAGAGUUUUGAGUUUUCUUAAGAAAGAUUAAAACUCCCAUUCACCCCCNNNNNNNNNNNNNNNNNNNNNNNNNNNNNNNNNNNNNNNNNNNNNNNNNNNNNNNNNNNNNNNNNNNNNNNNNNNNNNNNNNNNNNNNNNNNNNNNNNNNNNNNNNNNNNNNNNNNNNNNNNNNNNNNNNNNNNNNNNNNNNNNNNNNNNNNNNNNNNNNNNNNNNNNNNNNNNNNNNNNNNNNNNNNNNNNNNNNNNNNNNNNNNNNNNNNNNNNNNNNNNNNNNNNNNNNNNNNNNNNCCCCUCUGGUAGACAUACUUCCUUCCUACCCCACGUGUCGACGUAUCAUAGGCACGUCUCCUCCACUGGAUGGACGUCAUUUGUCCCAACGCUGAGCUGACAUGUGGAUCGUCCAGCGAAUCAGAAUUUUACACGUUGAAAAUCCCCAUUGGUCCGGGCUGUUAACGGGUUAUCAGAUCCAAACCGGAACCCGAUAGCUUAACGGCAACCCAUUACAGUGGAUGCCACGUGUCGGUUACCCUUGACAAAAGCACUCCGAUGACGCGUCAUUUAUCGUCAUGGAAAUGGACUCUUCUGUGAUGAUAAUUUUGGUAUUGUCAUGGAACACUUCUACGACAACACAGGUAUGACUAUCUUGAUUCUAUCAUAAAAUCAUCAUGGAUGUACAUGCAUGACAGAAAACGUGACCUACUGUGACAAACACGUGUCAUCACGGAAGUGUAUUUUUUUAGUGUUGAUCUACAACAUAAAUUUUUCAAAGACUAUAAAGACUAAGUUCAUGAUAAUUAGUUCAGUUAAUCAAAUUACUAAUGAACUCCCAUUUAAAUCAACAUCCCUCAAGUUGUUUAAGUGAUACAUGAUCCAAAUCAACUAACCCAUGUCCGAUCAUCACGUGAGAUGGGCUAGUCAUCAAUGGUGGACAUCUCCAUGUUGAUCAUAUCUACUAUAUGACUCAUGUUCGACCUUUUGGUCUCCUAUAUUCUGAGGCCAUGUUUGUACAUGCUAGGCUCGUCAAGUUUAACCCAAGUAUUCUGCAUGUGUAAAACUGGCUUACACCCGUUGUAUGCAGACGUAGAGUCCAUCACACCCGAUCAUCAUGAGGUGCUUGGAAACGAGGAGCUUUUGCAACUAUGCAUACUUAGGGAGAACACAAUUUCUUGAAAUUAAGUGAAGGGAUCAUCUUAUAAUGCUAUCGUCGUUCUAAGCAAAAUAAGACGCAUAAAAAGAUAAACAUCACAUGCAAUCAAUAUGUGAAAUGAUAUGGCCAUUAUCAUCUCGUGCCUUUAAUCUCCAUCUCCAAAGCACCGACAUGGUCUCGUCACCGGCAUAACACCAUGAUCUCCAUCAUCAUGAUUUCCAUCAUCGUGUCCUCACGUGGUCGUCUUGCCAACUAUUGCUUCUACAACUAUUGCUAACACAUAGCGAUAAAGUAAAGCAAUUACAUGACGAUUGAUAAAUUAAACACAACCCGAUGGCUCUUGCAGGUUGUCGUACUCAUUAACAUGAAAAUCAUGAACCUAUUACAAAACAUGAUCAUUUCAUACAUCAACAUAUAUCACAUCACGUUUUGGCCAUACCACAUCAUAACAUGCCAUGCAAAAACAAGUUAGACGUCCUCUCCUUUGUUUUUGCAAAAUUUAUGUGGCUGUUAUUGGCAACUAGCAAGAAUCGUUCUUGCCUACGUAAAGCCACAAUGGUGAUAAUCAAGUUGCCUUUUAACCUUCUACAAGGACCGCCUUUGACAAAUUAGAUUCAACUAAAGUAGGAGAUACAGACACCCGCUAGCCACCUUAUGCAAAACGAGUUGCAUGUCUGUCGGUGGAACCAGUCUCUUGUGCGUGGACAAGUAAGGUUGGUCUGGGCCACUUCAUACCACAAUACCGCCGAAUCCAAAUAAGACAAUAUAGUUAAUCAAUUUGAGCAUCAACGCCUACAACUCUUUGUGUUCUACUCAUGCAUAUACAUCCACGCAUAGACCUAACUCAUGAUGCCACUGAUGGAGAACGAAACAUGAAAAUGAAAAAAUUCCUACGAACACCCAAGAUCUAUCUAGGAGAAGCAUAGCAAUGAGAUGGGAGAGUGUGUCUACGUACCCUUGUAGACCGAAAGCGGAAGCGUAUAUACUGCGGUGGAUGUAGUUGUGCUCUUCGUGAUCCAAUCACGAUCCAACCGAUCUAGUGUCGAACGGACGUACGACACCUCCGAGUUUAGCACAUGUGUGGCUCAAUGAUGUCUCCUCCUCCUUGAUCCAGCAAGAGAAGGCGAACAAGUAGAUGGGAUCACAACCAGCAUGACGGCGUGGUGGUGGAGCAUUGGCAGCACUUCGCUAAGCAAAAAAUCGUGGACGAGAACUAUGUCGGGAGGGACAGACGGGGCAACAGCCAAAGCCAAUGUGUUAGGGUGCCUUGCUGCGCCCCCUCCCCUAUAUUUAUAUGUGUGGGAGGGCUGGGAGUCCAGCCCUACUCCUAAUAGGAGUUGGUGCCACGGGAGAGGACUUGGACUUCAAGUCCAAUCCUAUUCCUAGUAGGACUCCCCUUUUUUCCCAUCCCUAGCCGCAUGGGCUUUUGAGGACUUGGUGCGCUUGGCACAACAAGGCCAGGGGCCUCCCCUAAGCCCAUGCCAGCCCUUGGGAUGUGGUGGACCCACUUGUGGACUUUCGGACCCCUCUUGAAUCGUCCGGAAGCUUCCCGGUACAAUACCGAAAAAACUACACCUUUUCCCGGAACCCAAAAUAUGACUUUCCAUAUAUAAAUCUUUACCUCUUGACCAUUCCCAGAAUCCUCAUGACGUCCGGGAUCUCAUCCGGGACUCCGAAAAACAUUCGGUUACCAAUCAUCAAAUAUCCCAAUACUACUCUAGCGUCAACAAACGUUAAGCGUGCGACCCUGCGGGUUCGGGAAUCAUGUAGUCAUGACCGAGACACCUAUCCGGUCAAUAACCAAUAGCGGGACCUAGAUACCCAUAUUGGUCCCUACAUGUUCGAUCGAUAUGUUACUUGCCCAAGAUUCGAUCAUUGGUAUCUCCAUACCUACUUCAAUCUCAUUACCGACAAGUCUCUUUACUUGUUCCGUAAUACAAGAUCUCCUGACUAACUCAUUAGGCACAUUGCUUGCAAGCUCUUUACGAUGUUGUAUUACCGAGAGGGCCCAGAGAUAUCUCUCCAUCACACGGAGUGACAAAUCCCAGUCUUGAUCCAUGUCAGCCCAACAAACACCUUCGGUGAUACCUGUCAAGCACCUUUAUGAUCACCCAGUUAUGAAGUGACGUUUGGAUACACACUGAGUUGAACGAUCUCAUGGUCUUAGGAAUAGAUACUUGACAUGAAGAAAGUUAUAGCAAUAAACUGAUACGAUCAACUGCUAAGCUUACAGUUGGGUCUUGUCCAUCACAUCAUUCUCCUAAUGAUGUGAUCCCGUUAUCAAAUGACAACUCAUGUCUAUGGUUAGGAAACCUUCACCAUCUUUGAUUAACAAGCUAGUCUAGUAGAGGCUCACUAGGGACAUAGUAUUUCUUUAUGUCACUGGUGCAGAGACCUGCUAUACAAAUGGUUUUUACCCCCUUUCCGCGAUGGAGUUUUAAACCGUAGCCUAGUGAAGUAGUGAGUGUGUGCGAUAGGGGGGUCCUUCCCACACGACCCAAAAACCGUCGGGGAUAGGCCCUCCGGCCACACAGGCUGAGGAAAAAUGAGCUCGUGUGUGAUCAGGCGAGGCAUCAAAACCCAAUCGUUUCCGUUCAUAUGUACAUCCCACAUGGUGAAUCCCAAAAUAUUUCCAUUCUUAUGCAUAUCGCACAUAGUUUUUUGUGUGGAAACAUUUGUGCAAGGUGGCCUAACGUAAACAGUUCCCUGCCGGAAGCUGUGUGUGAUUGUUAGUUGAUCAAACAUGCCUACUUUCUAGAAACCGUGUGGGUUGUUUGAUUUUAUCGCCCACGGUGGUGCCUGAGUAACCGUAUGCAAUAGAAAACCCCAAUAAGCAGGGUAAUUAGCCUAUUAUUGAUAAUCCAUGUAGUAAUCAAAUUGACAUUUCUUAUAAAACACACCAGAUAUUUCAUAUCCGUAUAAUGGCAACCAGGAUUUCAUAAUCGAAUUACAUCAUAUAGCUUCAGUACUCAGUUACGCCAUUACACAACAGCACCAAGUUUCACAUGCAACAUCAGAAACCUUUGGAAAGUAGCAUCAUACACGGUAACUAGACAGAUGAAUCUCAUCUGGGAAACUGCAGAAGCGGAAGGCAAAUAUUGAGCCUUCACUGAUGUUGAAUGUCCCUGCAACUUUAGGCCAGUGGAUAAGGAUAAUUGCCCGCCCAACCUUUGUCCUCUUCAGGAAGACUACAAUAUUGUACCGUGGGUGUUCAAUGAAUACCUUCCUCGCCUCUUGACCAUGCAGGUGGUUUGAGAGGUAAUCAUCGGUGAACUGCUUUGCAAAGUACCGAAAACAAAGAUAUGCAUAAAUCGUUGUAACAAAUUUGGAAAUGGCGCAGGGGGUAAAAACAAGGUAAACACUACUGCAGGAUGGUCCAAACGUGACACUACGAUCAGAGACCCUUCGACGAAACUGCGUGCAAUGCCAUAAUCACAAACGGUGGUGUAAAAAACCCGUCAAAAAAGGUGCAAAACGUUUGCGAUGACGGAUGCAUCAAAUACGGUUCAUAUUUUGGGAUGAGGAGGAACAAAAGAAACGGCCAGCCAGAUGAAGGUGUGUGCGAUAUACAGCAUACGGUUCACUAGGAUGAACUGUGUGUGAUUAGGCAACACAAUGGAAACGGUUCAACUGAACAAGAUGUGUGUGAUACGCGGCAAACAGGUCCGUAAUCAGAAAUGUGUGCGAAGACCAAUAAUAACACAGACGAUUGCUGCUAAUAAGCCGUGCGAUUUGCUCUGUCUACAGAAGAAUAACAUGUGUGUGUGUGUGUGUGUGUGUGUAACUGAAAUAAACACCCAAUUACAUAAGUGACUAUACAGAUCAUUCGCACACACCUCAAUAAACAAUUGCAUGCAUCUAAAGUAGGAGAAAACGAUCGUCUAGUCAUCUACUUCUUGUGACGCUCCCGCCACUGCUAUGUGGCUCGAUCCCUCGUCUGGGGCAGGAAGAAGACAGUUCCUCAUGUCAACGAUCCGCCUGUACAUCUCGUAGCUUGUGUACGCGUCCUUGGCCGCGUACUUGACGUGUUAUUCAUCCAGUCUCUCAUGCCAAACACUGUGCCAAGCGUUCUUGUCCUUCUUGCUCCCUUCCUUCAUCUUCGCGUGGUAGGGGUUGAUGAUGGCCGAGGCAAGGUCAACCAGGAGUUCAGUUUGUUGUUGUCGCUCCCCCAGACCUUGUAGUGGUGCUGGAUGUUGACAAGAUUCGGGCAUUUCAAGCCCGAAACCUUGAGCGCUUUUAGAUCGUUGGUGGUGUCCACCGUAGCGAAACUAUAGCCGGAGCUGUUGAUAAACCUGGAGAAACGCUCGCAAGGCCUUGUGGCCAGGUGGUAGUGGUAGACGAGGACGUCAUGUCGCACGCACAACUGGGCGACGACAACCUUCUCAUCGUGCCCAGCACGACCCAUGGUAUACUCGUGGUCGAAUCCGACCACUUGGUACUUGCCCUCGGCAAGGAACUGCUCUAUAGUUUGGAUGGAACUCUCCACCAAGACCGGAUCAUUCGUGUACACAACCGAGAGAGCCUUCCCCCUCACGUGGGUGUCCACGACGUGUUGCAUGGUGAACUGCCCGCCGUUGUCAUCGUCGGCCGCCGGGAGCGCCAUUGGAACAGUUGGAUGUCCUCUCUGUAUGUGUCCUCGUGGGUGUGCUUAUUUUGUCAUGUGACACGAGAGAUGAAGGCAAAUGGCCGCAGGAAUAAAAUGGGGCCGGGCGGCCUGGAUUCUCGGCGCGUCCGCAUGGUAGUUUUUGCAGCGGGUAACUGCAUCGUCAUGCCGCGCCCGGUGCAACCGCAUGCACACGAACGUGCGUGAUCGUGAGCCGGACCCAAACACUGGCAGCAUGCAUGGAGGGACGAGGGUAGAGCACCCGGAGGGACGCGAGAGCAGAGCGCGUGCGGCGGGACGCGAGAAGAGUGCGCCGUGGCCGCCUCAACCGCAAGCAACCACAUGCGUAGAGCCGUUGAACACGCAGGAAAUGGUCGCCUACAAGCCGGCCGACAGUUGCGUCACUUCUUAGUGAGCGGCCGUGUACUACUACCUCUGUCUUGGUCUAUAGUCCCCAUUCUGUGCCAUACUUUGCCCUUAAAUUUAACCAACAAAAUGUUAAUGCAUGUUAUAAAAAUUAUAUAAUUGGGAACUAUGUUCGAAUACGAAUCCAACUAUAUAAUUUUUGGCGACAUGCAUUCGUAUUUUAUUAGUUAAAUCCUACUUAUAAACCAGGAUGGGGGUAUAGUAGGUAAUUAAACUACAAACGUUUUCUUUUUGUAUUAACCGUAUGUGUAUGUAGCCUUUCGUCCUCCUCUCGCACGUCUUGUCAACCCGCUGUCGUAGACGGCUUACGGCGCAAGCUUGCGCAGCGCGCGAGGGCGUUCUUUUGGCCAAACGGUGGCGCCAAUGAAUCAUCGGUGAGCCCGUUCCCACGCAACCUUCCUGCCCGACUCAGUGAAAUCCCCCAAAAUCCCAAUGCUUACCGGCCUGCUAUAUAAACCCUCACGGCCGGCGAGUCCUGCGUCGCAUUUUCCCCUCCCUCCCUGUAGCUUAUCUCGUCUGCUUCUCCCACAAUCGCCAAUGGCACCGGCCAUCGUCAUCGCUCAGCCACUCCGCUGUCAUCAGAGGACAGCUCCAGCUAGGAGGCUACACCGCGGCGGCGGCACAGUCCCCGGUGUAGUGUAGUGCGCGUGGCGUCCCUGUUGGCUGUGCGCGGAACACCCACCACACGCUCCGCCGCCGCUGCCAGUCGGCAGCUGUUGCCGGCCGCCAUUGCUGCCACACCACCGCCGAAAACCAAGGCCAUCGCUCGCUCCGCCGCCGCCGCCCGAAGGCAGGAGGUGGCCGUCAUGGCCGCCACCCCACUGCCUGUCGUCGUGGUCAUCACCCGCUCCGCCACCGCGGCUCGAAAGCGGGAGGUGGUGCUCGUGGCCGCCACCCCAUCAUCGGCCGCCGUGGCCGCCAGCCCACCGUCGACCGCCGGGGUCAUCACCCGCUCCGCCACCGCCGCCCGAAGGGGGGAGGCGGAGGUGGAUGCCCGCACGUGCGUCAGCGACCUUGCACGCUACACCAAGUUCCUGCGGGAGGAGGACAAGCGUCGCAUCGAGCACGCAAAGAGCCUUGCCGCCGCCGUGGCCGCGGCACACAUCGCCUCAGAGGCGAGGAAUCAGGAGAUCUAUGAGGAGAACCACCGCUUCGAGAGGGGUCGUCUAGAGUGGCAGAGGGCGUUCGAGGUGAGCAUCGCUGAAGCUGCAGCAGCGACAGGCACCGUAUUGCGGUUGCCCAGCUCGUCGAUAGGCUCCUCCUCCUCUGCCUCUUACUGAGCGUGCUCGGCAGAGGAGAGGCAGUCGGAAGUAGUACAAAGCCCCUCCGUAGUAGUAGUAGUAUUUAGGGGCUAUUUUGUUCAGUUCAUCUGACUAUAGAUGUGGUGGAACUGUACAAUGUACUUAAAAUUAGCUAGUAUAUAUAGUUGAACUAACUAUUUCAGUACGUGGUUAGCAACAAUUGGGGAAAAGUUUGGUCGGUUCAGCUGUCGAGUUGAACUGUUUGUAUAAAUUAAGAACGACUACUUAAUCUAUGAAUGAAAUCUAUGCUUAAUUACUGAAUUUUAGUUGCAAAAAUUAGAUACUGCUAGUGAUUUUUAGCUUCAUAUUUUGACAAAUCGCAGUGUUACAAGGUUGACAAAUGACAAUGUUACUAGAUCAACAAAUGUCAAUCUUUCCAGUUUGACAAAUGGCAACAUACCCAAAUUGUUUGUAAGUGGUUGCACACGGGUCAUCCAAAAGAACCGUUUGCGUUGAAGAGAUGCACAAAUCCUACCCUCACUUUGCAUACGGGUGUUCUAUCUAAAAUGUAUGCGAUCAAGUGCUGCAUAAAUCCUAAUCGGCACAUUUUCCCUUGGCUUCCUGGGGAAGCUGUCGAUUUGCAUACAUGUGUUCUAACUAAAACGUCUGCGAUGAGUGUUUUAUAUUUCAAAACCCCUGGCAUUUUUUAAAAGAAAAUCGUUUGAUAAGUCUGUACGUUAAGAGAGAAAAAUGCAAGUUCGUUCAAACCAUAUCUUUCAUUUAGACAUACUGCGAAUUUAUAUUCAUAUGAUCGAGAUACAGUAUUAAACCCAGAAAAAAACUAUUUCCGACGGCGGCGGAGGCGGAGCGGGUGAUGACCCCGGACAGCUUGCACGCCUCUCGGUCAGCCUGCGCACCGGGCUGCGCUCGCAUGCUUCCCGUUCAGUCAAGGUCAAGCAGUUGUCCGAACGGCACCUCUUAUAGCCAUUAAAACCAAGACACGUGGCGUCACGUGAAUGGUUAACAGAACGCACACGGUUUGAAUUAUACAAACAUUUGAGAUAUUAAAGUGGCAGCUGUUUUUUCAAAAUGCCUUUGUUGGCUGUUAUUCGAGUGUGCCUUCCCUCAAAAUGGACACAAAAAAUACCACAGCAUGUCGGGUGCCAUUCCAUGAUAGCAUGCCAAGUUUCAUGAAUUUCAGACGAGUUUUGGAUUUACUAGAAUUUAAAAUCAAAGUAUCUCAACGUUUUGCCGGCAAUUGCUGGUGCCCUGGUGUUUGAAAUUCAUUCCCAUUUCUUGCAUUGGACCUAAGCAUGCACUCAAGGACAAAGAUUUGAUUUUUCAACCAAUUUAUAUGCACUGGAGCAUGUGCAUGUAGUUCAAAUUUGAAUUAUGCACAUAAAUGCAUUGAAAACUCAGUUAAUGCAUAAUAAUGUCCAAACGAACCCCAAAAAAUCACAAAAAUUGACACAACACUCCUGUUAUUCUAUGUUGACAUGAGAAAAAAUUUGAAAGCAAUAAGAAGCAAUGGAUAUCGUUUCGUCCCCAAAGGUGGGACGUUCCCUACCGAAACCAUCAUGCUUGUUGUGAGAAGCUUUGGUUUGUGAGAAGCAUAUACCCAAACCUGCUCCAAAUGGGACAAAAAUUUUACCACGGCAUGUUGAUGCCGCUCCAUGAUAGCAUGCCAAGUUUCAUGAAUUUCAGACGAGUUUUGGAUUUACUAGAAUUUAAAAACGAGGUAUCUCAAUGUUUGCGGCCGAGUGACGGUGGCAGGGUGUUUGAUAUUCAUUCCCAUUUCUUGCAUGGGACCUAAGCAUGCAACCAAGGAUACAGAUUUGAAUUUUCAACCAACUUAUAUGCAUUAGAGCGUGUGCAUGUAGUUCAAAUUUGAAUUAUGCACAUAAAUGCAUUGAAAACUCAAUUAAUGCAUAAAAAAUGUCCAAACGAACCCCGAAAAAUCCCCAAAGUUGACACAACACUCCUGUUGUUCUAUGUUGACACUAGGAAAAAAAUUGAAAUCAAGAAGAGGCAAUGGAUAUCGUUUCGUCCCAAAAGGUGAAAUAUUCCCUACCGAAACCAUCAGGCUUGUUGUGAGAAGCUCUGGUUUGUGAGAAGCAUAUACCCAAACCUGCCACCAAAUGGGACAAUUUUUUACCAUGGCAUGUUGAUGCCACUCCAUGAUAGCAUGCCGAGUUUCAUGAAUUUCAGACGAGUUUUGGAUUUACUAGAAUUUAAAAAUAAGGUAUCUCAAUGUUUGCGGCCGAGUGACGGUGGCAGGGUGUUUGACAUUCAUUCACAUUUCUUGCAUGGGACCUAAGCAUGCAACCAAGGACACAGAUUUGAAUUUUCAACCAAUUUAUAUGCAUUAGAGCAUGUGCAUGUAGUUCAAAUUUGAAUUAUGCACAUAAAUGCAUUGAAAACUCAAUUGAUGCAUAAAAUGUCCAAACGAACCGCAAAAAAUCCCAAAAAUUGACACAACACUCCUGUUGUUCUAUGCUGACACUAGGAAAAAAGUUGAAAUCGAGGAGGCAAUGGAUAUCGUUUCGUCCAGAAAGGUGAACGUUCCCUACCGAAACCACCAGACUUGUUGUGAGAAGCUCUGACUUGUGAGAAGUAUAUCCCCAAACCUGCCCCAAAUGGGACAAAAAAAUUACCACGGCAUGUUGAUGCGGCUCCAUGACAGCAUGCCAAGUUUCAUGAAUUUCAGACGAGCUUUGGAUUUACUAGAAUUUAAUGUGUAAAAUGUUCAAACGAACCCUGAAUAAUUCCAAUUAUUUUAUGACACACAUAUAGUUGCAUGUUCACUGCAGAUAAAAGGUCUAGCAAUUCAAACACCGUCCAUUGCCGUUGUGACCCCAUUAUGUAAUUCAAAUCAAGAUGAAAAUCAAGUAGAUCCCACAUAGUUUAUUAUCACCAACCGUGUGAGAUGCAGCACAAAAUAUCCCAGAGCACCGUCGGUGUAUAGUACGCCUAUGGCUUACGCGAGAAGGUGCAUCAGCUACAGUCCACAGCCGGCAUUUCAAGCACACUAGCUCGCUCCCCAAAUAUCAUUUCACUGUUCAAUCAUCGUCGGCGAAAGAUGGGCACGUUGACCUGCGUCGUGAGGGCAACUUCGGGGCCCACUCCGGCGAGAGCGCGGCCGCAGCUGCCAUGCACGUGCUAACAAGGUGCAUGAGCGCGGCCGCAAUCUGCGACCGGGCGGCCAAGGCAGCCCAAACGGCCGCUGUUGCUUCUCAGGUGGCGGCAGCAACAUCUGCCUCGGGGAUAGCAACUGGCGAGAGCGGCACAGCAGUUGUCCGUUCCGUAGCGAUAGCCUUAGCCCUGAUGGAGGCCGCCCAUGACCAUGUCGAGGCCGCCCACGCCCAGCUCGUGGCGGUCACCGCACAAAUCGAACGAAGCUUCUCCGACAACGGUCGGCAACCCACGACCGAAGAGUUGGCAAUCGCCGAGAGCGUUCGAGCAGUCAUCCGUUCCUCCGCCGCAUACCUUGCGACGACGGAGCCCGUCCAAGCCCAGAUCGUGGCCGCCCACGCCCAGCUCGUGGCGGCCUUUUUCGAAGAGAUGGCGGACGCGGAUGGCGAGAUGCUUGCCGAGUAUGGUGCGAUGGAUGCCAUGGAGCCCCUUCCCCAGGAGACCGUCGGGCGCGAGCUGGACAUGGAGGCGGCGGCGGAGAUCGACGAGCACCAGCUGUAGUAGUACUCUUUGUUUUGUUUAAUUAAGAGCGCUGGUCUUUAAUUUGUUAGGGUAAUGUUUAGGUCAGCUAGCUCUGUUUAGUUACUGAACUUGCUCGAUUAAGAAGUAUGGGUGUGCUAUAGUCUCCUUUGUGUACCCAAAUUAUGCAAUGACCACUUUAACCAGGGAAAUUCGAACCAAAAUUUUUGACGUUCAAACUCAUCACACACGAGUUAAGCUAUCUGAAUCAUUUGUGAUGUUCACAUAUCGUACACAGUUCUGAAUAAGGGACCGUGUCUGAUGACACUUUGCGCGCCGGUUUUUUCACUGAAGUAAUUCCAAAAUUUUGGCUUCCGCGGAAAUAUCUACCUCCCCGCCCCCUCCCCCUUACCAAAAGCCACAUUCCCCUGUUUCUGCCUUCCUUUCCAAGUUGAAACCUUCACUCCUUGCUUGCAGCGCUGCCUCCUCGCUGGCGGCCCUCCUUCAUGUUGCUCUGCCUCGUCUAUCGAGGCAGGUAAUCCACACCCGACCCCCAUCCUCCUCCUCCUUCCACAUCCCACAUGCCCCGACCGCCGGUGCGACACCUUCCACCCAAAUCACCGACCCCUCCACCAAAUAAGCGCCGCCCUAAGCCAUGGCGCGCGCAGUAUAGCUAGGAUCUCAAGGAGCAUUUGGCAGCAGAGGAGCAAAUCGUGGCCGCACGCGCGGAUGAGGUCACGAUGGCAGCCAUUCGUGCCGACCCCCAGAUCUUGGAGGAGCACCUUGCCAUUUUCUAGCUAUGUCGGUUAAGCAUGCUCGGUUUACCCAUUGCGUGUGCUUCUCUUGCCUUUCCUUCACAAAUUCUAGUGAAUUGUGUUAUCUAAUUUUACCAUGCAAUUUGUUGCUCUAGUGUAUAUGUUCUAUAUGUUGUGCAGUGUGGUUCUCACUUAUUAACUAUUUUGUGAAUUAGUUGUCGUCUUCAGUUAACUGUUUGGUUCAAUUCUGCAAAUGUGAUGUUCAAUUCUUCAGGCUGCAAUUUUGUAUUGUCUUCCAUGUGAGAAAUAAAUCAAAUUUAUCUUUACAAAAUACAUGAGAAACGAAUACAAUUGCUAUAUUUCCAAGUUGUCAAGCAUGCUUGGUUUGGUUAUACAUUGUGAAAUGUGGUGCUCGUUUAAUGUUUGGUUCAUUUGUGUUGUGGUGUUUAGUUAACUGUUUGGUUCAAUUCUGCAAUGCGAUGUUCAAUAGUUGUGGGUGCAUUCUGUUAUUGUAUACCAUGUGAGAAAUAAAUUAAAUUUGGUUGUAGUAAAUACAUGAGAAACAAAUACAAUUGCUAUAUUUCCAAGUUGUUAAGCAUGCUUGGUUUGGUUAACUAUCUGAUCUUAUAUUAGGAGUAUGUUAUAUUGUGCAAUGUGGUGCUCAAUUAAUGUUUGGUUCAUUUGUUGUGGUGCUUAGUUAACUGCUUGGUUCAAUUUCUGCAAUGCGAUGUCCAAUUUUCGUUGGUAGAAUUUUGUAUUGUUGUGCAUGUGAGGAACAAAUUGAAUUUGGCUGCACUUAAUACAUGAGAAACAUAUACAAGUGCUAUAUUUCCUAGUUCUUAAUCAUGCUUGGUUUGGAUAAAUGGGUUUUCCAUGUGGCUUGAAUUAAUCUGAUGAAUCUGCAAUGUGCUUAUUUUUCAUCAACAUAUUUUACUAAUAGCAUGCGAACCCUCACUUAACAUGAUGACUAACUACCUUAUAUGUGUUGCAGGGAAACAAUGGGAAGCAUUGAGGUUUACAAUCGAGUUAGCACGUGCAUGGUCCGUUGUCUAAUAGCACAUUAGUGUGCAAUUGCAGGAACCAUGUAUUCUAAUAUUUAGGUUUAACAAUUUGGUCUUGCACAUGUAGGUCCUACUGUCAGAGGUUUUGACCCACUGUUUGACCCUUUUUGCAUAUGGGGAAAUGAGAUGUCCAUGAAUAUCAAUCAAGUCAAGAAACUCACAAAGAUUGUUAGGAUAAAGAAAUUAGCGACAAAAAACAACAAGAUCUUUGUGUGCACAAUGAAGAAGACAUCAGUUCACUACAAGAUGGUACUAACUAUUAUACCUUGCCUUUUUUUAUUCAUUUGCCCCAUUUCCAAUAUAGAGAAGAUAUUUAUGCACAUUCUUGUUUUCAGGCCUUUCCAAAGCAGUUCACUGAUAAUUACCUCUCAAACCACCUCUAUGGUCAGGAGGCGAGGAAGGUUUUCAUACAACACCCAUGGUUCAAUGUUGAUGUGUUCCUGAAGAGGACGAAGGACGGACGGUCAAUCAUCGACAGGCACUGGCCUAAAGUUGCAAAGACCUUCAACAUGAAUGAAGGCUCAAUAUUCGCCUUCCGCUUCAGCAGUUUUCCACAUGAGAUGCAUCUGUCUAUAUACCGUCUAUGAUGCUAAUUUUGAAAGGUUCUACAUGUUGCAUGUGAAACUUGGUGCUGGUGCAGUUGUGUACUGGGGUAGCUGAGUGCUGAAGCUAUAUCAUGUUGUACUCUGAUGUAUUUCAAUUAUGAAAUCCUGCUUCCUUAAUAUGGAAACGAAAUAUAUUAUGUGCUUAAUAUGAAUGUCAAUUAGAUCAAUAAAUGGAUUAUUAAUAAUAGGGCAAUUAGCUUGCUAAUGGCGAAUUAGCCCGCUAAUUGGGUUUUGCUAUUGCAAACAGUUAUUCAGAAAAUACCGUGGGCGAUGACCUCAGGCAACGCACACAGUUUCUAGGAAUAAACCGUGUUGGAUCAAUGAACAAUCACACUGUAGCGACCAGACCUCAAAUGGUCUGUGCUGCUGUGCACCAGUGUCAUCCCUGGAUCAGUAAUGCUGACACGCACAGUACAAAUGGAGGAUUUAUAACAGAGUAGCAAUCACACACUUAUUACAUCGAAUAUCUCCAAAGAGAUUAAGUAUGAUAAACAUGGCUUAAGGCCAUCUAAAAAUGAUAACAGCGAAAGACUUGGAAGAUAAGUGAGUCCAUCAACUCCAGCGGCAUCACUGAGUAUAAGACCACGACCUAAGGCACCUUACUCGUCGUCUGAAAAGUCUGCAACAUGAAACGUUGCAGCCCGAAAACGGGUCAGCACAUAGAAUAUGCUGGCAAAGUAACACAUAGAGAAUAAUGAACAAUAAUAAGGCUAUACUACAUGCAUAUAUGGCUGGUGGAAAGCUCUAUGGUUACAAUUUUGCGAAAAGCCAAUUUUAUCCUACUUCAAAGGAAUAAAUUUUAUUUAACUAUCAUGGUGGUUGUGAAACAUUGAGAUGGUUGACAGCAUCUCAAUCCCAAUUAAAUGUCAUCAAUAACCCAACAAAAUUAAUUAGAAGUAACAUAGUGAUGAGAUUCACAUGAUAAUCCAAGUACUAGAUACUCAAGUUGUCCAUAACCGGGGACACGGCUAACCAUGAUUAGUUUGUACACUCUGCAGAGGUUUGUGCACUUUUCCCCACAAGACUCGAUCGCCUCCGUUGGAUUACUCGCACUACAUGGUGUUUGAGUAACGGAUGACCGAGACACAGUCUUUCAGAAGUGUUUGCACCUUACGUAUGGGUAGACCGUUACACCUACUUUCCCCUACAUCUGCUAGUCUACCACUGUAAGAGUUCACACAACUUAGUCAACUAUGCUAGAGCCCAUAAUAGCUUGCAGCUGCACACGGAAGUUUCUAGCAUGAAUAAUCUCAUGAUCCCUUUGAACCUGGGUGGCGGUCCAAAAGAAAAACAGGCAAUCCUGGAAUACCCAGGUACCUCAAUCCACCCAGAUGUGAGUUUUAGUUGCCACCUUAAGUAAACCAUUAAUUAACAAUCUCACAUCUGUCAUGGAACUCUCUCAAACCCAAUCCACGUCUACGAGCAUAGCAUGGCAAUAUAAUAGCAAACGUAGAAGUAACUCCCAAGGGUUUGAUAAAUAAAACAGGUAAUAGGUACUACCUCAACUACUUCCCAAAACUCACAAUUUAAUUAGAUCCUAAUCAUGCAAGUGUUUGAGGAAAAUAGAUCUAAUGCAAUAAAAACUGGGUAUGGAAGGUAUAUGAUCAAAGUGUUACUUGCCUUGCUGAUGAUCCGCAAAACCUAGCGAUUCGAAGUAACAAGCGGCACACUCCGGGUACUCUAUCGCAAACAAACAAGCAUACAAUCAGUACUCAUCUAAUGCACAGGUAAAACUCGAAUGAAAGAUCCAACCAGAAAUUUCAACUUAAGAACUCCGGUUUGCAAAAAGAAUCAACUCGAAAGAAGCAACGAAAGUCAAACGGCGAAAGAAACAAGCUUCGUUUACUAAUCUGGAUCUAGGUCAAAUUUUACUGUAGCAAAAACUUGUUUGAGUAGGUUAAACGGAAAGAGAAUUUCGAGACGAAACUCUAGGCGCUUGAAUCGCCUGAUUCCGAUAAACGAGCGGAAAGUUAAACAGAAACGAAGAUUCGAUCAGAAAUCGAAUCUGAGAAAAUAGCGGAAAAAUCCGACGAAAAAGAAAAACGGACGAACUGUUAAAGAACGGACGUUCGUUAACAGAGAAAAAACCGACGAACGCGUUCGUUAAAACGAACGGUUCGGUGAACGCUCGCAAAAUAAUAAAACCGAAAAAAAACCGAUCUAGGGUUUUUUUUUCUACAAACGUUUUUUUAAAGAAAACCGGCAAAACCGAACGGCAUCGAGGUAUACCUCGUCGGGGCGGCUCCGGCGGGGCUCCGGCGGGGGCUCCGGCGAGGGCGGCGGGUGCGGCGGUGGUGCGGGGCUCGGGGAAAGGCGAGGGGCGGCGAGGGGGCGGCGCACGGCAAUGAAAGGCGNNNNNNNNNNNNNNNNNNNNNNNNNNNNNNNNNNNNNNNNNNNNNNNNNNNNNNNNNNNNNNNNNNNNNNNNNNNNNNNNNNNNNNNNNNNNNNNNNNNNNNNNNNNNNNNNNNNNNNNNNNNNNNNNNNNNNNGGGGUGGGUCGGCGGCCUGGCGCGGCUGGGCUCGGCCCGGCGGGCGCGCGCGUUUUAAAAAAAAAACGUUCCGCGGAAAAAUAUUCGUAGAAAAAUAAAUAAAGGUCCAAAAAAUAUAAAAUAAAUUUUCCCCGUCUAGUUAGAAAAUCUAGAAUAGGGUGAACAUUGUUUUAACACAAAAUAAAUAUUUUGAAAACAUGCAAUAUUUUUAAUGCAAUAAAAAUUGCAAAUAAAAUCCAGAUAAAUUCCAAUAAAUGAUUUUAACAUUUUACCUCCAGUAUUUCAAUAGUUUUGGAGAAGUCAUAUUUUCAACUCUCAUUUAUUUUGUUUAAUGAAAUAUUUUUCCGGAGAGAAAAUAAUUAAAACCAACAUCCUCGUUUUAUUAUUUGAUGAAAAUCAAAUAUGAAAAUUCGAGAAAAUCCCCAACUCUCUCCGAGGGUCCUUGAGUUGCUUAGGAUUUAUCGAGGAUUUGUCAAAAUGCAAUAAAAUAUGAUAUGCAAUGAUGAUCUAUGUAUAACAUACCAAAUUGAAAAUUUGGGAUGUUACAAACCCACCCCCCUUAAGAUGAAUCUCGCCCUCGAGAUUCGGGUUGGCUAGAAAACAGGUGGGAGUGGUCCUUCCGUAGAUCUUCCUCUCGCUCCCAGGUGGCUUCAUCCUCCGUGUGGUGACUCCACUGGACUUUGCAAAACUUGAUAACCUUGCUGCGGGUAACUCGGCUGGCAUACUCAAGAAUCUUAACUGGUUUCUCCUCAUAGGUCAAAUCACUUUCCAGCUGAAUCGCUUCAAGUGGCACAGUAUCUCUCAGUGGUAUCUCAGCCAUCUCUGCGUGGCACUUCUUCAACUGGGAAACGUGAAAUACAUCAUGAACUCCAGACAAUCCUUCGGGCAAUUCCAGCUUGUAGGCAACCUCUCCCAUACGUUCCACAACUCUGUAUGGUCCGAUAAAACGGGGCGCUAACUUUCCCUUAACUCCAAAGCGCUUCACUCCUCGAAGUGGUGAUACUCGAAGAUAAACUCGGUCUCCGACUUCGUGAACUGUCCCCUUUCGUUUAGAAUCAGCAUAACUCUUCUGCCUGGACUGGGCUACCUUGAGCCUAUCGCGAAUCAACCUCACUUUCUGUUCAGACUCCUUAAUCAAAUCUGGUCCAAACAACUGACGGUCUCCAACUUCGUCCCAUAACAACGGUGUUCUACACCUCCUUCCGUACAAGGCUUCGAAAGGGGCCAUCUUUAAACUGGUUUGAUAACUGUUGUUAUACGAAAAUUCUGCAUAUGGCAAGUUAUCGUCCCAACUAGAUCCAUAAUCUAGUGCACAUGCUCUCAACAUGUCCUCCAAAAUCUGGUUGACUCUCUCGGUCUGUCCAUCUGUCUGCGGGUGAAAAGUUGUACUAAAUUCCAGCCUGGUUCCCAAUGUUUCAUGUAACUGCUUCCAAAACUUCGAGGUAAAUUGGGUUCCUCUGUCUGAUACAAUGGUCCUCGGAACUCCAUGCAAACAUACGAUCCUUGUCAUGUAUAUCUUUGCCAACUUAGCACUGGUAUAAGUGGUCUUCACUGGAAUAAAAUGAGCCACUUUCGUCAAACGGUCGACUACAACCCAUAUUGAGUCAUAGCCUGAACGAGUCCUGGGUAAUCUUGUGAUAAAAUCCAUGCCUAUUUUAUCCCACUUCCAUUCGCGUAUCGGCAAUGGUUGUAGCAAUCCUGCUGGCUUCUGAUGCUCUGCCUUCACUCUCUGACACACAUCACAAACUGCUACAUAUUCUGCAAUAUCCUUCUUCAUUCUGGUCCACCAGAAAGUAUUCUUCAAAUCCAAAUACAUCUUGGUAUUCCCUGGGUGAAUCGAGUACGGUGAAUCAUGGGCUUCUUGCAAAAUCAACUUCCUGAUCUCCGGAUCAUUUGGUACAUAUACUCGAUCCUCGAACCAUAAGGUAUCGUGCUCAUCCUCACGAAAUCCCUUGGCUUUACCUUUGCUCAUCUUCUCCUUUAUCUCUUCAAUCUCCUUGUCUGUCUUCUGAGCUUCUCUGAUCCUUUCCAUCAAGGUAGACUGAAUCUCCAAUGUCGCUAAAUAGCCUCUUGGAACUAUCUCCAAGCAUAGCUCGCGAAGGUCUUCGGCUAACUCCUGAGGUAACUCUCCUGUCAUGAGGGUGUUGACAUGACUCUUGCGGCUCAACGCGUCUGCUACUACGUUAGCCUUUCCAGGGUGAUAAUGCAAGCUCAUAUCAUAAUCUUUAAUGAGCUCCAACCAUCUCCUCUGUCUGAGAUUUAACUCCUUCUGCGUGAAAAUAUAUUUCAAACUCUUGUGAUCCGUGUACACCUCACAAUGGUUUCCGAUGAGAAAAUGUCUCCAUGUCUUCAACACAUGCACCACGGCUGCUAACUCCAAAUCAUGCGUAGCAUAAUUCUUCUCAUGGGGUUUAAGUUGUCGUGAAGCAUAUGACACAACUCUUCCUUCCUGCAUAAGCACAGCUCCAAGUCCUCGACGAGAAGCGUCGCAAUAAACUUCAUAAUCCUUGCGUUGAUCUGGCAGGAUCAACACUGGCGAUGUAACCAAUCGUUUCUUCAACUCUUGGAAACUAGCUUCACAAUCCUCAGUCCAAUUGAAUUUGGUGUCCUUCUUCAAUAGCUCAGUCAUGGGCUUAGCAAUCUUCGAGAAAUUCUCGAUGAAUCUCCGGUAGUAUCCUGCAAGUCCAAGAAAACUCCGGAUUUCUCCAACUGUCGUGGGUGAUUCCCAACUUGUCACUGUGUCAACCUUGGCAGGGUCUAUUGCUAUUCCUUCUCCAGAAAUAACAUGUCCAAGGAAUCCAACUUCCUUCAGCCAAAAUUCACAUUUGCUGAACUUGGCGUAUAACUGAUGUUCUCUGAGCUUCUCAAGUACCAAUCGUAAAUGCUCCUCAUGCUCUUCCUCAUCCUUGGAAAAGAUUAAAAUAUCAUCAAUGAACACCACGACGAACUUAUCCAGAAAUUCCAUAAACACUUUGUUCAUCAGGUUCAUGAAAUAGGCAGGUGCGUUAGUCAGACCAAAUGACAUAACGGUAUACUCAUACAAUCCAUAUCUGGUGGUAAAUGCCGUCUUGGGUAUAUCCUGCUCUCGAAUCUUUAACUGAUGGUAUCCUGAUCGUAGAUCGAUCUUGGAAAAUACUUUAGCUCCUUGUAGGCGGUCAAACAAAUCAUUGAUCAUCGGCAGUGGGUACUUGUUUUUGAUGGUCACUUCAUUCAAUCCACGGUAAUCAACAACCAUCCUCAGCGAUCCAUCUUUCUUCUCCACUAGAAGUACUGGUGAUCCCCAAGGUGACGAACUUGGGCGAAUAUAGCCUUUAUCCAGUAACUCCUUGAUCUGCUUCUUAAUUUCCUCCAAAUCUUUUGCGAGCAUCCUGUACGGUCUCUUAGAUAUUGGCCCUGUGCCUGGCAAAAGUUCAAUCAAGAACUCAAUGUCUCUAUCUGGUGGCAUGCCUGGCAAUUCUUCUGGAAAUACAUCCGGAUAAUCCUUCACCACUGGUACUUCCUCCUGUACAACUCCUGAUAAGGAAUUUACUUGAGUCCUCUUCGGCAUAUGCCGGGAUACAUACUUGAUCCUUUUUCCUUCCGGGGUGGUAAGCAAAAUCGUCUUGUUGGCACAAUCGAUGUUUCCUCCAUACAACGAUAGCCAAUCCAUUCCCAAAAUCACAUCCAAACCUUGAGACUCCAAAACUAUGAGGUCUGAGGGGAAAACAUGCCUACCAAUGGCCAAUGGUAUCUGAAAACAUCCUUGGGUUGCCAUAUACUCUGCUCCUGGCGAGGUUACUAACAUAGGGGUUCUGAGAACUUUGGUGGACAGCUUAAACUUAUUCACAAAUCCCCUUGAUAUGUAUGAAUGCGAUGCACCAGUAUCGAAAAGAACGAUUGCAGUAAAUGACUUAACCAAAAACUUACCUAUUACUGCAUCAGGCUGAGCUUCAACCUCCUCCACGCUCACGUGGUUCACAUGCCCUUUGUUGAACGGGUUCGGCUUCUUCCCAGAGCUUCCAUUUCCAUUUCCAUUUUGGGCUUCAGGACAUUCAUUGGCAUAAUGUCCAUUCUUCUGGCACUUAAAGCAAGUGACUUGGCUCAGGUCCCUCUUGGCUGGGGUAGAUGGGUUGGUGCGGUUCUGUCCAUUGCUUCCUCCAUUCCCAUUACCAUUUUUAGAGCCAUUAUGGUUGUGCGAACUACCUCCUCCAUGGGUAUGCUGAAACUGUCCUCCUGGCUUCGGGGUAAAACGAGGCUUCUGUUGAGCUCCUGAGUUAUACUUCCCUUGUCCAUACUUCCUCUUACGGUUUUCAAUCUGUUGUUGCUUCCCUUCAAUCAUGAGAGCUCUACCUACCAGCUCCUGGUAGUUGUUGAAGGUUGCUACCAUCAACUGCAUACUCAGCUCAUCAUUCAGUCCUUCCAAAAACUCCUCCUGCUUGGCUGCAUCUGUAGCAACGUCAUCUGGUGCAUAACGUGCUAACUUACUAAAAUCCUCAACAUACUGGCCUACGGUACGUCCUCCUUGGCGUAGGUUGCGAAACUCACGCUUCUUCAUAGCCAUAGCUCCUGCUGAAACAUGAGCUGUACAAAAGCUUGCUGAAACUGGUCCCAUGUGACAGUGUCAAUAGGGUGCGUGGCUGUAUAAUUCUCCCACCAUGAUGCUGCGGGUCCAUCAAGCUGGUGUGCGGCAAAACGCACUCUUUCCGCAUCUGUGCAUCCUGCAGUGGUCAACUCCCUUCCAACUUUGCGGAGCCAAUCAUCUGCAACAAUCGGCUCGGUGCUACUGGAAAACACCGGCGGGUUUAGCCUUAAGAAACGGGCUAAGUGAUCAACAGGUGGUGGUGGCGGUGGGUUGUUGUUGUUGUUGUUGUUGUUGCCUUGGUUCUGCACUAACACUUGCAUCAGGGCAUUCUGUUGCUGAAUCAACUGGGUGAUCUCUGGUGGGAAAACAAAUCCGGUGUCGCGUCUCGGAGGCAUCUGAUAGGUUUAGAAAAGAUGAGAGUUAAGAAUAGAAUGGGGUCUAGAGAGAAAACACUACCCAUAUGCUCAUGAGACAAAUACAAUCAAUAUCACUCAAUCAAUUCAAACAAGGCAAAACAAUCGAUCUAACUAGCAUUACAAAGUGCUUGAACUAUACUAUUAAAUGGGGGAAAACUACUACUGAUAUGGUGGUCUACUAGAAAUUCUGAUCCGUUGAAGACUCCAUGAUGUCUGCUCCAGCUUCGUCAACAAAGUCAUCUUCACUUGGUUCCGAGUCGGUGUCGUCGAUGAUGAUGUAGUUAUCCGGACAAGUGCAUUCGUCGACUUCUGCUUUUGGCACUGGAUUUCCCAUGAAUACUCCAAUCUUCUUCUCCAGGUCGUCAUUCUUCCCUACUAAUGCGAUGAUUUACUCCAUAUAAUCCUCGCGUGUAGCCUUGAGUUCUUCUUGGAGCUCCUUGAUCUUCGUCAAUGCCUUCUUCAGUUCUUCCUUGUCCAUGCACAUCUGGUUCCCCUGGCGACGAAUAUGUUGGUUUACGAGCAUAGCAUGGCAAUAUAAUAGCAAACGUAGAAGUAACUCCCAAGGGUUUGAUAAAUAAAACAGGUAAUAGUACUACCUCAACUACUUCCCAAAACCCACAAUUUAAUUAGAUCCUAAUCAUGCAAGUGUUUGAGGAAAAUAGAUCUAAUGCAAUAAAAACUGGGUAUGGAAGGUAUAUGAUCGAAGUGUUACUUGCCUUGCUGAUGAUCCGCAAAACCUAGCGAUUCAAAGUAACAAGUGGCACACUCCGGGCACUCUAUCACAAACAAACAAGCAUACAAUAAGUACUCAUCUAAUGCACAGGUAAAACUCGAAUGAAAGAUCCAACCAGAAAGUUCAACUUAAGAACUCCGGUUUGCAAAAAGAAUCAACUCGAAAGAAGCAACGAAAGUCAAACGGCGAAAGAAACAAGCUUCGUUUACUAAUCUGGAUCUAGGUCAAAUUUUACUGUAGCAAAAACUUGUUUGAGUAGGUUAAACAGAAAGAGAAUUUUGAGACGAAACUCUAGGCGCUUGAAUCGCCUGAUUCCGAUAAACGAGCGAAAAGUUAAACAGAAACGAAGAUUCGAUCAGAAAUCGAAUCUGAGAAAAUAGCGAAAAAAUCCGACGAAAAAGAAAAAUGGACGAACUGUUAAAGAACGGACGUUCGUUAACAGAGAAAAAACCGACGAACGCGUUCGUUAAAACGAACGGUUCGGUGAACGCUCGCAAAAUAAUAAAACCGAAAAAAAACCGAUCUAGGGUUUUUUUUCCUACAAACGUUUUUUUUAAAGAAAACCGGCAAAACCGAACGGCAUCGAGGUAUACCUCGUCGGGGCGGCUCCGGCGGGGCUCCGGCGGGGGCUCCGGCGAGGGCGGCGGGUGCGGCGGGGGUGCGGGGCUUGUGGAAAGNNNNNNNNNNGGCUCCGGCGGCGGCGAGCGAGGCGAGUGCGGCGGCGGCGAGAUGAGGGAAGAGGGGGGUGCGGGGGGUAUAUAUAGGGGGGUGCUCCGGUGGCUUGGGGAGGGGCAAGCUCCGGCGGCGGGGCUCGGACUCCCGUGUCCAUGGCGGACACGGUGGCGGCGGCGUUCCCGUGCUGGGGAAGGAGAGGGGCGCGGGGUGGGCCGGCGGCCUGGCGCGGCUGGGCUCGGCCCGGCGGGCGCGCGCGUUUUAAAAAAAACAUUCCGCGGAAAAAUAUUCGUAGAAAAAUAAAUAAAGGUCCAAAAAAUAUUAAAAAAAAAUUCCCCGCUAGUUAGAAAAUCUAGAAUAGGGUGAACAUUUUUUAACACAAAAAAAAUAUUUUGAAAACAUGCAAUAUUUUUAAUGCAAUAAAAAUUGCAAAUAAAAUCCAAAUAAAUUCCAAUAAAUGAUUUUAACAUUUUACCUCCAGUAUUUCAAUAGUUUUGGAGAAGUCAUAUUUUCUCCUCUCAUUUAUUUUGUUUAAUGAAAUAUUUUUCCGAAGAGAAAAUAAUUAAAACCAACAUCCUCGUUUUAUUAUUUGAUGAAAAUCAAAUAUGAAAAUUCGAGAAAAUCCCCAACUCUCUCCGAGGGUCCUUGAGUUGCUUAGGAUUUAUCGAGGAUUUCUCAAAAUGCAAUAAAAUAUGAUAUGCAAUGAUGAUCUAUGUAUAACAUACCAAAUUGAAAAUUUGGGAUGUUACACACACACGACCUUCUCUUCAAAACUGUUUGCGUUAGGCCACCUUGCGCAAACGUUUACCACAUAAAAACUGUGUGUGAUGGACAGACUUUGCCACACAGUUUCUUCUAUGCACCGUGUGUGAUGCAUUCAAUAAAGCAAACGAUAAAAUUGUUAAUAUCGUGUGCAAUGGCAACGCUAUCACAAACGAUUUAACAGGGAAAAUUAUUUGUGAUGUACCUGUGAACGGAAACAUUUUCCUUGGAGCGACUGUGUGGGAUGUACAUACGAAUGGAAACGUUUAGCGGGGACUGACUGUGUGGGAUGUACUUGCGACCGGAAACAAUUUCGCUUGUAUAAUUGUUUUUUAGCUCUACUUCACGUAUUUCCAUAUUUGAGCGCUCGCCGGUCGCACACGACCUCAUUUUGUUGAGCGUGUGUCCCAGGAGGGUAUAUCCCCGACGGUUUCUUGGUCAUGUGAGAAGGACCCCCCUAUCGCCGUCACUCACUAGGUGAUGGUUCCAAAUGUCGUCGCGGAAAGGGGUUAAAAACCAUUAGUAUAGCACCGACGCGUACCAGUGAAAAGAGUUAGUACCAUCCUAUAGUUGACUGAUGUCUUCUUCAUUAUGCAAACAAAGAUCUUGCUGUUAUUCGUCACAAGUUUCUUUAUCCUAACAAUCUUUCUGAGUUUCUUGACUUAACUGAUAUUCAUGGACAUCUCAUUUCCCCAUAUGUAAAAUGGGUCGAACAAUGGGCCUAAGCCUCUGACAGCAGGACCUACAUGUGCAAGACCAAAUUGUAAGAAACCUAAAUAUUAGAAUGAUUUCUGCAACUGCACAAUAAUGUGCUAUUAGGGAAAGGACCAUGCAUGAGCAAACCUCGAUGGUAAACCGCAGUGUCUCCCAUUGUUUCCCUGCAACACACAUAAGGAAGAUCUUGAUCAGGUUAACUGAGAGUUGUCAUACUAUCAGUAGAAUAUGUAUUGAGUACAUCCCAAUUCAAUUUAUUUCUCACAUGCAUAACAAUACAAAAUUGUACCCACAACAAAUGAAAAUCAAAUUGCAGAAUUGAACGAAACAGUUAAAUGGAUAGCAGACCAAAUGAACCAAAACAGUUAACUGAGCACGACAUUGCAGAAUAGAAACAUGUACUAGAAGAUAAGACAGUUUACAAAACAAAGAAUGCUUGAGAACAAUACUACGAAAUGUAGAAAUUGUUGGACCAAACUGUUAAAUGAACAUUACAUUUCAGAGGACCAAACAGUUAACUAAACAUCGGAUUGCAUAUUAACAUUACAGAGGACAAAUCACUACAAGGCACUGGCGGUGGCCUCGAGAAAACAACACGAACUGUAUUUUAAAUUAGACAACCGCGUGGUGGUGUCGACGGUGGCCUCGAAGACGAGGUGCUCCUCCAAGAUCUGGCGGUCGGCACGCAUGGCAGCCAUAGCGACCUCGUGCACGCGUGCAGCCGCGAUUUGCUUCUCCGCUGCCAGAUGCUACUGAGCUCCACGUUAUACUAUGUGCAAAAUGGUUGUGGGCGGCGCUUAAUUGGAGGACAGGGCCAGUGAUUUCGGCGGAAGGUGUCGCGCUGUCGAUCGGGGCAUAUGGGGCGGGGAAGGAUGAGGAUGGUGUGGGUGGGGUGUGGAUUACCUAACCAUAUCUAUGAGGCCGUGCAGCAAGAAGAAGGGUCGGCAGCGAGGAGGUCGCGCAACAAGAAGAAGGGUCGCCGGCGAGGAGGUGGCGCUGCAAGAAGAAGGGUCGCCAGCGAGGAGGCGGCACUACAAGAAGAAGGGUCGCCGGCGAGGAGGCUAAGCUGCCAGUAAGUAGCAAUGAAGGUUUGAACUUGGAAAGCAAGGAGGAACAGUGGAAAUAUGGCUUUUGUUGGGAGGGAGGGGGCGGGGAGAUAGAUAUUUUAACGGUGGCAGAAAAAUUUCGCUCAGUGCCACGAGAAACUGGCGCGCAAGUGUGGUUCAAGCACGGGCGAUGGACUAUAGACGACGAAGCUUUCUGCGUAAGCCAGACAAGACGGUGCGCCAAGAUAUUUUAUAUCGCAUCCCACACGAUUCUUGCUAGUAAACUGUUUGUGGUAUACCUGAUUUUUUUCAUUAUGUUUUGAAAGACAAAAUGAUGUUACAAAGGGAAAGGAUGGUGUCUGAAUUGGUAGAACAUUUAUGUACAGUGAACAUGCAAAUACAUGAGUGUCGUGUUCAAAUUUGGAAUUAUUUCGGGUUUGUUUGGCAUUUUUAUGCAUUAAUUGAGUUUCUAGGCAUUUAAUGUGCAUAAUUCAAAUUUGAACUACAAGCACAUGCUCCAAUGCACCAAAGUUUGUUAAAAAUCACAUGUGUGUCUUUGGGUGAAUUUAUAGGUCCCAUGCAAGAAAUGGGAAUGAAAUUCAAACAUCUGGGCGUCGUGGCUCGGCCGGGAACAUUGAGAAACUUGGUUUUUUAAUUCCUGUAAAUUCAAAACUCGCCUGAAAAUCAUGAAACCUGUCAUGGUGUCAUUUCAUGGCACCAACAUGUUGUGGUAAAAAAAAUUGGCCGCAUUUGGAGAAGUUUUGGUAUAAGCUUCUUGCAAACCGGAGCUUCUCUCAAGAAGACUUGUGGUUCCCGAGGGGGGGUGUGUCACUUUGUGUGCGGAACGAUAUACGCUGCCUCCCCCCCUGAUUUUUUACAAAGGCAACAUAGAACUAUAUGAGUGUUGUGUUAAAAUUUGGAAUUAUUCCGGGUUCGUUUGGACUUUUUUAUACAUUAAUUGAAUUUCUGGUCAUUUAAUGUGCAUAAUUCAAAUUUGAACUACAAGCACAUGCUCCAGUGCACCAAAGUUGGUUGAAAAAUCACAUGUGUGUCCUUGGGUGAAUUUGUAGGUCCCAUGCAAGAAAUGUGAAUGGAAUUGAAACAUCUGGGCGUCGUGGCUUGGCCGGAAAUAUCGAGAAACUUGGUUUUUUAAUUCCUAUAAAUCCAAAACACGCCUGAAAAUCAUGAAACUUGGCAUGGUGUCAUGACAUGGCACCAACAUGUUGUGGUAAUUUUUUUGACCGAAUUGGGACAAGCUUUGGUAAAAGCUUCUUGCAAACUAGAGCUUCCCUCAAGAAGGCUCGUGGUUCUGAGAGGGAACGUGUCACUUCCGUGUGCGAAACGACAUACACUACCUUCUCCCGCCUUGAUUUUUUUACAUAGGCAGCUUAGACCAAAUAGGAGUUUCGUGCUAAAUUUUGGAAUUAUUCCGGGUUUGUUUGUCCUUUUUAUACAUUAAUUGAUUUUCCAGGCAUUUAAUGCACAUAAUUCAAACUUGAAGUACAAGCGCAUGCUCCAGUGCGCAAAAGUUAGUUGGAAAAUCAUUUAUGUGUACUUGGGCGAAUUUAUAGGUCCCAUGGAAGAAGUGGGGAUGGAAUUCAAACAUCUGGGCGUCUUGGCUCGGCCAGAAACAUCGAAAAACUUGGUUUUAAAAUUCCUAUAAAUCCAAAACUCACCUGAAAAUCAUGAAACUUGGCAUGGUGUCAUGACAUGGCACCAACAUGCUGUGGUAAUUUUUUUGGCCGAAUUGGGACAAGGUUUGGUAUAAGCUUCUUGCAAACUGGUGCUUCCCUCAAGAAGGCUCGUGGUUCCGAGAGGGAACGUGUCACCUCCGUGUGCGAAACAAUAUACAGUACCUUCUACCGCCUUGAUUUUUUUACAUAGACAGCUUAGACCAAAUAGGAGUUUUGUGCUAAAUUUUGGAAUUAUUCCGGGUUCGUUUGGCCUUUUUAUAGAUUAAUUGAUUUUCCAGGCAUUUAAUGCACAUAAUUCAAAUUUGAAGUACAAGCGCAUGCUCUAGUGCGCAAAAGUUAGUUGGAAAAUCAUUUAUGUGUACUUGGGCGAAUUUAUAGGUCCCAUGGAAGAAGUGGGGAUGGAAUUCAAACAUCUAGGCGUCUUGGCUCGACCGGAAACAUCGAGAAACUUGGUUUUAAAAUUCUUGUAAAUCCAGAACUCGCCUGAAAUCAUGAAACUUGGCAUGGUGUCAUGACAUGGCACCAACAUGUUGUGGUAAAUUUUUUUGGCCGAAUUGGGACAAGGUUUGGUAUAAGCUUCUUGCAAACUGGAGCUUCCCUCAAGAAGGCUCGUGGUUCCGAGAGGGAACGUGUCACCUCUGUGUGUGAAAGGACAUACACUGCCUUCUCCCGCCUUGAUUUUUUACAUAGGCAGCUUAGACCAAAUAGGAGUUUCGUGCUAAAUUUUGGAAUUAUUCCAGGUUCGUUUGGCCUUUUUAUACAUUAAUUGAUUUUCUAGGCAUUUAAUGCACAUAAUUCAAAUUUGAAGUACAAGCGCAUGCUCGAGUGUGCAAAAGUUAGUUGGAAAAUCAUUUGUGUGUACUUGGGCAAAUUUCUAGGUCCCAUGGAAGAAGUGGGAAUGGAAUUCAGACAUCUAGGCUUCUUGGCUCGGCCGGAAACAUCGAGGAACUUGGUUUUAAAAUCCCGUAAAUCCAAAACUCGCCUGAAAAUCAUGAAACUUGGCAUGGUGUCAUGACAUGGCACCAACAUGCUGUGGUAAUUUUUUUGGCCGAAUUAGGACAAGGUUUGGUCUAAACUUCUUGCAAAGUGGAGCUUCCCUCAAGAAGGCUCGUGGUUUCUAGAGGAACGUGUCACCUCCGUGUGCGAAACAACAUACACUACCUUCUCCCGCCUUGAUUUUUUUACACAGGCAGCUUAGACCAAAUAGGAGUUUCGUGCUAAAUUUUGGAAUUAUUCCAAGUUCCUUUGGCCUUUUUAUACAUUAAUUGAUUUUCCAGGCAUUUAAUGCACAUAAUUCAAAUUUGAAGGACAAGCGCAUGCUCCAGUGCGCAACUUGGGCGAAUUUCUAGGUCCCAUGGAAGAAGUGGGAAUGGAAUUCAAACAUUUGGGCGUCUUGGCUCGGCCGGAAACAUCGAGACACUUGGUUUUAAAAUUCCCGUAAAUCCAAAAAUUGCCUGAAAAUCAUGAAACUUGGCACGGUGUCAUGACAUGGCACCAACAUGCUGUGGUAAAUUUUUUGUCCAAUUUGCGAAGGCGCACCAACAAGUGUUGUCGUGUUACAAAUUGGAAACACAAGUGUUACUGAAACCGUGGGCGUUCUACUUAUCAUUUACGUGCCGCCACGCGUCCCCUUUUUUUAUUGGCUACGAGGUGUCGUGCGGGGUAGCUGUUUGAGUAUGGGAGGUGUGCGAUCAGACCCUGCGCGUGCUCAGUAGGAGGAGAGCCCUUUGACCUCUAUCCGCCGCCCACCUCCCUCCCAACAUCUUCAUUAAUGCCGCCCGAGCCCCUGUUUCAUGGCGUGGCUAUGUCUCACUCGACUGAGAUUUAAGAGAGAAAAAAUAAAUCUGAAAAGAAAAUUUUGCAUGGAUCUUGAUGUAAGAUCCGACGGACCUAUAUAGCAUCGACUGCGACUUAUAAUAAGACUGAUGAAUAUAAGGACGAUGGCGGUGGAUAAUAAUUGUCUUACAUAUUUAGGAAGAUAAUUAAAAAAGCCACAUGCGGCAACGCCCGAAAUAUACAAGGGCAAAAGAAGAAGGAAGACAACGAUCUGGCUCGUUGAUCUCUACUUUCUUGAUGCGUUGCUGCAGGACGCGGGAACUAGUCUCCGCGGCGAGCGGCGAUGAUCUCUUUCGUGUCUUUAAUACGCUGCUCGGCAACAUCCACGGAUUCCUCCACCAGCCUUUGGCGUUCGAUGCGGAGCAUGUCAUUCUUGUCCAUAAGUUUCUUGACGAUGACGCCGGUCCUCUUCAAUAAGGCAGUGGUCUCCUCCUCCUGCUCCGCACUUCCGACGAUUUUCUCCCUCAGCAGGUCGCGCUCGGCCCGGAGCUUCGCAUUGCCCUCACUUAGUUGCCGGAUGACACCGGUAGCCUAUUCAAACGAGGAUUCCAUGUCGUCCUGCAACCCCGCCCAGCCGGAGAUCUGAUCCAUCUGGCUAUGGACGAUCGCAUUCAUGUGCCUGUAAGAGUCCUCGCCUGCCCGUGAGACAUUUUCCCAGGCCGCCGCAGCCUGGGAGGACACCUCUGCUGCAUUCGCGACGCGGCAGGACAUCUCUGUUGCUUCCGCGGCGUGGCCAGACCAGUCUGCUGCAUUAACGGCGCGGCGGGACCUCUAUGCUGCUACGACUGCGCGGCAUGACAUAUCGGCUGCUUUCGCGGCGAGGCGAGACAUCUCUCCUGCUCCUGCUUCCAUGCUCGCCUCUCCCUGGUGGUAAUCUCUCGACCCAAAACUCACGCUGGCCAUGGCAGACGCAAGGGAAGGAUGAUGAAUGACUUGUUUGUUUUUGUGGAUGAGGAGUUGAGGAGGAAUGUGCAGUCAUCUUGGAGUAGUAGUAUUUAUAACCGAGUACUAAUACGCUCCUAAGUGGAAAACCGUUUAGGUUUUGAUCGGUGUGAACAGGUUUGCAAUUAAAUAUAGCAUGGUAGUAUUUUGGAAUGUGACGGGACGCAGACUCAAAAUUUAUUGACGGUUCUAUAAUUUCUUAGUGCAGCACUAGUCCCGGACGGCGUAACGUGGGCACGCUUUCUCGACCGCAUAUGUGACGUUUGCACCAUAGGGUGCACCGCAAUAGGCAAUGUCAGCACACAUCUUGUUCCAACAACUAUGCGCGCGUGUUAUUACCAUCGCGCAUGCUUCUUUUAAUUAGAAUGUAUGCCCAUCUAGUGCACACACGUUGAUUUGUCUAACUGUUUUUGUUUAUUGUGGCUAAUCGCAAAUAGUUCAUCCGUGUGAAGUGUAUGCCGUCAAUCGCAGACACUUUGAUCUGGCUGACCGUUUCUGUUGUGUUGCCUAAUCGCAAACAGUUAAUCCUUCUGAAGCGUAUGCCCUCAACCACACACACACCUUCAUAUGGUUGCCCGUUUAUGUUGUUCCGCCUAAUCACAAACAGUUCAUCUGAGUGAACGGUAUGUUGUAUAUCACACAGGCCUUUAUCUGGCUGCCCGUUUCUGUUCUUCUGCCUCAUCCCAAAUAGUUCACUGAACUGAAUUGUAUGCCCCUCAUCACACACGCAACUAAAUUCUGAACCGUGCUUGAUGCAUCCGUCAUCACAAACGUUUUGUAUCUUUUUUGACGGAUUUUUUACAUCAUCGUUUGCGAUUAUUGCAUCGCACAUAGUUUCGUCGAAGGAUCUCUGAUCGUAGUGUCGCAUUAGCAGCAUCCUGCAGUAGCGUCUAUUCACAUAUGUAUUUAAGUUUCCGGUCAAUACAAUUCUAGCAUGAAUAAUAAACCUUUAUCAUGAAUAAGGAAAUAUGAUAAUAACCAAUUCAUUAUUGCCUCUAGGGCAUAUUUCCAACAGAAAGCCGAUGUCGAAUUCACCGCCGAGGCCGCGGCCAUGCUACACAAGGCUGCCGUCGAGGCCAACGAGGCCAUCGUCGCCAAGGCCACGCAGGUAGUGACGACGCACGCCCUCCUCAUGCCAGGGUUGUGCCGAUCCUUGCCGACCAUUCUCUCCAUCGACGCCAUGGCCACGGCGAGCACAAGCUCGUCGACCGUUCACCCUCCAUAGUACGAGUCGCUGAACUCCUCUGUAACACCGGAGAUGACCGGUUUUCAUCUGUCACGGCAGCAUGCUCAAACUCAGUUCUCCAUGUCAUCGGACGACAGCGUGAUCGCUCCGGCCACCCCUAGCGCCACGUCUAUCAUCAACCCCAACGUCACACCUGGGUACAAUGGCGCUGGCCAGUCGUCCGCCGGGAUGCAAAGGAAGCAGCCCGGUGGAUUCCUACAGCCAACCUUCCCGAUGCCUGCAACCUGUUCGACGAAAUGCCAAUCCCGACGCCGGCAGCCGACGACCCUGACUACAACAUGUUCAUGGAGAACGUCAUCUACGAGGGUCAUGGCCAGGCCUUCCACACCAAGGGCCAAGGCCAAGGCUACAACCUCGAUGAGACCCAAGGCCAAGAUGGUCGUGACCAAGAUUGUGCCGACCACUAUGGUGUCGACGAAGAAGAAGAGGCCGACGACCAUGGCAACUCAUGGCAUGAAGAUGAGGACAUCUAUUGCGAAAGAUGAGGAAGAAGAGGGCGUCGACAUUGCGGAGAAACCAUUGUUUAUCGAUGAGCUCGCCCAAAGAGCCGACGCACAAAGGAGGAAGCAGAGCAUUCACACGGGACCAUAAACCUAAGAAGAGGGCAUGUUGAUUUGCGAGAGUUGGAUGGAGAUAGGCCAAGAUCCCAAGACCAAUGCCAAGCAAAAAAAUAAUAUGUUUUUUGGACGAGGAGUUCAUACAACCUUUCACCGUGCAAGUUUGCGAGCAACCGUGGCAUCAACUCAAUCCAAAAAAGAUGGGGGUUUAUUCAACAAGUAUUGUGCCGCACUUGAGAGUGUUGAAGUCCGUCCCGUGAGUGGCCUAGGCAUGGGCGACUUGGUAUGCCCUCUCAUCUUUCAUUGCUAUGCCAUGUUCAUGUUUGUUGUAUCUUGUGUCCUUCACUAUUACAUUUGUAGCCUUCUCUUUGAUUGCAUAGGCAUUCCGAUCUUUGGAAACCUUCAAGACCCGACAUAAGAAGAAGACAUUCACUCUGACCCAUUGUUGGUCUCUCAUCAAAGAUUACCCCAAGUUCAAAGAUCAAUAUGUCACUCUAAAGAAGAAAGGAGGGGUCGGCGACUGUGGCUGCGAUUGGAGAUGUGGUGAAGAGGCUGAGGGGCAAGACCAAAUCGAAGAUUGACGAUAAGCGUGAUGCGGCAUCUAUCGCGGCAAGGCUUCCCGGCGGCCGCCUGACGCUCGAAGAUGAUCCUCUCUGCCUUCUCCUGCGCCGCGCGCGGUGCGGCCGUGGCCACUGAGGACAUGGGCUGGGGGAAAGGACGGCGAUCGUUAGAGGCGUCGUCGUUGGCGGCUACGGCGAUCUCGUCGAGGGAACGUUCCUCGCGGUACCUGCCAUCUCCCCGUCGAGGCAGCGAAGACGGCGCUUGGGCGUCUCUGAUGUCAUGACGGAGCGGUCUAGGGCCCAGGCGUACGCCAGCGGCGGGACAUCGGAGUCCGUGAACUGGGAUCGACGUGCGGCGUUGCGCCUGUCCCACCGACGCUGCUCCCAGUCAACGUACUCCUACGCCGUCAUGGCGCUCUGGGACGAUGACGAGGAGCCGCCGCUACAGAGGUAGUGCAGAAGGCGCCCGUGCGCCUUAGGCAGGGGCGACGGCGAGCGACUCUCCUCCUUGACGAAGCACCGGGGCGGUGGCGAGCAAUGCUCCUCCUUCACACGCCGGGGCGACGGCUAUGACGGCGGGAGCCGCUCCUCCUUGACGCGCCGGGGCGGCGGUGAGAGCCGCUCCUCCUUGACGCGUCGGGGCGGCGGCGAGAGCCGCUUUUGUUGGGGAACGUAGCAGAAAUUCAAAAUUUUCUACGCAUCACCAAGAUCAAUCUAUGGAGUAAUCUAGCAACGAGGGGAAGGGGAGUAAAUCUACAUACCCUUGUAGAUCGCGAUGCGGAAGCGUUGCAAGAACGCGGAUGAGGGAGUCGUACUCGUAGCGAUUCAGAUCGCGGUUGAUUCCGAUCUAAGCACCGAAAGUACGGUGCCUCCGCGUUCAACACACGUGCAGCCCGGUGACGUCUCCCACGCCUUGAUCCAGCAAGGAGAGAGGGAGAGGUUGGGAAGACUCCAUCCAGCAGCAACACGACGGCAUGGUGGUGGUGGAUGAGCGUGGCAAUCCCGCAGGGCUUCGCCAAGCACCGCGGGAGAGGAGGAGGAGGGAGAGGGGUAGGGCUGCACCAAAAGGAGACGUUCUCAUGUCUAUGGCAGCCCAAAACCUCAAUAUAUAUAGGGGAGGGGUGAGGGCUGCGCCCCCAUCUAGGGUUUCCCACCUCAAGGGGUGCGGCUAGCCCUAGAUGGGGCUUGGGGGGCGGCCAAAGGGGGGAGGAGUGCCUCCCAAGUCAAGUGGAGGCCCUCCCCCUUAGGGUUUCCCCUCUCCCAUGCGCAUGGGCCUUGGGGGGGCUGGUGCCCCUGGCCUAUUAAGGCUAGGGCGCCCCCUUACAGCCCAUGCUACUGUAUUGGACGUGGUGGAACAUUUUCCGGACCUCCGGACCCCUCCGGAAUCCUCCGGAAUCUUCUGGAAGCUUCCCGGUACAAUACCGAAAAAACCCGAACUUUUCCCGGAACCCGAACAACAACUUUCCAUAUAUAAAUCUUUACCUCCGGACCAUUCCGGAACUCCUCGUGACGUCCGGGAUCUCAUCCGGGACUCCGAACAACAUUCGGUAACCACGUACAUGCUUUCCCUAUAACCCUAGCGUCAUCGAACCUUAAGUGUGUAGACCCUACGGGUUCGGGAACCAUGCAGACAUGACCGAGACGUUCUCCGGUCAAUAACCAACAGCGGGAUCUGGAUACCCAUGUUGGCUCCCACAUGUUCCACGAUGAUCUCAUCGGAUGAACCACGAUGUCGGGGAUUCAAUCAAUCCCGUAUUCAAUUCCCUUUGUCCAUCGAUAUGUUACUUGCCCGAGAUUCGAUCGUCGGUAUCCCUAUACCUUGUUCAAUCUCGUUACCGGCAAGUCUCUUUACUCGUUCCGUAACUCACAUCAUCCCGUGAUCAACUCCUUGGUCACAUUGUGCACAUAAUGAUGAUGUCCUACCGAGUGGGCCCAGAGAUACCUCUCCGUUUACACGGAGUGACAAAUCCCAGUCUCGAUUCGUGCCAACCCAACAGACACUUUCGGAGAUACCCGUAGUGCACCUUUAUAGCCACCCAGUUACGUUGUGACGUUUGGCACACCCAAAGCAUUCCUACGGUAUCCGGGAGUUGCACAAUCUCAUGGUCUAAGGAAGUGAUACUUGACAUUAGAAAAGCUCUGAGCAAACGAACUACACGAUCUUGUGCUAGGCUUAGGAUUGGGUCUCGUCCAUCACAUCAUUCUCCUAAUGAUGUGAUCCCGUUAUCAACGACAUCCAAUGUCCAUGGUCAGGAAACCGUAACCAUCUAUUGAUCAACGAGCUAGUCAACUAGAGGCUUACUAGGGACAUGGUGUUGUCUAUGUAUCCACACAUGUAUCUGAGUUUCCUAUCAAUACAAUUCUAGCAUGGAUAAUAAACGAUUAUCAUGAACAAGGAAAUAUAAUAAUAACCUAUUUAUUAUUGCCUCUAGGGCAUAUUUCCAACAGUCUCCCACUUGCACUAGAGUCAAUAAUCUAGUUCACAUCACCAUGUGAUUAACACUGACAGGUCACAUCACCAUGUGACCAACACCCAAGAGUUUACUAGAGUCAACAAUCUAGCUCACAUCUCUAUGUGAUUAACACUCAAUGAGUUCUGGUUUGAUCAUGUUAUGCUUGUGAGAGAGGUUAUUAGUCAACGGGUCUGAACCUUUCAGAUUCGUGUGUGCUUUACGAAUAUCUAUGUCAUCUUUGUGGAUGCUACCACGCGCUAUUUGGAGCCAUUUCAAAUAAUUGCUCUACUAUAUGAAUCCGGUUUACUACUCAGAGUCAUCCGGAUUAGUGUCAAAGUUCGCAUCGACGUAACCCUUUACGACGAACUCCUUUCCACCUCCAUAAUCGAGAAAAUUCCUUAGUCCACUAGGUACUAAGGAUAUGUUCGACCGCUGUCAUGUGAUCCAUUCCCGGAUCACUAUUGUACCCCUUGACCAACUCAUGGCAAGGCACACUUCAUGUGUGGUACACAGCAUAGCAUACUGUAGAGCCUACGUCUAAAGCAUAGGGGACGACCUUCGUCCUUUCUCUCUCUUCUGCUGUGGUCAGGUCUUGAGUCUUACGCAAUACUCACACCUUGUAACACAGCCAAGAACUCCUUCUUUGCUGAUCUAUUUUGAACUCUUUCAAAAUCAUGUCAAGGUGUGCGUUCUUUGAAAGUAUCAUCGGGCGUCUUGAUCUAUCUCUAUAGAUCUUGAUGCCCAAUAUGUAAGUAGCUUUUAUCCAGGUCUUCCUUUGAAAAACUCCUUUCAAACAACCCUUUAUGCUUUCCAGAAAUUUUACAUCAUUUCGGAUCAACAAUAUGUCAUUCACAUAUACUUAUCAGAAAUGUUGUAGCGCUCCCACUCACUUUAUUGGAAAUACAAAUUUCUCAUAAACUUUGUAUAAAUCCAAAAUCUUUGAUCAUCUCAUCAAAGCGUACAUUCCAACUCCGAGAUGCUUACUCCAGUCCUUAGAAGGAUCGCUGGAGCUAGCAUACCUUUUAGCAUCCUUAGGAUCGACAAAACCUUUCUGAUUGUAUCACAUACAACCUUUCCUUACGAAAACUGGUAAGGAAACUUGUUUUGACAUCCAUCUGCCAGAUUUCAUAAAUGCAGCUAAUGCCUACAUGAUUCCGACGGACCCAAGCAUCACUGCGGAUGAGCAAAUCUCAUCGUAGUCAACUCCUUGAACUUGUGGAAAUACUCUUUGCCACAAGUCGAGCUUCAUAGACGGUAACAUUACCGUCCACGUCCGUCUUCUUCUCAAAGUUCCAUUUAUCUCGGAUUUCAUGGCUUCUAACCAUUUGUCGGAAUAUGGGCCCACCAUCGCUUCUCCAUAGCUCAUAGGUUCAUCGUUGUCCAACAACAUGACUUCCAAGACAGGAUCACGUACUACUCUGAAGUAUUACGCAUCCUCGUCGUCCUACGAGGUUUGGUAGUGACUUGAUCCGAAGUUUCAUGAUCACCAUCAUAAGCUUCCACUUCAAUUGGUGUAGGUGCCACAGGAACAACUUCCUGUGCCCUGCUACACACUAGUUGAAGUGACGGUUCAAUAACCUUAUCAAGUCUCCACCAUCCUCCCACUCAAUUCUUUUGAGAGAAACUUUUCCUCGAGAAAGGACUCAUUUCUAGAAACAAUUACUUUUGCUUCCAGAUCUGAAAUAGGAGGUACACCCAACUGUUUUGGGUUUUCUAUGAAGAUGUAUUUAUCCGCUUUGGGUUCGAGCUUAUCAGCUUGAAACUUUUUCACAUAAGCUGCGCAGCCCCAAACUUUUAAGAAACGACAACUUAGGUUUCUCUAAACGGUGUCGUCUCAACGGAAUUGCGUGGUGCCCCUUUUAAAGUGAAUGCGGUUGUCUCUAAUGCCUAACCCAUAAACGAUAGUGGUAAUUUGAUAAGAAACAUCAUGGUAUGCACCAUAUCCAAUAGGGUGCAGUUAUGAUGUUCGGACACACCAUCACACUAUGGUGUUCCAGGCGGUAUUAAUUGUGAAACACUUUCCACAAUGUCUCAAUUGUGUGCCAAACUCGUAUCUCAGAUACUCAUCUCUAUGAUCAUAUCACAGACAUUUUAUCCUCUUGUUACGACGAUCUUCAACUUCACUCUGAAAUUACUUGAACCUUUCAAUAAUUCAGACUAGUGUUUCAUCAAGUAAAUACACUCAGCAUCUACUCAAAUCAUCUGUGAAGUAAGAACAUAACGAUAUCCAUUGCAUGCCUCAGCACUCAUUGGACUGUAUACAUCAAAAUGUAUUACUUCCAAUAAGUUGCUCUCUUGUUCCAUCUUACUGAAAACGAGGACUUUCAGUCAUCUUGCCCAUGUGGUAUGAUUCGCAUGUCUCAAGUGAUUCAAAAUCAAGUGAGUCGAAACGAUCCAUCUUCAUGGAGUUUCUUCAUGCAUAUAUACCAAUAGACAUGGUUCGCAUGUCUCAAUCUUUUCAAAAACGAGCGAGUCCAAAGAUCCAUCUACAUGGAGCUUCUUCAUGCGUUUUAUACCAAUAUGACUCAAGUUGCAGUGCCACAAGUAUGUGGUACUAUCAUUACUAUUUUACAUCUUUUGGCACGAACAUGUGUAUCACUACAAUCGAGAUUUAUUUUAGGUGCAAGACCAUUGAAAGUAUUAUUCAAAUAAGCAGAGUAACCAUUAUUCUCCUUAAAUGAAUAACCGUAUUGCGAUAAACAUAAUCCAAUCAUGCUCAACGCAAACACCAAAUCUCGAUGGUAGAGGGAGCAUGCGAUGCUUGAUCACAUCAACCUUGGAAACAUUUCCAACACAUAUCGUCAUCUCACCUUUAGCUAGUCUCCAUUUAUUCCACAGCUUUUAUUUCGAGUUACUAACACUUAGCAACCGAACCAGUAUCUAAUACCCUGGUGCUACUAGGAGUACUAGUAAAGUACACAUUCAUCUAACGUAUAUCCAAUAUACUUCUGUCGACCUUGCCUGCCUUCUCAUCUACCAAGUAUCUAGGGUAGUACUGCUUCAGUGACCGUUCCUCUUAUUACAGAAGCACUUAGUCUCGGGUUUGGGUUCAACCUUGGGAUUCUUCACUAGAGCAGCAAACGACUUGUUGUUUCAUGAAGUAUCCCUUUUUCCCUUGCCCUUCUUAAACUAGUGGUUUUAUUAACCAUCAACAAUUGAUGCUCCUUCUUGAUUUCUACAUUCGCGGUGUCAAACAUCGCGAGUUGCUCAAGGAUCAUCAUCUAUCCUUGAUAUGUUAUAGUUCAUCACGAAGCUCUAAUAGCUUGGUGGCAGUGACUAUGGAGAACCAUCACUAUCUCAUCUGGAAGAUAAACUCCCACUCGAUUCAAGCGAUUGUGGCACUCAGACAAUCUGAGCACAUGCUCAACGAUUGAGCUUUUCUCCCUUAGUCUUCAGGCUUAAGAAACUUGUCAGAGGUCUCAUACCUCUUGACGUGGGCACUAGUCUGAAAUCCCAAUUUCAGUCUUCGGAACAUCUCAUAUGUUCUGCGACGUUUCAAAACGUCUUUGGUGCCACAAUUCUAAACCGUUAGCAUUACGCACUGAACUAUCACGUAGUUAUCAAAACGUGUAUGUCAGAUGUUCCGCAACAUCUACAGACGACGCUGAGGUUCAGCACACCGAGCGGUGCAUUAAGGACAUAAGCCUUCUGUGCAGCAAUGAGGACAAUCCUCAGUUUACGGACCCAGUCCGCAUAAUUGCUACUACCAACUUUCAACUAAAUUUUUCUCUAGGAACAUAUCUAAACCAGUAGAACUUAAAGCGCAAGUUAUGACAUAAUUUGCAAAUACCUUUUUGACUAUGUUCAUGAUAAUGAAGUUCAUCUGAUUAUGAACUCCCACUCAGAUAGACAUCCCUCUAGUCAUCUAAGUGAAACAUGAUCCGAGUUCAACUAGGCCGUGUCCGAUCAUCACGUGAGACGGACUAGUCAAGAUCGGUGAACAUCUCCAUGUUGAUCGUAUCUUCUAUACGACUCAUGCUCGACCUUUCGGUCCUCCGUGUUCCGAGGCCAUGUCUGUACAUGCUAGGCUCGUCAAGUCAACCUAAGUGUAUUGCGUGUGUGCCGAGGCCAUGUCUGUACAUGCUAGGCUCGUCAACACCCGUUGUAUUCGAACGUAAGAAUCUAUCACACCCGAUCAUCACGUGGUGCUUCGAAACGACGAACCUUCGCAACGGUGCACAGUUAGGGUGAACACUUUCUUGAAAUUAUUAUAAGGGAUCAUCCUACUUGCUAUCGUCGUUCUAAGCAAAUAAGAUGCAAAAACAUGAUAAACAUCACAUGCAAUCAAAUAGUGACAUGAUAUGGCCAAUAUCAUCAUGCUCCUUUGAUCUCCAUCUUCGGGGCACCAUGAUCAUCUUUGUCACCGGCAUGACACCAUGAUCUCCAUCAUCAUGAUCUCCAUCAUUGUGUCUUCAUGAAGUCGUCACGCCAACGAUUACUUCUACUUCUAUGGCUAACGCGUUUAGCAACAAAGUAAAGUAAUUUACAUGGCGUUAUUCAAUGACACGCAGGUCAUACAAAAUAAUAAAGACAACUCCUAUGGCUCCUGCCGGUUGUCAUACUCAUCGACAUGCAAGUCGUGAUUCCUAUUACAAGAAUAUGAUCAAUCUCAUACAUCAUAUAUAUCAUUCAUCACAUCUUCUGGCCAUAUCACAUCACAUAGCACUUGCUGCAAAAACAAGUUAGAUGUCCUCUAAUUGUUGUUGCAAGUUUUUACGUGGUUUGUAGGUUUCUAGCAAGAACGUUUCUUACCUACGUAUGACCACAACGUGAUUUGCCAAUUUCCAUUUACCCUUCAUAAGGACCCUUUUCAUCGAAUCCGUUCCGACUAAAGUGGGAGAGACAGACACCCGCUAGCCACCUUAUGCAACUAGUGCAUGUCAGUCGGUGGAACCUGUCUCACGUAAGCGUACGUGUAAGGUCGGUCCGGGCCGCUUCAUCCCACAAUGCCGCCGAAACAAGAUAAGACUAGUAGCGGCAAGAAGAAUUGACAACAUCGACGCCCACAACUACUUUGUGUUCUACUCGUGCAUAGAAACUACGCAUAGACCUAGCUCAUGAUGCCACUGUUGGGGAACGUAGCAGAAAUUCAAAAUUUUCUACGCAUCACCAAGAUCAAUCUAUGGAGUAAUCUAGCAACGAGGGGAAGGGGAGUAAAUCUACAUACCCUUGUAGAUCGCGAUGCGGAAGCGUUGCAAGAACGCGGAUGAGGGAGUCGUACUCGUAGCGAUUCAGAUCGCGGUUGAUUCCGAUCUAAGCACCGAAAGUACGGUGCCUCCGCGUUCAACACACGUGCAGCCCGGUGACGUCUCCCACGCCUUGAUCCAGCAAGGAGAGAGGGAGAGGUUGGGAAGACUCCAUCCAGCAGCAACACGACGGCAUGGUGGUGGUGGAUGAGCGUGGCAAUCCCGCAGGGCUUCGCCAAGCACCGCGGGAGAGGAGGAGGAGGGAGAGGGGUAGGGCUGCACCAAAAGGAGACGUUCUCAUGUCUAUGGCAGCCCAAAACCUCAAUAUAUAUAGGGGAGGGGUGAGGGCUGCGCCCCCAUCUAGGGUUUCCCCCCUCAAGGGGUGCGGCUAGCCCUAGAUGGGGCUUGGGGGGCGGCCAAAGGGGGGAGGAGUGCCUCCCAAGUCAAGUGGAGGCCCUCCCCCUUAGGGUUUCCCCUCUCCCAUGCGCAUGGGCCUUGGGGGGGCUGGUGCCCCUGGCCUAUUAAGGCUAGGGCGCCCCCUUACAGCCCAUGCUACUGUAUUGGACGUGGUGGAACAUUUUCCGGACCUCCGGACCCCUCCGGAAUCCUCCGGAAUCUUCUGGAAGCUUCCCGGUACAAUACCGAAAAAACCCGAACUUUUCCCGGAACCCGAACAACAACUUUCCAUAUAUAAAUCUUUACCUCCGGACCAUUUCGGAACUCCUCGUGACGUCCGGGAUCUCAUCCGGGACUCCGAACAACAUUCGGUAACCACGUACAUGCUUUCCCUAUAACCCUAGCGUCAUCGAACCUUAAGUGUGUAGACCCUACGGGUUCGGGAACCAUGCAGACAUGACAGAGACGUUCUCCGGUCAAUAACCAACAGCGGGAUCUGGAUACCCAUGUUGGCUCCCACAUGUUCCACGAUGAUCUCAUCGGAUGAACCACGAUGUCGGGGAUUCAAUCAAUCCCGUAUUCAAUUCCCUUUGUCUAUCGGUAUGUUACUUGCCCGAGAUUCGAUCGUCGGUAUCCCUAUACCUUGUUCAAUCUCGUUACCGGCAAGUCUCUUUACUCGUUCCGUAACUCACAUCAUCCCGUGAUCAACUCCUUGGUCACAUUGUGCACAUAAUGAUGAUGUCCUACCGAGUGGGCCCAGAGAUACCUCUCCGUUUACACGGAGUGACAAAUCCCAGUCUCGAUUCGUGCCAACCCAACAGACACUUUCGGAGAUACCCGUAGUGCACCUUUAUAGCCACCCAGUUACGUUGUGACGUUUGGCACACCCAAAGCAUUCCUACGGUAUCCGGGAGUUGCACAAUCUCAUGGUCUAAGGAAGUGAUACUUGACAUUAGAAAAGCUCUGAGCAAACGAACUACACGAUCUUGUGCUAGGCUUAGGAUUAGGUCUUGUCCAUCACAUCAUUCUCCUAAUGAUGUGAUCCCGUUAUCAACGACAUCCAAUGUCCAUGGUCAGGAAACCGUAACCAUCUAUUGAUCAACGAGCUAGUCUCCUAGAGGCUUACUAGGGACAUGGUGUUGUCUAUGUAUCCACACAUGUAUCUGAGUUUCCUAUCAAUACAAUUCUAGCAUGGAUAAUAAACGAUUAUCAUGAACAAGGAAAUAUAAUAAUAACCUAUUUAUUAUUGCCUCUAGGGCAUAUUUCCAACAGCUUUUUCUUAACGUGGUGUCCGAUUUGGAUGUCGCGGCUACGCGGCGGCGGAGAGAGUGGAGGGGAUGUCGGCUCCGGCUUCACAGCGAGGGCUGCCGAGAGGCCGCGUCGGCCAGCGCCGCCCCUCCCUCCCUCCCUCCAGUCACAUCGCGUCAUCAAUUCCGGCCUCUGCAUGCUCUGGGCCGGUAUGUAUGCGGCGCGGUAAGCGGUGCGUGCAUCGGAAGGAAAGUGCGGGAGAGGCGGGUGACGAGUUUUUGGUGGGACAGGGCGGUUAGAAGCGGGCUUGAGAGCGGUCCGGACUUUCGCAAACCUCCCCCAUUUUUAUCUCCGGUUUGCACGAGAAAUCGCAUCCGGACCACCCCGCGGAUCAAUACAGGUCGGCGUUGCAUAGCUUCCACGGUCCGGACAGCGCAGUUCGAAAGGUUAUAGGAGGUUUGAGGGUCAGCGUUGAAGAUGCCUUAGAAUGUGGCUGGAUAAUCACCUUUUCCUUUUGUUUAACCAUGUUCAUCUUAUUCCAAUCAUGGCAGAGGCACCGACCUGACACUGUGAAGCAGUGGGGUUUUCCUUCUUUUUGGACCCAAUAUGGAAUUGCAAGGUUCUGUUUUGUUUAUUAUAUAAGGAUUCUUUAAUAAUGCAACGAGGGGUGUGGGCCAGGCUGGAGUUGACUGGCAGGAGACGCCUUUUCCACCCACCCACCCACAGCCACCCUGGCGCCUACUUGUUUACUCGCCGCAUCAUGUGAUUUUUUUGCAUAUAUGUAUUCUCCAUGCUUAUUUAAUCUUGCCAUGUUAUGUGCAGAUAAAAGACAUUCUUCGCGAUCAGCUUUUAUAUCACCGCAUAAUUUAGGUAUGCUCACUUGGAUUGGAUUGGGAGAUUGGUUUUGACAGCUAAUUUGGGGAGAGAGAGAGAGGGAGGGAGGCGUUGGUGGUGUUGGGAUGAGCUGUCUGAGCAGCAUUGAUGCUCCCCACUCUGACACCCUCCACCUGCACUGUCUCCCAUGGCUCCACAUCCCCCCUUGUUUCACACCACUCCAACGAUGCAUCCUGCCCCAUGUGAAAAGCACGCCAGAAAUUAAUGGCUGUGCGUUCCAUAUUUCACCAACUUUUCCCUCGUUGCAUGCUCCAAUCUCAAACGAAUAGCCAUAUAGCCUCCUGUGCAAAAUGCACACCAAACAUCAGGAGUUUGCCACCUAUACUAGGCCAAAAGAUAUAGGGUAAAAAAAGAAUUUCAAAUUUUUGGGUGAGCAUGAAAGACCGAGUCUGCGUGGGUGCACAUGUGUGUGUGGGACUUUCUGAGGCUUUUUGCUGCGCUUGGCGCAAAGAGGAAAAAGGCAGCGGAGGCCGCUCCAUUUCCCUUCCUCCGCUCGCUCUUUGUGUACACAUCCAUCCAUCCGUCACCCCAAGCGAGGCCCCACGCCCACUUUGGACCAACUCCGCCUCCAAAUCCAAAUCAUUAGAAAAGACUACAAAGGAGCAAACGAAAAAAGGGUGGGAAAAGGUGGCACCACCAUCGUCCUACAUUGCAUGCUCUCAGUAGUCAGGAUCCCAACGUACCACCACGGAUUUUACAGGUUUAUGACCAUAUUUUGAUCUUCCUUUAAUGCAAAGGAUUUUUGAAUGAUUUUGUCUGUGUUGGUCAUUUGAUUCGUAGGAUUGGAUUUUCUUACAGAUUACUUUGUACACAUUUCAUCAUGUGUUUUCCUCUUUAUCUGUUUUGACAAUCAUGCAAAUCAAAUACUCCCUCCUUUCUGGUUUAUAGGGCUCAAUUCAAAAAUCUCAUCAACCAAGGUAAAUGGUGAGUGGUGGAAUACUUUUUGUAAUUUGCAAAAGCACCCAAUUAAUGCUCUUGUUUUUCUCAAAAAAUUAUGUUUACCAAUGUAUUAAUUGCAAUGAAUGCAUGCAUAAAGUACAUGCAUUGGUCAAUUUUCUCUUAAUACUUGCAUGCAAUGAUUUAAUGCACCCUGGUAUCUGAACUUGUGAUAGGGAACAACCAAAUUAAGCCUUAUAAAAUGGAAAAACUAAGAUUUUGAGAUAAGCCCUAUAAACCGGAAAAGAGGGAGUAGGCACUAAAUUUCAUGACACCAUACAACCGCGCCGAGAACUAAAUGAGUAGAGUAUGGAUGAAUUUGGACGCCCGUGUAUUAUCGGCAUGUUUGACUACCUUUAUUAAGUAAGCACGUUUCGUUUGGCUAUAUCUGGGUUUUCUUUUCUUUUUUUGAGAAGGAGGAUGACCCCGGUUUCUGCGGUCAUUUUAUUAAUUAUUCAUCAAGUCUGGCUAUAUGUGGUGGAACAAACAUUUUAUUUAGGACAUGGCAAUUUAUUGAUGGAGGGUGCGCUCGACGUAAUAUUACUUUCAUUUACUAUAUUUUGUCGGACACACACAAGGUUUACAUUGUCGCGAUGAAUGUUUUAACUUUGUACUCUCUCCGUCCCAAAAUUCUUGUCUUACAUUUGUCUAGAUACGGAUAUAUCUAAUACUAAGACGUGACUUGAUACAUUCGUAUUUAGACAAAUCUAAGACAAGAAUUUUAGGACGGAUGGAGUAUUCGCUAUGUCUAUAAUCUGUUCAUUAAUUGGACAUAAUCAGCCACCUGCCAUCGACGAAUCAAUUGAAAAAUUCGAAUUAUGGGGCAACAAAAGUGGAAAUGUGCUGGCAGGAAAAAAUGGGAAAUGUGGAAAAGGAAAGGAGACGCCAGUCCCCAAUAUCUUCUCUAGGGUUUAUAGAAUCAUGGAAAAGGGCCAUAAACAAUACCCAAGGGAAACCCCACCCCCUCCCCUCUCCCCUUCCCUGUCUGUCUGUCUGUCUGUCUCCAUCCAUCCUUCUCUCCCCUCCUCCGCCCCCGCUCCCCUGCGCCUCCUGCCCUCCUCCCAACCCCACCCGGCCACCACCUCGCCCCACCCUGCGUGCCCGGCACGUGCUCCUCUCCCUCUUCAACCCUAACUCCGGUGACUACCCGAGCGCGUGCGCGCGGACCACCGGCCAGGCCAAAGGAGCCGCCUUUUCAUUUCUGCCUUCUCGGGAGGGAGGGAAGGAGGGAGGGUUCUCGGGGACGCGCAUGGACCAUGGCGGCGGCAGCGGUGGGGGUGGAAGUGGAGGCGGGGGCGGAGCGCCGUCGAGCAGCAACAGCGGCGGGGGGAGCGCCGGAGGUACGAGCGGAAGCCGUGGCGGCGGCAGCGAUCACCAUCCGCACCACCCAUUCUACUACGCUGGCCCAGCGGAGCCCAACAACGUGCAGCAGCAGCCGCAGCCGCAGCAGUUCAUUGGGUCGCUCGCCAUAACCCCCGUCGUCACCGACCAAGCCCCGGCUUCCUCGGCGGAAAAGAAGGCGGUCGCGCCAGUGACUCCAUCGGCCGGCGCACUGGCGAAGCGGCCAUCCAAGGACCGGCACACCAAGGUGGAUGGCCGGGGAAGGAGGAUACGGAUGCCGGCUCUGUGCGCGGCGCGGGUUUUCCAGCUCACGCGGGAGCUCGGCCACAAGUCCGACGGCGAGACCAUCGAGUGGCUGCUGCAGCAGGCGGAGCCAGCCAUCCUCGCCGCCACCGGCACCGGCACCAUCCCGGCCAACUUCUCCUCCCUCAACAUCAGUCGCGCGGCCUCCGGCACCAGCCGCCCCGCGCCAUUCCCCGCCCUCGCGCUCCACCCCCACCACCACCACCACCAGUCGCCGCACCCUCAGCACGACAUGUCCACCAUGCUGGGUUACCACCACCUGCUCCCGCCGCCGCAGGAGCCGCCCCAGGACGCAAAUAGUCCCGGCUCGUUCAUGAGGAAGCGGUACCGAGAGGACCUGUUCAAGGAGGACGACGAGCGGCAAGAUCCUAACGCGCCCAAGGCGCGCGAGCAGCAGGCGGCGCCGCCCGCCGCAAUGUGGGCCGUGGCGCCGAACAGCGCGGCGCCUGGAGGCGCGUUCUGGAUGUUGCCCGUGUCCGCGAGCCAGGCUGCCGCGGCUCGGCCGACCGAGCAGCCUAUGUGGUCUUUCGGCGGCGGCGGGGGGAGCAGCACCGUGCAGGCGCCGCUGCAGUUCAUGUCAACAAGGGUGAACUACCCUGGCAGCGCCGGCGCGAUGGGCGGCAUUCCCGACACCAACAUCGGCAUGCUUGCUGGGCUCAAUGCUUACGACCGCGGCGGCGGGGGCGGAGGAGGUACGGAAGAAGAGCAGCAGCAGCAGCAGGAGCAAGACCAGCAACAGGAAAUGGAGCAGCAGCGCGACGGCAGCGGCGGUGGCAACGAGGGCGAAGAGGACGGCGACGACGACAGCGGCGGAGAAGAGGAAGGCCAUGGCAACAACAGCUCACAGUAAGCUCGCAUGAUGAAAAACUCUGAAUCCACCAUGAUCAUAUCGCAAUCGUGCUAGUGGGGUGGGCUAGAAUCGAAUCCUGGGAUUGCCUGAGGCCAUCAUUGGACUGCUCACUGCUGGGUUAAGAAGAAGAUUGGAGAAAUGGAUGAUGGGAAGGAAGAAAGCAACUGAAUGCAAGAACAAGACUUCUUGCUAGUCCUUAGGCCUCGUUAUUUUUGGUGGUAUUUUUUUGUCUGUUUAUUUUAUUUUCCUUGUUGGAUGGAUUGAUCCGUGAUGAAUGAUUGGCAUGUUUAGAUGGGUGCGAUGAUUGGUAGUGGUAGUGGGUCCCGACUCAGGAGGGGCCAGGAGGAAGAAACCAGUUUUAUUUGUACAGUUGAUCAUCUUGAUUUGUGCUGCAACUUCAAUUCUUGUUUUAUCUUUCACCAUUGUUUUCAUGUGCUCUAGUUGCACUAGCACAAUUUUAUUCCAGGUAUUUUUGUGUGCUCGUGUCUCUUGCUGUUGUACGAGGGGCAAUGAUCCUGCUUUUGUACAUGCGCUUGCCAAGUCAAUCUGCGGCUCCAAUUGUAGCAGGUGCAGCUAACAGGAGAAACAUAUUUCCUCUCAUUUGUAGAAGUAGUAACAUCUGUAGCCAUCUGCUGGUCACUUUUUAAAUAGAAUUAUAUCACCGCGUCCAUUAAAACACGUGAAACUAGAAUUCAGAAAGUGGAUUAUAUCACAACCAUAGCACCAUUUGUAGCAAAUUCGUGCGUUUGAUGCAGACCCUUCGAAUUCUUAUUUUUAAAUACAAUACAAUCGCAGACGCUCAUAUACAUAUACAUUCAACCCUAUGAAUAUACACACAUACACCCACCUCUAUGGGUACCUCCCAGAUACUGGGGCAGCACAAUAUUUUGAGCAUUGUUUUAAUGGCGUAUUGCAUUUUAUGGCGAGCGGCCCCCCUUUAUAGCAUUAUAGCGACGCCAUAAAGGUAUUGCGAGCCUGGGUCUGUAUGGCGAUUGACCCCCUUCACACCUAUAUAUCGUCGCUAUAGCGACGAGAUACAGACGCCUUUAAAACAAUGAUUUUGAGAUUGAUGAAGUCAUCAUAGACUCGUCGUAGUUGAUGAGAGCGUCUCCUUCAAAGACCAUCUCCAGAAAAUUUAGAAUAAAUGAAGGAAUGUGUCAAGUCUAGAACUUAUCCUGAUGGGUUAGUUUCACCACAAGGAAUNNNNNNNNNNNNNNNNNNNNNNNNNNNNNNNNNNNNNNNNNNNNNNNNNNNNNNNNNNNNNNNNNNNNNNNNNNNNNNNNNNNNNNNNNNNNNNNNNNNNNNNNNNNNNNNNNNNNNNNNNNNNNNNNNNNNNNNNNNNNNNNNNNNNNNNNNNNNNNNNNNNNNNNNNNNNNNNNNNNNNNNNNNNNNNNNNNNNNNNNNNNNNNNNNNNNNNNNNNNNNNNNNNNNNNNNNNNNNNNNNNNNNNNNNNNNNNNNNNNNNNNNNNNNNNNNNNNNNNNNNNNNNNNNNNNNNNNNNNNNNNNNNNNNNNNNNNNNNNNNNNNNNNNNNNNNNNNNNNNNNNNNNNNNNNNNNNNNNNNNNACCCCAUCCUCCCCUCGCAUGAACAAAAAGGCUUUGCUAGUUCAGGGCUUUACUAACAAGGUGGGAGCGGAAGUGUUGGGAUAUCCUCCUCACGUGGGCUGUGAGAAGAUGACCAUUGUAGACUUAUAGGCAGCCCAAAGAUGUGCAAAAGCCCACUACCCACUAGGUUAUGACCUUAGGAUGGGGAUGUUUUAUCCUUCAUCCAGCAAUCACCACGAUGAGUGACGAAAAUCGGAUCAGCCUCCAUUAGAGAAGAAGAGAGAAAUGGAAAGAGAGGAAGGUUGAAAGAAGAAGCAAAGAGAGCUUCUCCCCAAGGUUGUGAUGGUACAAAUCUACUACCUUGUCUUCUUCAAGCUGCGGCUCCACCAUCUUUGAUGAGAUUAUUCCAAUCCCUAGCUCUUGAGCCUCAAAUCUCUUUUUUCUAGAAUAUGCACGGGUGUGCAUAUCAUAUAUUAAUAGGAGAAAAGGGGUGAAGAGCCGUCCAGCAAAGUUUACAUAAAGUUACAAAGUUGCACUGGGCAGCAACCACCUCUCAUCUAGCCUAGGGAACUACUCGCCACUCUUCCACGUAGUGAGGCCAUCGAAGAAGAAAUCAAGAUCCCCUCGUAGAAGGCUAGAUGCUUUUCAUGUCUUCCCCCGCGCUCAAUUUUUGUGAUGGCCUUUAGCAACGAUGGAGUAGCGCCAUCAAAUACCAUGAUGUUGCGGUGCUUCCACAACUCCAAAAGAGUUAAUUAAGGAUCGCCUUCAGAUCAUUCUUUGAGCAUCCCUUGCAACUCCUCGUAGCGCACCACCCUAUGACCUCGCCAUUCACGGUUAGCACCUGAUCGAGUCUACCCAAGACAUUCCAGACCCAAGACCAAAUUGUCCUAGCGAAGACACACGUGGGUAGGAUAUGCCCAGUUGUCUCCUCGUGCUGAUCACAAAGAGGGCAAGCCGCUUGAUGGGGUAGGUCGCGGCGUGCGUGUUUGUCGGACGUCCAACAACGAUUCCGCAUCACAAUCCAGGUGAAGAAACGGCAUUGCAGGGUUGCCUUAUGUCUCCAAACGAAAUCCGCAUAUGAAGCAACCUCCCUCCCGACAAUCUUGGCCGCGUAAGUUGAUCUGACAGAAAACAUUCCCGACGGCUCCCAUGCCCAAGUGAUGUCGAUGUCGCUCCCAUUAAGCUCAACUUGUGCAAUUCUUGGCCAUAAGUGCGGAUAUUCCUCCAUAGCUUGUGGGGUCAGAUUCGGCCCGAUGUCAUGUGCCCACAUGUUGCCAUGCAGGGCCAACAAAACUGUUCAUGAGCCUCUGAUCCUAGGUGCAACCAUAUCGUAAACAGCCGGCACCAAGUUGUGAAUACGGUAACCAUGCAACCAUUGGUCCUCCCAAAAGAUGUCGUUUCCAUUGCCCAGGUCAGCGAUCGUGGCCGCUUGGUAUUCCUUCGCUUCCUUGGACACGCAUAUGUCAAAUUCUCUCCAUGGUCUGUGAUCGUCCGUGCAUUCUAACUCUUGUUGUGUUCAUCCAAGAUUCAAAAAUCUUGAUGUAUGAGAUCCUCUAAUGCUAUCAAAAGAAAAACUUGUUGUAUCCCACAUUUAAUAAUAUUAGAAGAUCAUUUAGGUGGCUUCAGCUCGUGAUUUUCGCCCUUAAAUUUGGGGUUUUCCGCGCAAAAAAUCUGAUAAGCCAUCGAAGAGCCCUAAAAUUCUGUAGAAACCGCAAGUGUUUUUUUUUGGCAGAGGAAGUAUAGUCUUAUACUAUAUGUGUCGGACACAUUUUGCUGUAUCCGUUCAAGCACGAUCAAAGCAGACCCCUCAAGUUGGCACGAGUAUUCUCGAGCUCGUCAUUUCUCAUCAAGAUAAAUCCAAAAAGAACCCAACAUGUGUGAAAGAGCUCAGCAUAGCUGCAAGGAUAAUAACAUUCUCUAGAGGUGCGACAAAAAAGGAUCAGACCGAGAGACGUCGUCUUCGUGGGUGAGACCAGAUGGGAUUAAUUAAGCAUAUUUGAAUAAUUAAUCGAUAAACGAACCCGUCGCUAUCACCCUGGAUGGGUGGUGACUGGUGACAGAGGUUGGAUUAUAUCUACUUAAUUAAUAACUAGUUUAAUGCCCGUGUGUUGCUAUGGAUGAACCGAAAACAUAGUGAAGCACGAUUGUUUCAAUUCCUAUAACAACAAAUUAAUUAUUUCUUCCGCUUCUUUCUUCGUAGGCAUGGUCGUGUUUCUUUAACCACUCCCUCCUCACAUCAUAUCUUUGUCCUUACCCUUCCUUUCCCUUCACCUUUUUUGUCACCAUUGUGUUUGAACCCUCUUCAAAAUGUUGUGUUUUAUAUAUAUUAUGUUUUUAUCAAUUCAAAAUAUUAUUUUAAUAUCUUUUUUUGCAAUGAAUUAGUUGAAAUAAAACUUAAGCAAUUCCUCUCAUAACUAAAUGAAAGGAAACAUGAAUUACAUUGAGUACAGAAACAAAAGAACAAAAUCUUAUUUUCUGAUAAUUAGACCCUCUAAAACAACAUAUACUACCCCCAAUCAUAAAGAAAAUAAGAUAACAGAAGAGAUAUAGUUACUACAAAACACAUCUGACCUUCAGGUUACUUCAUAAAAUCUUAGUUCUAUAUCUGUCAAAUGACUCGGGAGGAGCAUCUUUGCGUUCAAACACUUCUCUGUGAAGAGGCAGCUUGAGUUCAAGGUUGUCCUCUUGGUUCCCAGGAGGAACCCUUUAACAUCCUUGAGAACAUAAAAAUCUUAACAAAGCAAGCACUAUGUGUGUUGUGCCUUCAUCAUGGACAAUUACAAACUGGAAAUUUUGAGCCAGGAUGAAUGCAAUAGAUAGUCUAAGCUCGUACAGCCCAAAAAGCAUAUGAUUUGGAUAACGUCCAAGUUUCAACAGUACCUUGAGCCUAAGACAUUCUUUCUACGUAUAGUUGAAGAUCAAAGCUGCAAGCAUGACUAAAAAUCGAGAGCGAUAUGAUGAGUUUGGAUUGACACGAACAUGAAGUAGGAUAAUCAACAUGGUUGGUUAACAUAAAACUAUGAUGAAUAUUACCAUCACACAAAAUAUGUAAAUAUGUCUGCAUUACUUAGGUUAUGAACAUCUUGUAGCAAAAUGGAACAUAGUGAAAGGUUCUUAUGUAUGUACGUGUUCGACGUCUUCCUCUCUCAUGCUCUCCCGUUUCCUUUUCUCCUACCCAAGUGUCUCCUUGCCAAUCUGUCAAAAAAGCAGCAGCUUAGUGACACGUCGAGAGCGGACAUCAGCCUUGAGGAAGUACUCGUCAAGCUCGAUAUUGACCGAUGCCCACCUUGAUUGAUGACGGCAGGCUGUGAGAACAUGUGACACACCCUGGCUCACCAAAUAUCGUUCCACCGCGGAAGUAGUUCUGCACACAUCAAGACUUCAGACACAAGAAUGAAUGUCAUAAAAAAUACCAGAAGAAGGUGCACAUAUAAAAGUGUAAAAAGGUAUAAGUAGGGAAAUAAUUGUGCGAUAGCUCUGCUGCUUUGAUGAGUGCUUAAGACAGUACACUACCAAAAUAAAACAGUUUAUGUGGCAAUUUGAUUGUCAGAGAAGUUUACAUGCUCAUAAUGUACCCUUCAAGAGAACUGGAAAUUGAGAGGUUACAUUAUUAAAAAAAAUAACUAUCACCCAUAUAGAUACAUAGAUCCGACAGAGCACAAUCAAAUCCCCCCAAAAAAUAAAAUUAUUGUCGCCAUAGGUGACAUACAAAAUGUCGAGAAAGCACAUAGCAAUGGUCAUUUUGGUAGGAAUCAAAAUAUGACACAUUAUUCAGAAAAAAAUUAUAAGCUCAAUGUGCAGGAAAAAUGAUACUAAUUUAUACAUGCACUUGAUAUGUGCACAGCAGGCUCCAUUUGAAAAUAAAGUCAUUUUUACAAUCCAGUUUCAUCUACCAGAUGGCAGAAGCCAUAUGUGUUUGACACUUUACUAAUCAUCUGUAAAUUUUGAAUGAUACCUUCAGGGCCUUGUGAUAAAAAAAGAGAUACUGAACAAUUGGCAUAGAUUCACCGAGGCAAGAGAUUAUCUAAUUAGCACCGUGAUUCUAAAACAAAAUGAUCAAAUUUUUAAUACCGCUCAAUAAGUAUUGCUUCAUCCCCAGAAAAAACCUCAAUUGCCUUUGCAAAAAGCAUGUCCGUAUGUGGAACUCUGUAGUGAAGCUUUGUCUGUCGUCGUGCAAAUUGUGUUGUCUCACCAGCUUGUAGGCCUUUUCCUGAAUAUGCAAAUUCUUUCUCAGACUGUAGAUUUACUCCAACCACAUGCUUCCGAGUUCCCUAGCAAAAAAAAACUACAGAAUACAUAACUUUGCAUCAUAGAAGUAUAAAGCUAUGAGAAGCAUUGUAGAGUACUCUCACUUCAAGCAAAUUAACAUCCACCGUAAUUCUUUCAAAUUUUUCUAAUGAUAUUAUCAUCCGUGUAGUUCUGUUACAAUAUCCAUAGUAUGUCGGCAGUCUGACAAUUAGUAUUCAGGUCCUAUAUACCAUCCAAGAAAAUGCAAACAUGUUUUUCUUCCUGCUGGUAGCAUGUUCCAUUGACUGUUCAAAGUAUAUAUCCUGUGAUGUUUGACUAUAUUUAGAAAAUAAUGCAUUGUCCUAGAUUGAGAUUAAUCAUGCUGUUACAUUGGCAAAUACAGUGUGUACACUGGGAUAUCUUUUCUAACAAUAGCGAAAAUAACAGAUAUUAUCGUGCAACAAUAGCAAUAAAGGAAUCCAAUUGAUCUCAUUGGCAUCCUCAUAUGAGUUGACGCUGUUCAUAACACAGUUUUACCCGAUGAUACUCAACUCAUGGGAGUCUAGGUAUCUUCAAUUUGUAAGCCUGCUCCAGGACGGGAUUCGGCGCUCAGCGCUUUUUUGGCCAUGUACAGGUUGCCUAAUAUGCCAAUUGAGCAGAGCACCACACGGAUGAAAAUCCCAUAUAGCAAAUUCUCACUCCAGAUAUGAGGGAUUCCUCGUGAUAACUACCACCACUAAUGGAAUGGUCUAAACAUGAUUAAGGUAGAAGAGACAACCAAACCUAAGGCUGGAGCCUAUAGCACGUGUCUGGAGACUCCUCGGACACUCUGCCGUUGGUCGAUGAUUGGCCAGUGCGUGCCCGAUCAAAGGGGAGAGGAGGCAGACGGGAGAGCGCACCAGUACGAAGGACUACGACCUCAUCUUCCUCUAUCAGUGAUUAGGCCAGCGCCACCGCUGGCCGCUCCUCCCUCUCUCUUUCUCUCCCCCUCUCUCUUCCAAGGCGGGCACAAGGGAUGGGAGGCAUCCCUCACCUUGAUCCAGAAGGCGUGCAUCAGCGGAUGGAUAGGUGGUGGGGCGACGAGCACAGCCGGCGGCGGCAGCGACUUUUCCUGGAGAGAGAUGGGAUCGGGAUUGGAACUGGGAGCGAGUUGGGAGUUGUGGGAGGCGAAGACAUGAGUACCUGUUAGCGACAGUUUUUCUCUCUCUCUGUAUUCGGUCGGGGAUGGGAGGAAGUGUGGGCUGGUUUCCGGGCCACGUCCUAUGCCGGGUGGGCAGCCUUUUUUACGAGCGGGAGAAAGAAACUAUCGAUCGUAGGUGGGAGUACGAGGUCGAACCAUCACGACGUUCGAUUCUCCUUUAAUAGUAGAGAUAUUGCCCGCCGCGUCAUCUUUCUCUUCUUUCUUCCGGCUCCUCCUGCAUGCGUGGAUCUCGAGGCGCGGCGGGCGUGCUGUGUUCGGCCCAGAUAUUUUGUUCGGCUCCGACUCCUCGUCACCACGCGCGUGGCUCUAGGUCAUGCUUGCUCUGCGUCCACGCUGUCGUCGUCGACAACAACCGACUGGUUAUCAAACACGAAAAUAAGGUCUCUUUCGAAGCCACUGUGCCAUGGCCACGAGUGGGUCGUACAUAAUUCUCUUCUUUUGGAAUUUCAAGGACCGAAUUCUAUAUGCCUAAACUGUGUUUUGUUAGAGCAUCUUUAAUUGGACCAGGCAAAUUUGGCCUUCCAUUUGUUCGCGGAAACAUUAAGACAGUGUCUGGGUGUAUCCGUUUUGAAUUCUCGGCUCUCGAUGCACAUAAUCAUGUCUUUCAAAUUAUCUAGGCACGUGCAUAUGAUUAGUGGGUGGAGAGAAAAAAUGAGAAGAAGGGAAAUAGAUAAAGUGGUUCUGAUGGGGCAUGGUUGAAUCAUUGACCCACCACUGGAGGGGGGUAGGUCUACCAUUCUUCACUAAAAAAAAUACACUUUCAUGAUGAUACGUGUUUGUCACAGAUAGGUCACGUUUUUUGCCAUGCAUGUACAUCCAUGACGAUUUUAUGACAGAAUUAAGAUAGUCAUACCUGCGCUGUCGUAGAAGUGUUUCAUGACCAAAAUUAUCAUCACGGAAGUGUCCACUUCCAUGGCGAUAAAUCGCGCGUCACAGAAGUGCUUCCGUCAAGGGUGACCGACAUAUGGCAUCCACCGUAACGGACCGCCGUUAAGCUAUCGGGUCCGGUUUUGGAUCCGAUAACCCGUUAACAGCCCGUACCAAUGGGAAUUUUCCACGUGUAAAAUUCUGAUUGGCCGGAGGAAACACGUGCCAGCUCGUCAGUGGGUCAGAUAGGCAUCUAUGAUAUGUCGACACGUGCGACGGCCCACCACUGGCCCAUUUAGCUUACAAAGGCUGGCCGUUUGACUUGGUCAAAAGUUAGCGGGCUGGCCCAUGAAAAGCCUGUUAAUGGUCUUUUCGCAAAUAACCCAUUUUACGGCCCGUUAGGGCCUACCCGAAAUCGGCCCAACAAUGUCAUGUGGGCCGUCGAAUAUAACACCAGCCCGUUUCACUUUCGGCCAAUGUAUGGCCCACGACGUCUUUCGGCCCAUAUGAGGCCUUUCGUAUCUUUAGGCCCUUUAGAGGCCCACAGUGACUCUAGCCCAUAGUGAACAGUGAAUUUCUUUGUACCCAUUAACGGCCCAUGAUUCACAUGGGCCAUUUCCAGCCCGUGUUAGCUUUCGGCCUACUGACGGCCCAUACGUUCUUGGGCUCCUUUUCGGCCCUCGAUUACUUCCGGCCCAUUACUGGCAUGUUCCCCUAAUGGGCCAAAUUCGGCCCGUGGAAAAAGUCGGCCCGUUUGUGGCCUGUUAACCCGUGUCGCCGUUUCCAACCCGUCCUAUAUUCUGGCCCAUUAACGACCCGUUAUGUUUGUGACAGAAUUAAGCCUUUGCUGUCCUCCGGCCUAUUAACGGCCCGUUACCGUGUUGGGCCGAUACCAAUUACUCCCAUUUACGGCCCAUGUAGACCGAUUUAUCCGACGGCCCGAGGCCCACCGAUUCUACGACCCUGUUGGAGGCCCAUUUAUCGACGGCCCGUAGGAGGCCCAUGGAUCCUACGGCCUGUAGGAGGGUCAAGGUUACGACGGUCCGUAUAUGGCCCAUGGUUGUUGCGGCCACUAGCAAACCAGGGAAAAAGAAGACUAGGAAAUAAAUAAGCCCGAAACUAACGCUAGGCUAUUAAGGCGAUUGCACAGAUUACAUCCACUGGGCAUCAAAGAUCGCCACUAGUGCAAAUAUAGGGAACACCCUACACUAUACAAAAAUGGCUUGCUGUUUUCUUCAGCCGGUGGCUGCACGUUAAGAACAAAUUUUGUAUCGCAACAAAACAAAUUACAAUUAUAAAACAAAAGCAAGGUUGGCAUAAAAGUUAACAGUGUGGGAGAUAAAUGCACCACCAGAAGUUCAGAAGUUCAGAAGCUCAGUUCAUUUGACCUGACUGUUACGUUUUCAUGUUGCAUUGUCCGAUGGAGCACCAUAACCUUCGCCUUCAUUUCUCCUAUGCUCCUGAAUAACAUAGCAAAUGUCUGAUAGUCUGGUUUCAAAACCAUGCAUAUCUUGACGACAUCGAACAAUGUCUGUCCUUGUUUCACAAAGGGUCUCUGUUAGGUAAUGGACUUGUGUCUGGAGCGCAGAUAUAACAUUGUUUUUAGCUUGCAUAUCUUGAUCAUGAGGCAGUUUGGACGAGAUUGCCUUAACAACCAACCCAGUAUUACGCAGGAACGUGCUUUUGGUACUGUUAGUGGACAGGUACUGACCCACUGCAGCAAGAGCUGACAUUGCAGUUAUAGUUGCCUCGCCACCUUCAGAAGGUGGCGGUUCCACCAUUUUUUCCAUAGAUUGCUGAAAAGUUGAGUUUUUACAUUAGUAGUACCAGAACAGAAGAUAUUAAGGAGGCAACAAAACCAAACAAAAUAGCUUUGGUCUAUAUACAGAACUUAUUCUGGUGAACCCAUGUAAAAUAUUUGUUGUAUUUUACUGCAGAGUACAUAAUAAAACCAGGUUCCAAACAUAUGACCAUGUAUCAUGGCUAAUGUAUUGUCUAUUUCUUCACAUUGCAUUGACAGCUAAGGAUAAAGAGACAAAGUUUAUAAUACGGUAAGCAUAGUAUGACACAAUUCAUACCACAAAACAACUGAGAACAGACAAACAGGCAAUUGUGACGUUGUGUGGGCAAGUCCAGCACGGAACUAGAUUACAGAUCAAGAUCAAAGGAACAUCACUCCUCUCUUUUAAACUUUGUAAGGUGCAAUGAUACGCUAAGACAAUUGUGUAUAAAAUUGAAAAGAGUAAUAGACAUUGGCUGUAAACCAUGCAGUUCAAGGCACAAGUCGGAGUAAGUAGUAGUUAAAAGGCAUGAGGAUUAAGGACUUACAACCGCGGCUUUGACUGGUGUAGUCAUGCCCUUCGUCUUGCUGGUGUGACAGUCCUUGAAGAUUUCCACAACAUUUGGUUCGGGUACUUUUUGGUCCUUGCGGGCCUUCCUUUGCAUGUGGAACAAGUCAAUAUAGAUCUGAUAAUAUGGUACAGCGAAAAGAGUGAAACAACAGCUAAUUGCAAGAGCCUCGCAGUGUGCAAUAUAGCUACGAGAUCCUGUCGUCUGUUGGAAUUUCACUUUCGUAUAGUUGGCCUUGUUCUUUGAACAGUUCACCUACAAGAAGAUAGAUUUGUGAAGCACAUGCGUAAAUAGGACUUCAACGUGUGAUCUGAUCACAUAUAUAUAAUGUACUUGAUACUUUGGAUCAGACCAGUGUUUAACGAGGCCUCUCCAGUCUUCAUCCGAUAUAUUUUCCACUGGAUAUGUUUGGGCAAGUUCACUGUUAGCCUUGCCUUCAAAGUGAGUUUUCCUCAAGUUAUACCGAUACUGUCGUAGAGCAGACUUGAAAACAUGGGUGCAAGCUUGUCUGGUUGCAUCAUCUUGGCUAUCCAACUUGAACCCCAUCUGUUAAAAAUUAUGGGAGUCUCGUUAUCAGCAACCUAGAAAGUAUGCGACAGAGCAAGACGAUAUUACUAGUUUCCAUACAUAACCAUACUUACAGAUAAAUGGUCGAGGAAGGUGUUGAACUGGGUUUUGUCUUUGUCAUUCCUGUACUGAAUCCAUGUUGGGAGGAUACGUACAUGACACCUAACGGCAACCGUUGCCUCUGAUACUAACUUGGCUGACUCUGUAGCAUCACGUGACCUUUUUAAACCUGCCUCAAAUCGGAUCUCCAUUCUUCCUCCUCUAGAUUUAGUUAACCUAUCGAGCAUUAUCCCUGAUGUUUGUUUCCUCUUGCGCCUAGUGCUAGUCCAACAACGAACAUAGGAAGUGUUAGUGUACAUCAAACUGUGAGACUACACAUAAAGAAGCAUGCAACUGUAACUUAACUCCAGCAACUACCUUCUUGCUGUUGAAGCUCACAAAGUUCAUCUGAUCUUGCCAACUCGUCUUGUGUCAAGAGUGCUUCAGAAGUAGUGUCAGGUGGCAAGGGAGCUUGGGAACGUGCUGCUAGCUGAGUUGACCAACGAGUAACUCGUGCAGCUGGUGGUAUUGUGGAAGGUGUUGCAACUAGGGCUAUCUCUGCUUGUUUGGUGGCAGCUAUUGGUUUCUGUUUGGCUUGUUCUGCAGCUCGUGUAGCACGGGAUACCCUGUUUGUACAAUUUUCCGCUGGACUUUGACCUUCUAUUGCACCAUCAGUACCAACAGAAUCUGCAGGAUUCUUCCGCUUCCCUUUCCCUGUCAUUCUGUGUUCCUUCCUCUUCCUCUGUACCAUGUUAAGUCAAGCCGACAAGAAAAACGAAUAACAAUUUAGUUCUUCAGAACAAAUUGAUGCGUGAUACAGACGAACUAAACUUUGAUGUUAGACAACCACAUGAUAGGAGGAUGUAAUAUGUACGAAAAACAGGAUGACAUGAGAUAACCAGAACUAUGAUGUGUAAACUAAGCAGAAGAUAUUUCACUAAAUUAGAAGCAAUGCAAUGGAAGGUAGACACCAUAUGAAAGAUGCUACAAAUAUCGCUCUGCCAAGUUAACAAUGUCUCAUCAUAAAUGGCGUUUAAACAAAUGUGAAGCAGUACAAGAAAUAAAUCAUAUGAAAGAUGCAAACAACAUCACACUACUAAGUUAAAGGUCUCUCGUCAUUAGUGCCAUUGCAUAUUCAAAGCAUUACAUAUUCACAGCUUAUGAUGUGUAAACUAAGGAAAAGGCAUUUCAACAAAUUAGAAGAUAUGAAAGCUAGACACCAUAUGAAAGAUGCAACGAAUAUCACUCUACCAAGUUAAAAUUGUCUUGUCAUAAGUGCCAUUUCAACAAAUUAGAAGUAGUACAAGCUAAAAGAAUGCGAGAUGUAACCUAUAUCACACUCCCAAGUCAAACGUGUCUUAUGAUAAGUGAUUGUUGCAGGUUACACAAUAGUAGUACUUUGAUGUAAGAACAUGGUAUGAUAGACAGAUAUUGUAUGUUCUAGAAACAGGAACAUGUGUCUUAUUCACAAGUAUAAUGUGUAAAGUAAGCACAUGGAAUUCAACAAAAUUAGAAGCAAUACAUGCUAGACAUCAUACAUAACAUGCAACCACAUAUAACAGUGCCAAGUUAGAGGGAGCACCUGUGAUGGUGCACUAGGGGAGACGUGCUCAUCAUCAACACAACUACGUUUAGUGUCUAUGCAUUUGUUGUCUUGCAAAUCUUCUUGGGGGGUGGGGGGGGUGGCGGAGUAGAAUCUGUAGAGGCCCUCCGUUUGGAAGGAGCACCUAUAUCCGCUGCCUUGCUACUUUCCUUCCGCUUUAUUGAUUUUGAAUUGUCAAGUAAAACUGACAAGAAAAAGCAAUAAAAUUCACUCUGUAGAACUCAUUCGUGCAUGGUACUGACAAUCACUACUUUGAUGUAAGGCAAACACAUGAUACCAGGAUGGAAUAUGUACAAAAAAGAGGACGGCAUGGCAUAUUCACAACUGUUUGUGUAAACUAAGCAGAAAUCAUUUCAACAAAUAAGAAGCAAUGCAAGCUAGACACCACAUGAAAGAUGCAACCAAUAUGACUCUGCCAAGUUAAAAGCGUCCCAUCAUAAAUGGCGUUUCAACAAAUUAGAAGCAAUGCAUGCUAUAAAUCAUAUGAAAGAUGCAACUAAUAUCAUACUGCAUAUACUAAAGGUGUCUCGUCAUAUUGAUUCAUGCGGGAUACAAAAAAACAACAGUUUUAUGCAAGGACAUGCUUAAUAGACAGAUGUACUAUGUACUAAAAAUAGAAAGGCAUGUCACAUUAACAGGUAUAAUGUAUAAACUAAGCAGAAUAGCACAUGCAAUUUAACCAGAUUGGAAGAAUUACAGUCUAGACACCAUAUGCAACAUGCAACCACAUAUCACGCUGCCAAGUUAGAGAAAGCACCUGCGAUGCUGGUGUAGGGGAAAUGCGGUCAUCAACUACAGAGCUACGCUCACUAUAUUCAUCUAGCCUUGCUGUUUCUUGAGAAUCAUGUGGGGAGGCUGACACUGCAUUCUUCAAAAGAGGAUCUUUUCUCAAAGUAACCCACUGGGGUGAAUAUCUCAUCAUAAGUGAUUGAUGAGGGAUACACAAGAACAUUAGUUUGAUGUAAGAACAUGGUUAAUAGACAAAUGUACUAGUAUGUACCAAAAACAGGAAGGCAUGUCAUAUUCAAAGGUAUAAUGUGUAAGCUAAGCAGAUGCAAUUUAACCAAAUUGGAAGCAAUACAAGCUAGACAUCCGGCUGGAGUGGUGGGCAUGAUAAUCAAGGACCUGAGAGCCUGGUGGGAGGCGGGCUGCUUCACCACCAUCGUGGCUUUUUAGUUGGCUUCCAGGUGAUGCAUGUCUGUGCUGGGCUUGUCACUGGCUUGGCCAGUUCCCCUGACUAGCUAUUUGUCUUCUGGUGCUCCCGAGAUGGUGGUUCAUGUAAAAAAUAUCUUUCCUUAUCUUAAUAAAGACCAACUUCGGCCUUUCGAAUACAAGGUAGACACCAUAUGCAACAUGCAACUACAUAUGACACCGCGGAGUUAAAGCAAGCACCUGGGAUGGUGGUUCAUGGCGAGCGAGGUCAUCAACUCCAGAGCUACGUUUACCGUCUCCAUCUGCUGACACUGCACCCUUCAUAGGGCUGAAACGUGUCUGGCCUAGCCGCGUACCAAGCUGGAGCGACUUCUCUCUUUUCUUUUCCGCUUCUGUCAAGGCAGCAGAGUCUGAAAUACCCUUGCAUAAAAAUACAAUAGUGAGAGUAUGGGUGAAGUGUGUGCAGAGCUAGUGCACUGUAAAAGUAGCAGAUAGCAGGUGGUUGAAAAAUAAAUGACAGGAGACAUAUGAUAGCUCUACAACAUUGCAUGGCAAACAAAAUUAGAUUCUACUCCGUAUGAUUUUGUAAUAUAUGAUUACAUGGAUGGCUGGGAAAUGCAGGUACUCCUCCAGCACACCACCACAUGUGGUCCUAUCAAAAUAACAGUCGACUGAAAAUAAAUAGGCCAGUCAAUUUUUUUAUGAACCGUCCGAUCUCUAAGGAACGGGCAGAUGGCCUUCGUCUACCUCCCGCCAGUCACUGUUGACCAUCUUUCUCGAACCGCCAGCGACCACUGGCCCAGACCCCUGCCUCCGUAGCCCCGCCCUCUGUCGGUGUCAAAACCGGCGGAUCUCGGGUAGGGGGUCCCGAACUGUGUGUCUAAGGCGGAUGGUAACAGGAGGCGGGGGACACGAUGUUUACCCAGGUUCGGGCCCUCUCGACGGAGGUAAUACCCUACUUCAUGCUUGAUUGAUCUUGAUGAUAUGAAUAUUACAAGAGUUGAUCUACCACGAGAUCGUAGAGGCUAAACCCUAGAAGCUAGCCUAUGGUAUGAUUGUUGUUGUCCUACGGACUAAAUCCUCCGCUUUAUAUAGACACCGGAGGGGGCUAGGGUUACACAGAGUCGGUUACAAGGGAGGAGAUCUACAUAUCCAUAUCGCCAAGCUUGCCUUCCACGCCAAGGAGAGUCCCAUCCGGACACGGGUCGAAGUCUUCAAUCUUGUAUCUUCAUAGUCCAACAGUCCGGCAAAAGGAUAUAGUCCGGCUAUCCGAGGACCCCCUAAUCCAGGACCCCUCAGUAGCCCCCAAACCAGGCUUCAAUGGCGAUGAGUCCGACGCGCAGAUUGUCUUCGGCAUUGCAAGGCGGGUUCUUCUCCAAAUUCCGGAUACCUGUUGAGUAGUGUCCGGCUUCCCAUAAAUGUUGCACUCCUUGGCUUCUGCGCCUAAUAAUGGCUAUCUUCCAUGUGUCGAGCGAAUGCGAGAAGCCAGGGCAUUUUUACAUUUUCCACCCUAGCCAUGCGAGUAAAUCGUCUAUUAAAGAGACGGGGAUUCUCAGAUCCAGAUCACAUCAUCCUCCCAGAGCGAGUAUCCACCGGAGCGCGCCCGGAAAAAAUCCAUUCCAACAUGGCCGGCCAUCGCAGCUCCUCCUCUCGCUCCCGUAGCCCUAAGCCCGGCAAUUGGAAGAAGUGUUCUGCCCCCCAUAGCCAAUUAGUAGAGUUGCAGACCCAGGGAUUUCUCCCUCCAGCGUAUAUGGUCCCCGUUCGAGCCGGGCUCGCCACCUACAAUGGCGGGGAGCAAGCGGAGAGCUUUCCCAACCCAUCCAUGGGGGAGCGGGUAUGCCUUGUCCCUUACUUAUUAAGAGGGCUUGGAUUUCCAAUUCAUCCGUUCCUCCGCGGGCUCCUGGAGUUCUACGGCCUCCAGCUGCAUAAUCUUACUCCCGCCUCCAUAUUACACAUCGCCGGCUAUGUCACCCUUUGCGAGCUGUUUCUGGGCUACGAAGCUCAUUUCGAGCUAUGGAAGAGGCUAUUCUGCCUCGUACCCCGCACACAGGAGGGGUCAAUAUACCAAGUGGGCGGAGCCGAAAUAUGGCGCAUCAUCGGGACCGGAUACCUGUCCGGUACUCCGAAGAAGACAUCCGAGGACUGGCCUUCGGAGUGGUUUUAUAUGGAGGACGUCCCCCUUCCGGACCCUAUUCGGAUGGGCCUUCUUGAGUUCGACAACGCUCCCUUGAAGAAACGCCGCAGCUGGCACCCUCGGAGCCCCCAGGAGGAAGAUAACGGAGAAGUCCUUUACCUGAUGGGCCGGAUAAAAACACUGGCUCAAUCAGGACUGACAAUAAUCGAGGUUAUGUCAAUAUGUAUAAUGCGGGGGGUGCAGCCACUUCAAUAUCGGGGACAACCCAUGUGGCACUUCAACGGAGAAGACGAUGCCACCCGCUGCGGUUUUAAGGGACCGGACUCAGUCGCUGCUCUAGCAAAAAUCCUGUCCGAUUUGUACAAAGGAGAGGAAGAGGAGUUCAUUCGCAUUAAGCCAUGGGAUGGAUUCUCCAUGUACAACCUUCCAAGCUGGGUGAGCUACCGCUUUUUACUCCAGACCUUCCCGCUUUCUUUGUCAUAAAUAUUUACCUUGUUGUUUCAUAGUACGAGCUGCAAAAAGCUGUGAGGGAGGUCCACAGCCCGCCUCCACAACCAGAGGACCCUGACCGAGCCCCCGAUCCCGGACUCGAAGAGGAUCCGGACAUAUUUGUGGAACUGAUUGACAGGACGUUCUAUCAAUUGAGCUGCGAUGAUGCCAUGGUGGCCAUCAUAGCGGAUUAUCCUGGACUACUCCCUGCAUCGCAUGUAAGUUAAACCGGAGUCCCAACUUCCGAGAAGGAUCCCCUUUUCUGCACUUCACCUACCGCACACAUAUGGUGUCUUACAGGGAAGGCCCUCGGGACGCCAUGCCGAACCCGCAGUGAUUCACCAACAAGGGGCACCGAAGCCGGGUAGGCUUAAAAGGAAGGCGGUCAGGACCGAGACGCCGUCGCAGAGGUAUGAUACAGAACCCCGCUCCGUGGUUGUCGUCUUUUAAAAUAUAAUAACGUCCAUGUUUCCUAGUAGGAAGAACGCUCGCCGGACUAUAUCCGGAGAGGUUGCCCACGCCUCCACCAGUCGGGCUCCAGAGCCGGACAUAGAGGCGGAUGCUAACAUGGGGCGAACGCCGGAUGUUCCUCCUAUAGAGGAUGCGGAUAGCCUAUCCGCUACACAUUCCGAAGUGGAGAGCGCUAUGAAUCACAGGCGUCGCCGGGCCGUACUCCGUGACGCAUGUUUCUCCCAAGAGGCGUUCGAUGCCUUCAACUCAGGAAACACGUACAUCCGUGCUGCUCAAAAUGGUCUUGCCAGAGCCACGGACCAAUAUGUAAAGGAUAUAGGGGUAAGAAAAUCUGAUGAUUAUGUAUAUCAGUAGCCCCUAAGACUUGAAACAGUUGACACAACUGAUUUAAGGAUCAUUAUAUGUGCAGGUUCUUACGGAGAAGAAUACCCAAUUGUCUCAAGAGCUGGAAGAGUGCAAAGCCCAGCUACGGGCCGCAGUUGCCGCAAUGAAGGAGUCCGAGAAGGCCCCCUCUGGUAACACUUGUCUCUAUCAAAAGGAAUGACAUGUGCCGGUUAGUAUGCGGCAUGCAUGCAAAUCUAACAAUAGAUUCUGCAGAUGAUCCCGGGGUUAGUCCGGAGGUAGUGCAAGGGGAUGGGCAACAUGCUCAACGACAGUUAAAGGCUGGCGAGCGCGUGCUUAAGCAGGUUAGGCAGGAGAAAAAUGAUCUCCAAGAUGCCAAUAUCCGGCUGAGUGUUGAACUGAAAGAUGUUCGGGCCCAACUUGCUGACUCCGUAAAGGAGAAUAAGAGGCUUCGACGCGGCAUUUUUAGUAAGUGCUUGAACGAACUUUUUAUAGAGUUUGGCGAAGAAACCGGCUAACAGAGUUAUAUCUGUAGGUAUGCUGACGGGUCGUCCCGCAGAGGAAAUGCCCGGGUCUGCAGGUGAUCUUCUGUCAGACCUCUCACAACUACACGAACAAGUUCGGCAGGUGAUGUAGGGCAUUGCCCAAGCCUUGUGGCCAUCCGCCUCCCUGCCAGGAGGCACGGGGGAGCUCGUAGAGAAGCUCAAGGGAGCGCGGCGGCGCUUCCGAUUAUGGAAGAUAUCAGCCUGCCGACAAGGUGCAAGGGAAGCCUGGGCCAUGGUGAAGACGCGAUAUACCAAGGCUGACCCGAACCACAUGGCCGAGGUCGGACCUGUGGGGCCCGAUGGGAAAGAGAUCCCCAUCAGUUUGGUGUAUGACCAAGUAGAAUUAGCCGCAAAGUAUUCCCAACAGGAUUGUAGGCUAGACAGCCUGUUGGAUGGUAUAGAAUUUAGUCAGUCUAAGUGACUGUGUACUUCAAGUGACAUGUAUUGUCCCUAGCCAGAUUGUAAAUCAUUUGUCAUGGCGGACCUUUUCACUUCAACCUCUGGACCCGACAGUCCGGAGUGUAUCCGAAUACCCGCUCAGUUAUGUAAAAACCGGGGUACGCGUGGAAACUAGGCGUAGGGGUCAUAAGUGCUUGAACAGACAAGUACCCAACUAGAUUAUAUUACAUGGAUAGUAAGAAACAUCUUCCAGGGAGAAUAGUUCCGUUAAGGGUUCCUUUCCCUGGGUACGCAUGCCCUAAUGUGCAUGUCCGAACUGCGAAAAGAGACGCAGGAUAUAAACAUCUGGGGGCAUGUAUUAAAAUAAAUAAAAGUCAUAUUUUGUUCACCGACCGAGUAUUCCCUUAAGAACGCUAGCUUUCGGCUUCACCCAGUCUGAGGAACACAUCCGGCUGACCCGGCAGUAACAAUCGCAAAGGUGCUCCCCUUAUGCCCUAGCCGAAUUAACGGGAACGUAGGGCAUAAACACAAGAGCCAGGCAACCCAGCUUGGCCAAAACUUAAGUCAUAUCCAUGCAUAUAAUGGCGAAAAAGGUACAUGUGGAAGAAUAACACAUGUGCGGGGCAUAGAGCCCGGAAAAUAGUUAAGCUUCUGUAUAAGAAGCCCCCAGGUAUAAUGAGCGCAGUUAGCGCGUCAAGAUUGUGUAGUCAAGACACAAUUUAGCCUUUUAAGGCCUUGAAGAAAAAGGAAAAUAGAAAGAAAUAAAAGACAGAUAACAGAUAUGUAAAAAAUUGACGGAGGUAAGGAGACGAACAUAGAGUCUGGCACUAGGCGUAGAACCUUUGGAGUCUGGCUGCGUUCCAUGGGUUUGGCUCGAGUCGAUUGUCCGAUCCAUCCCGCAGACGGUACGCUCCACCGGUCAGAACUUGGUCAAUAAUGAAUGGACCUUCCCAUUUGGGCUUGAGCUUGUUCUUUUUCUUCUCUGGUAGGCGUAGAACGAGUUCACCAACGUUAUAAGUUUUGGCCCGUACUUCUCUGCUUCGAUACCUUCGAGCCUGUUGCUGAUAGAAUGCGGAACGGGCUUUUGCCACAUCACGCUCCUCCUCCAGGGCGUCCAAAUUGUCCUGCCGAUCAAGCUUGGCUUCUUUCUCUUCAUACAUGUGCACUCGAGGUGAGUCAUGAAUUAUGUCGCAGGGCAGUACCGCCUCUGCGUCGUACACCAUAAAAAACGGGUGUAUCCGGUAGUGCAAUUCGGCGUGGUCCGCAGCCCCCAUAGUACGGAGUCGAGCUCCUCUACCCAGUGCGUGUUUGAUUCCUUUAAGGACCGCACUAAUCUAGGUUUAAUGCCGCUCAUGAUAAGACCAUUUGCUCGCUCAACUUGACCGUUAGUUUGCGGGUGAUAGACAGAAGCAUAAUCGAGCUUGAUGCCCAUGUUGCUGCACCAAAGUUUUACCUCGUCGGCUGUAAAGUUCGAGCCAUUAUCAGUGAUGAUGCUGUGGGGGACGCCAUAACGGUGUACAACCCCGGAUAUGAAGUCUAUCACUGGUCCGGAUUCGGUCGUUUUAACUGGUUUGGCUUCUAUCCAUUUGGUGAAUUUAUCCACCAUGACUAAUAAGUAUUUUUUCUUAUGGCUUCCCCUUUGAGGGGUCCAACCAUAUCAAGCCCCCAGACCGCAAAGGGCCAAGUAAUUGGGAUUGUUUGGAGAGAGGUAGGCGGCAUAUGGCUUUGGUUUGCAAAAAGCUAGCAACCGACGCAAUGUUGGACGAGGUCCUGUGCGUCUGCUCGGGCCGUCGGCCAGUAGAAACCUGUACGGAAGGCCUUGCUUACAAGGGCCCGAGCUGCGGCGUGGUGACCGCCAAGUCCAGCAUGAAUUUCUGCCAAAAGUUGCCGUCCUUCCUCUUCGGAGAUGCACCUUUGAAGGACUCCGGUAGCGCUUUUCUUAUAAAGCUCUCCCUCGUGGACCUUGUAGGCUUUAGACCGCCGCACAAUGCAACGUGCCUCGUUUGGGUCCUCAGGUAGUUCCUGCCUAGUUAGGUAGGCCAGGAAGGGUUCUGUCCACGGGGCAAUGACAGCCAUAAUCACGUGGGCGGAAGGUGUUAUUUCGGUGGUAGAGCCUCCGAUUACGUCAGAGUGUUCGGUAUCUAGUGUUGUGGCCAAGUCCGGACUGUUGUUGCGGUCUCUCCUUCCCAUACCACGAAUGGCUUAAACAGCCUUUCCAAGAAGAUAUUGGGUGGGACAGGGUCGCGCUUAGCGCCGAUGCGGGUUAGGAUGUCCGCCGCUUGAUUGUUUUCUCGGACCACAUGGUGGAAUUCGAGCCCCUCGAACCGAGCUGACAUUUUGAGGACGGUGUUGCGGUAAGCCGCCAUUUUUGGGUCCUUGGCAUCAAAGUCUCCAUUUAUUUGAGAUAUUGCGAGAUUCGAAUCCCCACGCACCUCUAGGCGUUGAAUGCCCAUGGUGACUGCUAUCCGGAGACCAUGCAACAUGGCCUCAUAUUCUGCUGCAUUGUUGGAGUCUGUGUAUAAUAUUUGGAGUACGUAUUGGAUUGUAUCUCCGGUGGGGGAUGUCAGGACGACGCCUGCCCCCAGAUCCGCCAGCAUCUUUGAACCGUCAAAGUGCAUGAUCCAAUUGGAGUACGCGCCGUACUCUUUAGGGAGUUCGGCUUCCGUCCAUUCGGCGACGAAAUCGGCCAGUACUUGCGACUUAAUGGCUCGCCAUGGUUUAUAUGUUAUGUCGAACGGGAGGAGCUCGAUAGCCCAUUUAGCAAUCCGGCCCGUGGCAUCGCGGCUAUUUGUUAUGUCGUUGAGUGGUACUUCCGAGGCCACCGUAAUUGAACACUCUUGAAAGUAGUGUCGUAAUUUCCUGGAUGCCAUGAAUACCGCGUAUGCUAUCUUUUGAUAAUGUGGGUACCGUGAUUUGCAUGGAGUGAGGACAGUGGAUACAUAGUAUACCGGCUUUUGAAGUGGGAAUUUAUGUCCGUCCGUCUCUCGUUCGACGACGAGCACUGCGCUCACAACUUGGUGAGUUGCUGCUAUACAUAACAACAUCGGUUCGCCGACAUUUGGCGCGGCCAAGAUUGGUUGGUGGCCAGGAUGGCUUUUAUUUCUUCCAAUCCAGCCGUGGCCGCAUCCGUCCACUCUAAGUGUUCGGUGCGCCGAAGAAGGCGAUAAAGGGGUAGUGCCUUUUCUCCUAAUCGGGAGAUAAAGCGGCUUAAGGCCGCCAUGCAUCCAGUUAAUUUCUGGAUUUGCUUGAGGUCUGUUGGGAUAGCCAACUGUGACAGAGCUCGGAUUUCAGCCGGAUUUGCUUCAAUUCCUCUACUGGAGACGAUGAAGCCCAGGAGCUUUCCGGCGGGCACGCCGAAAACGCAUUUUUCCGGAUUGAGCUUGAUGUCGUAUGUUCGGAGAUUGUCGAACGCGAGCCUCAAGUCGUCUAUUAAGGAUUCGACGUGUCUGGUUUUAACGACCACAUCGUCUACGUAUGCCUCCACUGUUUUGCCGAUCUGUGUUUCCAAGCAUGUCUGAAUCAUGCGUUGAUAGGUUGCACCGGCGUUCUUGAGCCCGAAAGGCAUGGUGUUAAAACAGAAGAGGCCGUAUGGGGUGAUAAAUGCCGUUGCGGCUUGAUCGGACUCCGCCAUCUUGAUUUGAUGGUAUCCGGUGUAUGCGUCGAGGAAACACAAUGAGUCGUGUGCUGCAGUAGCAUCGAUAAUUUGAUCGAUGCGGGGGAGGGGGAAGGGAUCCUUGGGGCAAGCCUUGUUAAGGUCCUUGAAAUCGACACAUAGGUGCCAGGAUUUAUCCUUCUUUGGUACCAUCACCAGGUUUGCUAGCCAGUCCGGAUGUUUUAUUUCUCUAAUGAAUCCGGCCUCCAGUAACUUGGCUAGCUCCUCUCCCAUGGCUUGUCGCUUAGGUUCAGAGAAACGCCGAAGAGACUGCUUGACCGGCUUGAACCCGUUUAGAAUGUUAAGGCUAUGCUCGGCCAGCCUGCGUGGGAUUCCUGGCAUGUCUGAAGGAUGCCAGGCGAAUAUGUCCCAAUUCUUGCGCAAGAACUCCCGUAGUGCGGCGUCUACUGUGGGGUUUAAUUGUGCCCCGAUGGAUGCUGUUUUUGUAGGGUCCGUUGGGUGGACUUGGAAUUUGACUAUCUCAUCCGCUGGUUUAAAAGAGGUGGACUUGGAUCUUUUGUAAAGUAUCACGUCGUCUCUGUCCACUGUGGAGCGCAGCGCGGUUAAUUCCUCGGCCGUGAGGGCUUUGGAUAACGCCUCGAGGGCCAGUGCAGCUGUUUUAUUUUCGGCGCGGAGUGCUAUGUCCGGAUCACUAGUUAGAGUGAUGAUUCCAUUGGGCCCGGGCAUUUUGAGCUUCAUGUAGCCGUAAUGGGGUAUGGCUUGGAAGAUCGUGAAUGCCUCCCGCCCUAGAAGGGCGUGGUAUCCGCUAUUGAACGGGGCCACUUGGAAUGUGAUUUCUUCGGACCUAUAAUUCUCCGGUGUGCCGAAUACCACAUCUAGUGUGAUUUUCCCAGCACAUCGUGCCUCCCGACUGGGGAUGAUUCCUCUGAAGGUCGUGCUGCUUUGCUCAAUGCGGCUUCUGUCUAUUUCCAUUUUUCGAAGAGUCUCCUCAUAGAUGAGGUUUAAUCUGCUGCCGCCGUCCAUGAGCACUUUAGUAAGCCGGAAGCCGUCCACAAUUGGACUAAGGACCAAGGUGGCUGGUGCUCUGGCUGUUCGGAAUUUAGGUUCGUCACUGGCGUUGAAGGUGAUGGCCGUAUCGCUCCAUGGAUUUAUUGCUGCCACAUGGCAGACUUCGGCAAGGCUGCGGAGUGCUCGCUUACGCCUAUUAUUUGAGGCGAAGGUCUCGAAGACUGUCAAUACUGUAUUGUUGUUCUCUACGGGAUGGUGCUCUGCGGUAUUGUUGAUGAGGAUAUCCUCACCGCUCUUGGCCACCUGUCGGAGUACCCAACAUGCUCUAAGGCUGUGUGUUGGUAUAGUAUCCGCUGUACUGUGAAUUUUGCAUGGCCCAUUAAGCCAUCCCUCCAAUACGGUUCCACGCCCUGUAGUGGGCUUUUGCUUCUUUGUAAUUGGGUCGGGCGACUUACGAGAGUGCACCCUUUUAGUUCGGACUGGGGGUUUUGUCAGAGCCGGAGGAUCCCAAAAUUUUGUUUGGGUUUUCCAGGCGCUUUCCAUCGCACAGUACUUCCGUACUAUGGCCGCCAAGUCAGCGAAGUGUGCUAUGUCACGGCGACUUAUGGCGUUGAGGAUUCCCUUGUCCGUGUAAUUAUUGCAAAAGAAUGAAAUUGCGUCUUCCUCGCGACAAUCCUUGACCUUGUUCAUUACAAGGAGGAAUCUGGCCCAAUAGUGGUGUCCUGUCUCCUGGGGCUCUUGUCUAAUGUGGGAAAGAUCGCUUAUAUCUGGGUGGGUGGGUAGAUUUAGGUCCGAACCCUGACCCGAUCUGAGACCCAGGGGCGGAGGAGCUUCCGAUCUUGGAAGUUCGGGCUCCGAGAUGUUGCCCAAUAGGUCUGGCCCGCUGCCUGAUUCUAGGUUCAAGGUUUGGGCCAUGUCCUCCCAUAGACGGGUAUCCGGCUCGGAGAGCUUGGGAAUCUUGACAUAGUUUUUCCUCAAGAUAGAGGAAGAAUCGCCGCAUUGCUCCUCCACCACCGCUAUCUGAUGGGUGACCGGCGGGGAGUUAAUUUCCCUUUGGUCGGGUUUAAGCCCGAUCUGAUCAUAGUCCGUAGCGACUCCCAAGGCGGCGAUGCGAUCCAAGAGCUCGUUCAAGGAAGAGAGCUCCAUUGGAUCCAACUGCUCGGUGAAUUCCAAGCUGACGUGGAGGCUGUUUUUGAUGACCCAAGAAGUCAUCAUCGGCGCAGCGGCAGGACAGGCGGUCAUAACGAAACCGCCUAGUCGGAGAGUUUGGCUUACAGCCAGGGCUCCCCCAGAAGUGAUGUUGUCCUUGACAACAAGAUGAGCCAUCAACCCUUAUGAUGACGACACAGUGGAACUCUCAAUGAAAGCACCAAUGUCGGUGUCAAAACCGGCGGAUCUCGGGUAGGGGGUCCCGAACUGUGCGUCUAAGGCGGAUGGUAACAGGAGACGGGGGACACGAUGUUUACCCAGGUUCGGGCCCUCUCGACGGAGGUAAUACCCUACUUCCUGCUUGAUUGAUCUUGAUGAUAUGAGUAUUACAAGAGUUGAUCUACCACGAGAUCAUAGAGGCUAAACCCUAGAAGCUAGCCUAUGGUAUGAUUGUUGUUGUCCUACGGACUAAACCCUCCGGUUUAUAUAGACACCGGAGGGGGCUAGGGUUACACAGAGUCGGUUACAAGGGAGGAGAUCUACAUAUCCGUAUCGCCAAGCUUGCCUUCCACGCCAAGGAGAGUCCCAUCCGGACAGGGGUCGAAGUCUUCAAUCUUGUAUCUUCAUAGUCCAACAGUCCGGCAAAAGGAUAUAGUCCGGCUGUCCGAGGACCCCCUAAUCCAGGACUCCCUCACCCUCCCCUCGACCUCACACCACCGCCGUGCUUGGUAGCGCCCCCAGGCCAUCCCUUUAGUCCUUGCCGACCUCCAGAUCGGGCGCCAGCAGCUCUAGGCCCCACACGCCCCGAAGAUAAACACUGAGGCGCUGCUUCCCCGGCGUAAUAGGCAGACUAGCGCCUGUUACGCCGGGGAAUGCUUCCGUUAAUUGGGAAUCAACUGACCAGGAAUUGAAAUCCAGGGGGCGAUGGACCUCUAGGUAAGGUGAAAUAGUAUAUGAGGAGAAACCUUGUGCAUCGCGAGUUACUAGGAACAUCUAGUAUGAAGAAGAAGUGGUCAACUAGUGUCUUCUGUGGGAUGAAUACCGUGCAAGCAGACACGUAAGAUUUGCACGAAUAAGGGAAGAGGAGUACCAUUUCUGGUUGCCAGUGUUGUGUCCUUCAUAUGUCACGGCGAUUUUCUUCUUUUUGCCGGGGGAACCGAUGUUUUGGAGGAAGGUGCAGCCUUGGACGAACCCAUGGCCAAAUUGUUGACUGUGUUGCCGUGGCCGUAUGUCAGCGGAGGGGAAGCAGAUCCGAGGCGGCGAAGGACGGCGUAGAAGGAACAACUCUGGUGCGGUGGAUGGUGGCGAAAUUGGAGCAGCAGCGUUGAGGCGCAGGACGACGUGGUUGAACUGGCUCGGGUAUGGACAGCCCAGCCUCGGCUUCAACUACUAGCCGUGGAGGGCGUUGCGGUUGAGGUUGCGGUGGACGACGACGUCGGGGUAUCGGCUCCAGCGUGAUGGAGGAGGGCGGUGGUUGAUGGGUGGGAUGGGGUGGCGGACAGAGGACGCCGGGGUUUCGCGGCUGGUGGAGAGGUAGUUUUGGCACCCACGGAGUACGAAUGGGGAAUCGGACGGGGGGCGGGUGGAGCUAAGGGAGAACCAUGUUUUGGUCUCGGACGCGCUUGUUUUGGGCUUUUUUGAACAGAUGGGACGCGCUUGUUUGAAAUUUGGGGAAAGUACAAACUUUGCCCUCCCCCUCUUAAAUUUCGGACCUACUGCGGGUCGGGGGUUGGAUGGUAAUCCCAGGUGUCCCAAAUAGUGGGCGGGAGUGAUUUCGGCCGCGCGCAUGUGUGCUUAUGCGACCAUUGUGUAUGAAUGUGUUUCGGAGGCGGUUGCAUGGCGUCUAGAUGUAGCUACAAACCUACCCCGGUUUAGACCUUUGGACGCCGGGCUGGUAGGUUUCACGGGUCGGAGUUAGAAAAGUAAUUCCCUUCUACUACCAAACAUUGGUCUCAUGCGGUUUCGGGCGAGUAGAGGCUCUUUUGGCGCUUCGUUUGAAAUUUUUAAACAGAAUCAUUCACGUUUAGAUUACUCUUGAACUUUGAGGAUUGACCUAAAUAGACAAUCUUAAAUUUGACCUUGUAUGUUUAAAACCCUCAUUAAAUUAUCCGCUUCUUUUUGAAAUUUUGACACUUUAAAAUCAUAUAACUACGAUUAUUUUGGAAUGGAGGAGCUAAAUUUGAAUCUAUUUUGUACAUGACUAUAUAUGCUAUUAUGUACAAAAGCAGAGCAAAGAUUGGUGCCCCCAUAAUUUAGGUAUGAUUUACAAAUGCCAUGAUACCGAAUUCAAAUAAUUGAAUGGACUUCAUGUUGAAUUCGAAUUUUUAAACCAUCUUAAGUUGAAUUCAAAUGUAUGCUAGUUCAUAGCUAGCUAUUUAUAAUGUUCAUUGUGUAACUUUCAUAUGUAUAAUGUGCUUUACACACACAACAUGAACUAUACUCACGUUUAUAUUCGAUUGCUAAAGCGAUGCAUUGUCUGGAGUUCAAAAUACUAACUAUGUGGAUCAAUUAUGUCGAAUAAUAACAUAGACAUGCUCAAAUUCGAUAGAAUCUAGAUGUCUGAUGGAUCAAUGACCGUUCCUUACGCGAAUUGCAAAUAUCAUGAUCCCAUCCUAAUAUUUGGAUACAAUUUAUAUCUUUAAUCAAUGUGUACAUCAGUCUUUUACGUGUAGUUUCACUCUCCAUCGGUGGUCUCUCACACGUGCUCACACACUCUCUCUCGAGGUGUCUUUCUCGCGAACAUGCUCUCGAUAUAACCCUCCCCCCUCUCGUAACCAUUUAUGAUUGUUUUCACUAACCUUUAUCACAAGCACUCUUCCUCUCACAAGCAUACACACGCACAAUCCCCAUCGACCCUUUCUAUAUACAUAGACCUGCCUACGUGUCUCCCGCACGCACAUUAUAUUUAGGCCUAUCUCUCAUGCAUUAUCUCCACCUCUCUUCCUAAUCGACGAGUAUGAUUCUAGCAGAGCAUUCUGUAGGACGCCCCUUAAAGUUAGGUUGGAUGAAUAGUAAUAUCAGAGAUAAGGGGUUACCUUAGUCUGAGGACCUAGGGUUAGAAAUCCUAGCCGGCUUUGUCAGUGGACACAGAGCCCUUCACGACUCUCUAUCUUUGUCUUGUACGACUAGUCCUCCAUGGAUCUCCCUAAAUGCGUCACGGGCCGACCAAUGUGGCGCAGGACGGAACCGAACCAAGGGCUUCACCUUGGCCCACCGGACCUCACACGGUGACACACGCUCUGACCCCUGGUCUAGUUAUCUUCUCACACCCACACAUACCAACACAUACACCACACAAAAAAAUUCUCCUCGUGCCUCUAUCCCCUUCCCCUUGAGGCCCUGCCAAAUACAUCAACUACACAUUCACACAUGUUACAUCACGUACCCAUUGAUCUAAAAAGCCCUCUCUUCACGUUUAUUUCGCAUACAACAUUCCUUUGAAUAAAACCACACAAAGUGUGGCCAAAAAAUUAUUUUAGAAUUUCUACAUAUAUACAACAUUAUAAAGUUAUAUGGAGGAGUAUGAACGUUAAUUUGAAUUGCAUGGUGCCCACAAUGAUAUUUAUUCCACACUAUGAAUUUUUAUAUUUUUGUACUAUAUAUAAAGUUAGUCAUAAUAAAGAGAAACGAAGAGCAUCUCUCUCUCCAUCGCAUACACCUCCUCAACGCCCCUUUCACGUACCACACAAACUAUCUCCGGGUCCUUUAAAAGUACGCCCCGAGCACAUUCACACAUGUUUCAUCUUCCUCUCGCGAUAUAUACAAUGACGAUCAUUGUAUUUGAAGCGAAAGCACGAUACGUACAUUGGACUUCAGAAUCCACUCAUUAUGGUCACCAUUUACGUUUUGUGGUUAUUAUACAGUCACAGGCUCACCGUACAACUCUGUAUUUGCUCAAGACACGACUAGUUGACCAGUUAAACGCUCCACGUGGCACCUCUAGUGUUGCAUCACAUUAUCUCACUACCAUUGGGCCCACCUGUCGGCUUGUAUCUACUCUACACUCUUAUAAAAAAUAGAGUUGGUGAUGAUGGUGUGCUUGCCAUCCUGCAAUAUAGGUUGUCCGAUUUAUAUCUGACGGAUAGGAAGGAAACUAUGGCAAUUUUGCAAAAAGGUACCCACACACCUCUCCACAUUUGCAAAUAAGGUCUUCCCUUGUUCAUCCUUUUCUCUCACAAGAUAAACUAGUCAUACAAAUGCAUCUUGAUGUUACGUGCAACGCACGUGCAUCUUGCUAGUAAGAAUGAAAACAAACGACAAAAAAAUAUUGGACGGUGGUUCGAAGUCAUGACCGCGGGCACAGCGGACAAGGUGGCCUUGUAUUGGUAUGUUGACCCGUCUGUUUUAACACACAUGAGCUGGUGUGGUGAUUAUACACACACGCAUGCACACGAACUGCAUGCACGCAACACUCACACGAACACAUGCAGCCACGCACGCACGCAACACUCACACGUAGACACGCAGCCACGCACGCACGCAACACUCACACGCACGCAUGCAUGCACACACCACACGACCAACACACAUUCUCGCGCUCAAGUGCUCAACCUACACGUGCAUGCGCACACAUCAGGCCCUGACAGACACAUACACAACCAGGUGGUUCCCGCGCACGGGUUGGAGUCUUGUCGCGCCUGCGUAAAUUUGCGUUUAUCUGACCUUUUUCCUAUGCGAACUGACAGGUGGGACCCACAAGGAACGUGGUCAAUUUAACUAGUCAACAUGGUGCCACUCAAACUAUUUGGCUGGUCAAUAGAGUGCACUCCGAUGCUGAGCGGUGAGCAAGUGACCGUAUAAUCACCGCAAAACGUAUAUAGUGACCGUAAUGAGCGUAUUCUGAAGUCCGGUGACUGUAUUACGUUUUUCUCUCUGUAGGCCCUCCAAAACUACAUCUCUACACGUUCUCGCAUGUUACAUCUAACAACUAUGCAAUACAACACUACUACUACACUCUAACACAAUAAAUCAUAUGUGUUUUUAGUUUUACUAGAUAUCAUAUUGUUACUUAAUUAUUCAGUUUGCAUACAUUAAAAUUGCCUUUGAAAUGAAUGGCCAGUAUCAUCUACCACGCGGAAAAUCCCGCCCUUUCCUGUUUAAUUGGGUUUGUAUCGAUGGAUUGUGUGAAGCAAAACUAUAGUACUAUAGUACUAUACAGUACAAGUAACAGUUCACUGGGCCGCCGUGUCGUGUACUCCUCCGUCAUAAGAGUGGAGCGAUCGCUUUCAUAAAUGUUCUAGUCCCUUUCGCCGACAUGUGGGACAUCAAGCUACCGGGUCCACGUGCCAUACCGAAAUACAAUGCAGAGCAGCAGGGGUGAAGCACCCCAGUCAUGGCGACGGCGUAGUAAUGAGCAAUGAGGCGUCAAAUCACAAAGCUGCACCUUUCCCGUAGUUAAGUUGGAGGGACGAAGUAAUAAUGCUAAAAAAGAAGUUGGAGGGACAAAGCAACCAUCAUUUCACUCGUUGCUGAAUCCGCUUCUCCCUCAUCUUCUUCAAGUUAACCACGUGUUGCUUCUGCCGUUGUUCUGCCUCAUGUGGGACGCGGAUCGGCUUGGUAAAGCACUGACACGUGGGACCGCAUGUUAGCAAACCGCUGAUACGUCUCCAACGUAUCUAUAAUUUUUUAUUGUUGCAUGCUAUUAUAUAUUCUGUUUUGAAUGUUUAAUGGGCUUAUUUAUACACUUUUAUAUUAUUUUUGGGACUAACCUAUUAACCGGAGGCCCAGCCCAAAUUGCUGUUUUUUUGCCCAUUUCAGUGUUUCGCAGAAAAAGGAUAUCAAACGGAGUCCAAACGGAAUGAAACCUUCGGGAGCGUGAUUUUUGGAACAAACAUGAUCUAGAGGACUUGGAGUGGACGUCAAGCAACCAACAAGGCGGCCACGAGGCAGGAGGCGCCCCCCCAGGCGCGCCCUCCACCCUCAUGGGCCCCUCGUGGCUCCACCGACCUACUUCUUCCUCCUAUAUAUACCUACGUACCCCCAAACCAUCAGAAGCGACCACGAAAACCUAAUUCCACCGCCGCAACCUUCUGUACCCGUGAGAUCCCAUCUUGGGGCCUUUUCCGGCGUCCUGUCGGAGGGGGCAUCGGUCACGGAGGGCUUCUACAUCAACACCAUAGCCUCUCCGACAAUGUCUGAGUAGUUUACCUCAGACCUUCGGGUCCAUAGUUAUUAGCCAGAUGGCUUCUUCUCUCUUUGGAUCUCAAUACAAAGUUCUCCUUGAUUCUCUUGGAGAUCUAUUCGAUGUAAUCUUCUUUUGCAGUGUGUUUGUCGAGAUCCGAUGAAUUGUGGGUUUAUGGUCAAGAUUAUCUAUGAACAAUAUUUGAAUCUUCUCUGAAUUCUUUUAUGUAUGAUUGGUUAUCUUUGCAAGUCUCUUCGAAUUAUCAGUUUGGUUGGGCCUACUAGAUUGAUUUUUCUUGCAAUGGGAGAAGUCCUUAGCUUUGGGUUCAAUCUUGCGGUGCUCGAUCCCAGUGACAGUAGGGGAAACGACACAUAUUGUAUUGUUGCCAUUUGAGGAUAAAAAGAUGGAUUUUAUAUCAUAUUGCAUGAGUUUAUCCCUCUACAUCAUGUCACCUUGCUUAAAGCAUUACUCUGUUCUUAUGAACUUAAUACUCUAGAUGCAUGCUGGAUAGCGGUCGAUGUGUGGAGUAAUAGUAGUAGAUGCAGGCAGGAGUCGGUCUACUUGUCACGGACGUGAUGCCUCUAUACAUGAUCAUACCUAGAUAUUCUCAUAACUAUGCUCAAUUCUAUCGAUUUCUCAAUAGUAAUUCGUUCACCCACCGUAAUACUUAUGCUCUUGAGAAAAGCCACUAGUGAAACCUAUGGCCCCCGAGUCUAUUUUCCAUCAUAUUAAUCUCCUGUUAUUUCCAUUACUGUUUACUUUGAUUUCUUUACUUUUACUCUUUAUCAUAAAAAUACCAAAAAUAUUAUCUUAUCAUCUCUAUCAGAUCUCACUCUCGUAAGUGACCGUGAAGGGAUUGACAACCCCUUUAUCGCGUUGGUUGCGAGGUUCUUAUUUGUUUGUGUAGGUGCAAGGGACUUGAGCGUGACCUCCUACUGGAUUGUUACCUUGGUUCUCAAAAACUGAGGGAAAUACUUACGCUACUUUACUGCAUCACCCUUUCCUCUUCAAGGGAAAACCAACGCAAUGUUCAAGAGGUAGCAAGAAGGAUUUCUGGCGCCGUUGCCGGGGAGGUGUGCGCCAAGUCAAGUCAAGAUUUGACUCCCAACAACAUGCCAUUUUUGGCGCCGUUGCCGAGUCUGCACAAGUCAAGACAUACCAAGUACCCAUCACAAACUCGUAUCCCUCGCAUUACAUUAUUUGCCAUUUGCCUCUCGUUUUCCUCUCCCCCACUUCACCCUUGCCGUUUUGUUCGCCCUCUCUUUCCGUUCGCCUUCUUCCCAUGUCUUUUUGUUUGUGUUUCCACGUGCCUUCUAUUUGCUUGCAUCUUUUCUUGCUAAAAAUCUAUUGAUAUGGAUCCACUUAAAGUGUUCUACUUGGAUCAUCUUCGAUCCUUAUGCGCUCGUGCUGAAACCCCAACUAGCAUAGUUGAUGGGAAAUCUUUAGAUGAGCAUGCUCAUUUUGUGCGUCACCGUUUGUCUGAAAAAGGGAGACUCUUAUGGGAUCAAAUAAACAGAUUAAUGUGUUAUGCUUGGAAUCUUUGUGAAAUUUAUGAUUUUACUUGUUGCUCUCAAAACUUUAAGAAACACCUUCCCUACCAAUGUGAGUUUAGUGAUAAUGGAAUCGUAUCUUCGUAUGCUAAGGGUGUUUAUAAUUACUAUGAUGUUCAACAAAUUGAAGAAUUUGUUGCUUUUAAGGGUGCUUAUGAAAUUGCUUCUUUGAUUGAAACGUAUGAUGCUACUCUUUACAAAUUUGAAAAUUUUGCCAUACUUAAAUAUUGUUAUGAUAAUUAUGCUUCCAAUGCCUAUGUUAAACCAUAUAUUGAGGACUCCUCCGCUGUCCAAGAAGAGGCUAAUAUUUUGCAGGAGUCUAUGGAGGAAGAAAAUAAUGAUAUGCAUGAAUCUAUAGAUAAUUAUGAGUCCGAUGAUCUGAUUGAAAUAUCCCUUGAUGAACAUGAUGCUUGGUUUUCUUGUGGCCAUGAUGCCAAUAUUUAUAAAGAUGAAUUUGCUAUAGUUCCAUAUGUUAAACAUGAGAUCGUUGCUAUUGCACCCAUACUUGAUAGUUCCUUCGAUGAAAAGCAUGAUCGCCAUGAUUUUACUAUAAAUUCUCUUGAUGUCAAUCGUGCUAAUAAUAUGCAAAACCCUAAGCUUGGGGAUGCUAGUUUUGCUAUGUCUACUACUUGUUGCAAUGAUCAUGAUUGGGGUGAUUCUUCUUUUGAUCUUGAAAAUUUAUUUAAGCCCCAUGAUGAAUAUGAGAUUGAUAAUAAUGUUUGCAAUAGUAUUGAAAGUGGGUUUGGAAGAGUGUCAACUUUAGAUCCCACAUAUUUGGAUUUUGAUCAAUCUUAUGAAGUUUUUGAUAAAAGUGGGUUUGGAGAGGUCAUGACUUUAGCUAAUGUUAAUCCCACUAUUUUGGAAGAGUGUCAACUUUGCAUACAUGUGGAUCGUGUUAAGAAUAUGUUUUGUGAUAGCUAUAUUGUUGAAUUUUCUUAUGAUCCUACAUGUAAUUAUUAUGAGAGAGGAAAAUAUGGUUGUAGAAAUUUUCUUGUUACUAAAUUACCUCUCGUUAUGUUGAGAUUGCUAUUGUUUCUUUCCGCUUCCUUGCGUAUGCUAGUUUUUGCUUGCCUUGAUAAUUUGUUUGCCUAUAAGAUGCCUAUGCAUAGGAAGUAUGUUAGACUUAGAUGUGUUUGUCACGUGUUUUAUGAUGCUCUCUUUGUGCUUCAAUUCUUGUCUUUCUUAUGAGCAUCAUUGAAAUCUCAAUGCCUAGCUAAAAAGGCUUCAGAGAAAAGCGCUUGUUGGGAGACAACCCAAUAUUUUUCCUUCCUGUUUAGUAAUAAAUAAUUCAUCUAGACUCCGGUUAGAUGUUAUUUUAUGUUUUAAUUAGUGUUUGUGCCAAGUGAAACCUAUAGGAUCUGCUUGGAUGAUAGUUAUUUGAUCUUGCUGAAAAUUCGAGAAACUUUCUAUUCUCGAAAACAAUUGUUAAAAAUUAUCAAAACGUGAUAAAAUACUGAUUCCAAUUUCAGUAGAUCAAUAAACAAAUUAUAUAGGUAUUCCUAUUUUGGUAGAAUUUUUGGAGUUCCAGAAGUUUGCGUUAGUUACAGAUUACUACAGACUGUUCUGUUUUUGACAGAUUCUGAUUUUCGUGUGUUGUUUGCAUAUUUUGAUGAAUCUAUGGCUAGUAAAAGAGCUUAUAAACCAUAGAGAAGUUCGAAUACAGUAGGUUUAACACCAAUAUAAAUAAAGAAUGAGUUCAAUACAGUACUUUGAAGUAGUAUUUUGUUUUAUUUCGCUAACGGAGCUCACGAGAUUUUCUGUUAAGUUUUGUGUUGUGAAGUUUUCAAGUUUUGGGUAAAGAUUUGAUGGAUUAUGGAACAAGGAGUGGCAAGAGACUAAGCUUGGGGAUGCCCAAGGCACCCCAAGGUAAAUCCAAGGACACCAAAAAGCCAAAGCUUGGGGAUGCCCCGGAAGGCAUCCCCUCUUUCGUCCUCAUCCAUCGGUAACUUUACUUGGAGCUAUAUAUUCACCACAUGAUAUGUGUUUUCCUUGGAGCGUCUUCUAUGAUUUGAGUCUCUGUUUGUUAGUUUGCCACAAUCAUCCUUGCUGUACACACCUUUUGAGAGAGACACACAUGAUUCGGAAUUUGUUAGAAUACUCUAUGUGCUUCACUUAUAUCUUUUGAGCUAUAUAGUUUUUGCUCUAGUGCUUCACUUAUAUCUUUUAGAGCACAGCGGUGGUUGUAUUUUAUAGAAAUUAUUGAUCUCUAAUGCUUCACUUAUAUUAUUUUGAGAGUCUUAAACAGAAUGGUAAUUUGCUUUAAUUGUGAAAUUAAUCUUCCAUAUUGAGUUCAUUGAAUAUCAUGAGAAGUUAGAUACUUGAUAAGUGUUUUGAGAUAUAAAGGUGGUAAUAUUAGAGUGUGCUAGUUGAGUAAUUGUGAAAUUGAGAAAUACUUGUGUUAAAGUUGGCAAGUCCCGUAGCAUGCACGUAUGGUAAAAAUUGUGUGACAAUUUUGACACAUAGGUGUUCUUUUAUUGCUUUCCUUAUGAGUGGCGGUCGGCGACGAGCGAUGGUCUUUCCCUACCAAUCUAUCCCUCUAGGGGCAUGCGUAGUAGUACUUUGCUUCGAGGGCUAAUAAACUUUUGCAAUAAGUAUAUGAGUUUUUUAUGACUAAUGUGAGUCCAUGGAUUAUGCACACUCUCAACCUUCCACAAUUUUCUAGCGUCUACGGCACCGCGCAUUGCCCUUUCUCACCUUGAGAGUUGGUGCAAACUUCGCCGGUGCAUCCAAACCCCGUGAUAUGAUACGCUCUAUCACACACAAGCCUCCUUAUAUCUUCCUCAAAGCAGGCGCCAUACCUACCUAUCAUGGCAUUUCCAUAGCCAUUCCGAGAUAUAUUGCCAUGCAACCUUCCACCGUUCCGUUUAUUAUGACACGCUUCAUCAUUGUCAUAUUGCUUUGCAUGAUCAUGUAGUUGACAUCGUAUUUUGUGGCAAAGCCACCAUUCAUAAUUUUUUCAUACAUUUCACUCUUGAUUCAUCGCAUAUCCCGGUACACCGCCGGAGGCAUUCACAUAGAGUCAUAUUUUGUUCUAAGUAUUGAGUUGUAAUUGUUGUGUUGUAAGUAAUAAAAGUGUGAUGAUCAUCAUUAUUAGAGCAUUGUCCCAUGUGAGGAAAGGAUGAUGGAGACUAUGAUUCCCCGACAAGUCGGGAUGAGAUUCCGGACUAAAAAAAGAGGCCAAAGAAAAAAAAGGCCCAAAGAAAAAAAGAAAAAAAAA
This 117167-nucleotide long non-coding RNA is filed under the name Triticum aestivum (bread wheat). RNAcentral's name for it is "long non-coding RNA (TAES_LNC008669)". The stretch from base 80695 to 80829 matches the Rfam family "MIR1120/MIR1122 microRNA precursor family". Lineage: Eukaryota; Viridiplantae; Streptophyta; Magnoliopsida; Poales; Poaceae. The record is from RNAcentral.